This 104110-nucleotide long non-coding RNA is filed under the name Citrus maxima (pomelo). RNAcentral's name for it is "long non-coding RNA (CMAX_LNC000711)". Lineage: Eukaryota; Viridiplantae; Streptophyta; Magnoliopsida; Sapindales; Rutaceae. The record is from RNAcentral.
UUGUGGGCAAGGGUGAAACUGCAUCUGGUUUGGAAGAUUUAGGAAGUUUAAACUUUCUUUGUGAUGAACUUUGCAUUGCUGGAUUAGAGAAUGUGAAUAAUCCACAGAAUGCAAGAGAAGCCGCAUUAUGUGAGAAGCUCAAUCUUCAUGCAUUGACUCUAGAUUGGGGGUCUCAAUUUGACAAUUCUCGAGAUGUAGCAGUAGAAGAGCACGUGCUUGACAUUCUACAGCCUCAUAAAUGUAUAAAAAAGGUGGCAAUCAGGAACUAUGGUGGUGCAAGAUUUCCACUUUGGAUAGGAGAUCCGUGGUUCUCCAAGAUAUAAUUCCUUGAAUUGGAGAACUGUAACAAUUGUGUAUCUUUGCCAUCGCUUGGUCUAUUGAGUUCACUUAAGCACCUUGCUGUCAAAGGGCUGAAGAAGCUAAAAAGCAUAGAGUCUGAAGUUUAUGGGGAGGGUUUCUCAAUGCCUUUUCCAUCAUUGAAGAUUCUACGUUUUGAGAAUUUGCCAGAGUGGUGGCAUUGGGACACCGAUAUCAAAGGAAAUGUGCACGUUGAUAUAUUUCCUUGUCUCCAAGAACUUUCCGUUGUGAAAUGUCCCAAACUCUCUGAAAAACUGCCUGAGCUUCUGCCCUCCUUGGAGAUACUUGUUGUUAGUAAAUGUGAAAAGUUGGUAGUUUCAUUGUCAAGCUAUCCAAGGCUCUGCAGAUUAGAGGUUGAUGAGUGCAAAGAACUAGUGUGCAGGAUCCCAAUUGAUUCUAAGUUGAUAAAGUUCAUGACUAUUUCAAAUAGUUCAUUAGACAUGAUUGGAUGCAAGGGGAUGCUAUACGAUAGUCAAGCUGGCUCUUCACUGCCAAAACCCAUGACCACUACAAAUGUUUUGGAGUUUGGAAAAUUACUGGAGCCUGGAUUUCAGAUAUUAGAAACUUUGGUAAUUGGCAAUUCUGAACAGCUCAAGCCAUGGAGGCAGGGAAGGGGACUUUCAAGUUUUAAUAGACCAGAACACCGGCUAAAAAUACUUGCUCACCCUGAUGAGGUAACAAUUGAGGAAAGUUGCGUAAGUCUUGUUUUGUUUCCAGAGAUCAAUUUCUUUCCCAGAAAUCUGCACUGUCUUCGAAUUUACAACAGCACUGCUUUCAAAUCCUUACCGGAGGAAAUGAUGGACAACAGUUCACAACUCGAAAGCUUGUAUAUCAAAGAUUGCCAUUCUCUACCAUUCAUCACAAGACGCAAGCUACCUUCAUCUCUAAAAAGGAUAGAGAUUGAGAAUUGUGAGAAAUUGCAACGUUUGUUCGAUGAUAAAGACGAUGCUUCUUCUUCUUCUCCUUCAUCCUCGUCUUCCCAAGUGAUGCUUCAACAUCUAAGUAUAAAGAAUUGCCAAGCGCUCUCCAGUUUGUCAUCGGGAAUUCAAUUACUUGAGUCGCUCGAAGAACUUGUGAUAACAAAUUGUCGAAAGCUGGAGUCAAUACCCGAUGGCCUGCACAAUCUUAACUGUUUACAGAAGAUUACUCUAGUGAGUUGUCCAAGUCUUGUUUCCUUCCCAGAAAGAGGGCUUCCCAACGCCAUUUCAUGGGUUGACAUUAGUUAUUGUGACAAGCUUGAAGCCCUGCCCAAUGACAUGCACAAACUCAACUCUCUCCAAACUUUAAGCAUAAUUCAAUGUCCAAAGCUUGAGUCGUUUCCAGAAGAAGGCUUUCCCACCAAUCUUAGAACGCUUAAAAUUGGAAAUUUCAAAAUGUACAAGACCCUCGUCCAGUGGGGGUUGCACAGGCUUUCCUCUCUCAGAAGCCUCUACAUUUAUGGAUGUCAUGAAGCAGAGUGUUUUCCAGACGAGAAGGUAGGAAUGACGCUGCCCACAUCUCUAACUCAUCUGUCCUUAUUGGGAUUCCAGAAAAUGAUACUUCUGUCUUCAGUGGGUUUCCAAAGACUCACGUCUCUUCAAUGUUUGAAGAUAUGGAAUUGCCCAAAUCUCACGUCAUUUCCAGAGGUAGGCCUUCCAUCCUCACUUUUGGAUUUAUACAUUAACAAUUGUCCUAGGCUUAAAAAGGCGUGCAAAAGGGACCAAGGAAAAGAGUGGCCCAAAAUUGCUCACAUCCCUUGCGUUGUGAUAGAUGGAAAAUUCAUAUACGAUCCAGAAUUGGAGGUGUAGAUUCUAUUAUUAAAGUCGGUUUAUUUAUAUUAUCCACUAUAACAAUCUCCUAUUAGUUUUUUUUUUUUUUUUUUAAUGAAAAAAAUUGCAGUUCUGUAUAAUUUAAAAUAUAUAUAUUAAUCCUCUGCCCUUAAUUGAAAAUACCACUCACUUGUUUCUGUUUUCACAAGUCAGAUUGUACGUUGAGGCUAUUUGCUUUUUAUCGGUGUUUGUUAAGGUAAUUAGUGUCUCAUAGGCUGAUUAUAGGCAGAUGAAAUUAUAACUUUUAACUUAAAAUUUAAUACCAUAGACAGAUAGAUGAUUUUUAAUCCAAAGGUUUUUAGAUGUGAUCAAAUUGUCACAUGCAUAACAUAUUAGGCAUGCAUGAUGUAUCACAAGGUUGAUACAUCUUAUAUGCCACGUGAUGAAAUUAAGGAUGUUUCUCUUACAAGGGACACAUCCUUACAUGUUCAAAUUUGAACAUGUAACUUCCAAGUGGUUAAUGGAAGUUACUUGUUCAAAAUUCGAACAUAUAACUGUCAUAUUGUUGCCUAUAUAGAGGCAUGAACGCAUCACAAAUUCAUACAUUCCAAGACAUACUUAAAGUCUUAUCAUAUUAUGAUCUUGCAGUUUUGCAUGUAGCCACCAGCCUAAGGGCAGUGUAAAACGAUCCCAAAAACCAUCAAUAAUAACAAUGGAUAUAGUUCCUAAAUAAACUGAUGAAAUUUAAGGAUGAUUGGAUGAAACAGCUAUGAUAAAAUGAACUAUCUCGAACCGAGCGAAUGGCACUGACUCAUGAAUAAGUGUGGAUUCCAAAUAUCUUCAUAUCUUCAUAGAUAUUCAUUUCCGUGUUAAUUCGAGGACUUCUAGAAAUUUAGUUAGUUAUUCUAUGAAAUAGAUAUACUAAUAAUAAUAAAACAAAAACGACGGGUGUUACACAAAUUCACAAGUAAAACUGUACUACUUGGAAACUGUGAACAGUAUAGAUUGAAGAUCAUACGAUUGCUAUUUUCAUUGAGUUUCAUGCAUAAAACUUUAUCGAUUAUUAAAUUAGACAUCUUUAUCUUUCUAUCCAUAUGUUUAUUGUUCAAAAACUUAUUGUAUAUUAAUUGUUUUGAUUUUUAAAAAUUGAAACACUGGUGCUGGAAAAUUCUGAUUUUCAGUAGCGAUUCUCAAUUCUAUAAUUUAUUUCAUAACUCCAAAUACUUCUGAAAAUUCUGGGAAUUUUUAUUACUGUACACUUAUAUGUCUAGUUUCUGUCUUUUUAAUUUCGUAAUUUUUGGCUUUAUAUAAAAAUCAUAGAGUUAGACUGCGCAAUCCCAGAAACUGUUUUCCAGAAUUGCGAGGGCUGAUAUUUAGGGCAGUUUGGGAUAGUUUUUCAUCAGUAAAUGUCUUAUAAAUCUUUAAUUCUGACUCCUAUUGUUUCCUCUAAUUGUCAAAACUAGAAUCACUAUUUUUGGACAUGUGUAACUAAAGUUAUAAAUUUUUCAAGCAACAGUCCUCUGUUUAUAUCGUUAUUGGACAGUUUGGAUAAUUUUGUGGAAAAAUAAGUUUUCAGGGGAUGUUUUUAAACUCUAAUUGAUUAUGUAAAAAUUUAAAUUGAAUGCCAAUAUGUUGACAAUAGUGUUUUGUGAUAUUUGUGAUAUUUCCGACGUACUUAUAGCUUGUUAGAAAUCAGCUCCUAUAUAAUGGUCUAGUAUAGUUUAGUGAAUUGAUGUGCUUAAGUAAGAGUGCAUGGUUUAAGGAUUUUUGGAUUUUCCUAUCUAGGUCAGAAUUGAAUAAGAUAUUGAUAGUACUUUUUUCUUAACAAUCAUAGGCCAAAAGUGAGCUCGUUUGAUUUGGGUUAUUGUUGAUUGCUUUGUAUCAUGGUAAGUAAAUUCAUGCAUAAUAUUUAUUAAAGUAUACACGUAAAUAUUUAUUAAUAGAAUAAUGUUGUCCAAAUGGAUUGGCAAGUUAUGGUUUUGAAGUUAUUUUAAAAUGUUUUCUUAAAUUUGUUUUAAAAAUAACUUCAAAAUACCUGCUUCUCUAUAAAAUGUUUUCCUUAAAAAUAUUUGUAAAGCUUUGCCAAUUCAAUGUCUUGUAAGCGUUUUAUCGAAAUAUUAUGGAAUGAUUGAUAUUGGAAAUCUGAAAACUGUUUUUAAGGUUUUGGCUCAUUGUCCGUAGUUAUCGUUACUAAUAUUACUAAAUAGCUAGUUGUAUUGUGCGCACCUAUUGACGAUUAUUGCAGGGUAAAGUACCCUGGUAGAACUAUAAGUUGGGUCACCGAGAUUAUAGGUGACAUAUUGAACUAUUGACCAGGUCACCGGGGGUAUAAGUGACACUAUGUGAUAUGAGUAAAUUGAAUGAAAGAAAAGUUUUAUUGAUAAAAGAUUUCUUACACGAUUAUUUAUUGAAAAUGAUUAUUAUGCUAUGACUUAAUUGAUUAUGAGUUUUACCGCACACAUAUGAUUACAAAAUGAUUUUUGUUUCCUAACUUGUGGUACUACAUAAUAAUGAUUAUAUACUUUUUUCCUUAUUGGUAACCUUAUGCAUGAGUUCGCUUACCGAUUGACGGCUCACCCCUCGUCUCCAACAUUUUAUAGAUUGAUUUUAGUGAUGUGCGCUUUUGGUCUAGCAAAGAGGAUUUAGCUGAAAAACUUUGGCAUUUUCUAGAUGAAUUAAUUGUAGCUAGUUUGAUUAUUGCUUAGAGCUAGAUUUUAUUUUGGAGGAUUUUUGAGUUAUUUUUUAUUUUAGAGACUAUGUUUUGUCAAUGAACAACAUUGACUUUAUUUGAAAAUAGUAAUAAGAUUAAUGUUAUAAGGUUUCAUUUGGGGUGUUACAACUUGUCUCUUAGUAAGUUUAUUUUUGUUAGCCUAUCCAGUAAGGUUUAUUAUCGACUGACAUCAUUUUCAAUGAAAUCAUCUUAUGUUGUUAAGUUUUGCAUAAAUAAAUAUUUCAGUAGGGUCAAAAGAGCAAGAGUUUACCUAUAAAAAAAAAGUCAAAAUUAGUUUAACCACCCCAGUGCGAAUUUCUGACCACGUCUUGCUUUGUAUGAUUUAACUCUAUUAUUAAUUAGUACUAAAAUAUCGAUGAAAAAAAUGGACAUGAAUUUUGAUCUCGUGUUGCUUUGUUUUGGUUGAGUGGCCAAUUUUAACUUCAUGUUAAACUUUCUCAAUUAUUAGUUGAAUUAUUUGGAUUUGAAAACUUAAAACCACCAUUUUAAUUUGUUUAGUAAUGACUAUGUUGAACUUCAACAUUUGUUUUCAAGAAAAAAAUUGAUCAAACUAUGAUGCUCUUGUUUCUAUUAUUAUGGAAUCUCUUUUUCAAUCGUCAAAGUUUGAAUUAUAUUAUGCUGCCUCUGUAUUUCCGCAGAAACAGAAUCAGUUGGUGAUCCUUCAAAACAAGAAAAACCAAAAAAAGAUGUAGUGCGUGAUAAGAUAAUGAGACAGAUGGCUCAUGUUGACAUUAAUACUCAAGUUGGAAGUUGCAUGCCCCUUGCUUGUAUGCGGACUGGGACCAUCAUCCACAAAAUUGAGGUAUACCCGGCUGAAGGUGGCAAGCUAGUUCGAGCCGCUGCGACGUCAGCCAAGAUUUUGAAGAAGACCCACUUCAAGGUACUGCUUAGUAAGGCUAACUUCUGGAAAUGAGAAACUGAUUGACGCUAGAUGUCGAGCCCACCAUUGGUACAGUGUCUAACCCCAGCCAUGGAGCUACGAAGCUUAGGAAGGCUGGUCAGAGCCGUUGGUUGGGUCGAAGGCCUGUGGUUGGAGGAGUAGCCAUGAAUCCAGUUGAUCAUCCUCAUGGUGGAGGUGAGGGACGAAGCAAAAGUAGCCGUAACCAUGGAAGGUGUUCACUUACGCCUUGGGGCAAGCCUUGUAAUUCUGGGUAUAAAACUGCAUUUCCUAAGGGAAAAAAAAAAAGAAAAAGAAAUUACCCGUCUGAUAAUAUUUUCCUUCUUUGCUAUUUAGCCUUUUUAAUAAUGUUACAUUGUUUGUCAUAUAUUUGAGGUUAGUUUUAGACCAAUUUUUAACUGAUCCAUAAUGAAACUGAAGUUUAAUUUUCUAUUGAACUUUUCCUGGUUUUACUCUUCUGUCAUUUCAAUUUAGCAAUGAUUUAAGAUGUUGAGUUCUGUGCUUGGAACAUGUAAAUGGGAAAGAGAGAUAUAAUGGGGUAGAAUAUAGAUUUUGUGUUUUGGUUUCUCAUGUUUAGAGAUAUUCUGUUCUUUUUCAUUUGUUCAAUUUGGUUAGUGGUGAUUUCUUAAAGAGUCGAUGCACGUGUGUAUAUAUACUUUUCUUUUGGCCUUGAUUCUGUUUCUUGGGGAGUUUAUGCAGUUUCUUUUUUUAUGCUUCGUAUGCCACAUGAAAGAUGAAAGCAUUUUGUGUAUUUAGAAUUGACUUGCAUCAUAGUAACUUUGAAUCACUGUUAACAUUUGUAUAAUAGCAGUCUGAGAUCUCCUUGAAGGAUUCAAAAGCAUUUUAUUUGAUGGUCUAGACCUAAAAUCAACUCCUUUAUAUAGAUAGGUUGGUCUUCUUCAAAGCAAUUCCUAUUUUAAGUAAUCAAAAUUUUGAUUUGGAAGUGUGUUUUAACACUACCAAAAGUUCUUUAAAUACUAAAAAUGUGUUUGGGAGUGAGGUGAUGUGGCUUUUAAGCUACAAUUACUGCAAAGUAAAAGUCAGUGAGUAUAAAUAAGAAAAAAUGACUGUUGAGUUGCCAAAGCCCAACUGCCGCACAUCACUUCCAAAUGCACCGUAAAAUGAUUUUGAGUCUUCUAUAUUAUUGAAACAAAAUACAUGAAAGCACUUUUGGCUACAGAAGUACACUUGGGGUUCUUUAUAAAAUUCUUCGACAGCAAUUUUUCCCCCUUUUUGCUCAUGGCGGUUUUUCUGGUUGUUCUUUUAAGAAAACACUUAAAGGUUCUUUUUAUAGAUUUCUGAAAGUACUUCCAACAUAAGCAUUUUUCAGAAAUUUUUUCUGAAAUUAAUUUUAUUUACUUAUCGACUUUUCAACUCCUGUGGUUGUUUAUGAAAUGAAAGGCAAGGGUAAUCACAAGAAAUCUGCAAACUUUAUCAAUUUUUAACUAUACCAAUUUGUUGUUUAUGCUUUACUUUUAUUUUACAGUUUUGUUUAAUGUUUAGAUGAUAGAUAUAUAGACAUUUUAGAUUGGAGAAUUUUGUCAACAAAUUCAUUCCUUUCUUUCACUUUUUCCCUUUUCAGAGGAAAGCAAUUUUGACUAAUUUUAGCCAGAAUCGGACUAUAAUAUUUUGGAGCAAGCCUACUUGAAAUGAUGCUUUUUAAAUUUGAUCUAGUUAAAAUACACUGCCGUUACCCAAAAAAUUCUAGUCUUGGAUUUCAUAGAAUGCCCUUUUAAGAUAUUUUCUCAGCUCUUUGUUGGUCGCAGCAUCUGAGAUUAGCAUUCUCACAUUUCACUUGUUUUGCCUUUGUUUUGAAGGUAACUUAGUUGCAUAGGUGAAUCGAGGUUCAAGAAUGCCGAGAUGGCUACAAGUUUCAAGAAUCAUUUAAAGAGGCGUAAUGACAGCACCAAGAUGGGCUUUGUGAUUAACAAGAUUACUAAUUGAACCAAUCUUGAUGGGACAGAGGACAUGUCAGAACCGUUGCGCACAGGGAGAAGAGUUAGGGGAGCUUUGAGAGUUGAGACCAUCAACAUCCAGAAAGGCUGCUGGUAAUGUUUCAUGUGUUACAAAGUUGCAAGGAAAUUUCAUUUAUAUUUUAACACCUUGUAUUUGAAAAAUUUAAUGUAAUUUUCUCUUUUUUCAAUUUAUUAUUCAGAUCGUAGACUAGUAAACGGUUUAGAUCGCAAGCUUUUAUUAUGCAGUUAUUUUCUCCUUUUCAGGAAGAAGUGGUCAGUUCCAUUCCAGAAUUGGAAUAUGGUAAUUAGGUGCAAGCAUACGUUGUAACAAUCAUUUCUUGUUUGUUUGAUUAUGCUUAUCUAUUUAGUUGUUUAUCGUUUGGUUGUGUUAAAUUAUUUGAAUUAGCAUUAUUUGAGAUAAAGCAUAAUUCUUUUAUUUAUUUAUUUAUUUUUUAAAUAAAUUAUUAUAGAAUAUCGUCUUUAUCGUAUAAUGUAUUUUUAUAAAAGUAAGCAUUUUUAUAAAAUUUAAACUCUUCCAAUCUCCUUAUGAUUAAAACCCUUAACCUAAUAAACGUAUAAAAGCAAAGAGUCCUAGGAUUUUCUUUUGUGCACAUUUGGAAGAAUUUUUGAGGUAAUUAUCCUUCUCUAAAACAUAUUCUCUAAUCUUAGGUGUUUAAUGAUGAAUGCAUGCAUUGUUUUUUUAAUCAUGAAUGACUAGCUAGACAUUAUGAGGCAUGAGUACUGUGAUUCUAUUACUGUUUUCCCUUUAUUUUUUAUUCAGGUUUUCACUAAAGUUUUCAUAAAAUUAAACUAGACAUUUUAAGGCUUUCAAUGAUAUAUUUUGUACGAAAAGAUUACCAGUAACCAAUUUGUUGUGAAUUUUCGAAUUCAGAACAGUGGUGCUGGAAAAUUCUGAUUUUCAGCAGCAUGUUUGACUUUGCCCAUUUUUCUGUCUGUCUAAAUGAUCCCUAAAAUUAUGCUGAUUUUUCUAUUAAAUCCUCAUUAUGUCUACUUACUAUAUGUUCACUUUCAUAAUUUUCAUUGAGUAAAAAAAAAAUUAAAAAUCAUUAUGUUGGGCUGCUGCAGUUUUGGAAACUGCUUUCCAGAAUUGCGAUGGCUGACAAUAAAAUUACUUUAGGCUAUUAAAAGGCUUUAGAAUGGCCUAUAAAAAUUAUAUUCAUAUAAUUUAUGAAUUCCUUAUGAUUUAAAGUUUAUUUGACUAAUUUUGAUAGUUAACAUUAAGUUAUGAAUUUUUCAAGUGCAAAACAUAAACCUGAAUGUUUCUGGACAGGUUUGCUGGUCUCUUAAUAUAAAUUCGUUUAAAAUAGUGUCAUAUCUUCAAAAAUUCUAGGAAUUUGAAGCUUUGUUUCUUGAUGCAUCUACUGUUUUAAAAUCAAGUGGUCUAAUUUUUAAGAGUUCUAUUAAAUAUUUUACAAAUUUUCCAGUUCAGCAACCUCUGUUUUUAUCACUGUUGGACAGUCUGGAUAUGCAUGUAAAAUUCUUUUUGCAAUAUGUUUGACUUUUAUUCAUUCUUUUGAAUUUUUAUUUGAAAUGUUAUCCAUGUUUAUGGUUUAUUUUCUUUGAUUUUACAAUUUUCCAACAUUUGAUUAGCUUGGUAAAAAUCGGCUCAGACUAGCUUUAAUGGUUUAGUGCUUAUGACUAGGCUUGAUUAUGUUAGAUUUAUAUCAAGAUCAGAAUGAGUAAUAGUAUUGAUAAGAAUGUGUCUUGAUAUUUUAGGACGAGAUUGAGCUCGAGGCUAAGGUUACUAUUCUUUAUUGUUGAGGAUUGAGAUAAGUAGAUUCAUGCAUGGUAUAUGUAUUUCACUAUUAAAUUAUUUUUAAUUCGAGGUAUCUAUUAUGUUAAAUGAAAAGUAUUUGAAACUAAUUUGUUUUAGCCUAUUACAAUAUUUUGUUAAAAUAAAAUCGUUCUUUAAAUUAUUUAUAAUAAACCUUUUAUUUAUUAAAAACUUGUUUUAUAAAUUGUCUUAAAAAAACUUUUAUUAAAUUGUUUUAAGUCAAAUACUUUGAAAUAAUUAUCAAUUAUUUAAAUGAUUAAAAGUUCAAGGAUGAUUUUAAAUGUUUUUGCUCAUUGUCUGUAAUGAUGCUAUGUUAUGUUAUAUGUUGUGGAAGGCUAGUUGGAAUAUGUGUACAUAUGAUGUUAAUGUUAAUGAUUCUCGUGGGGUACAGUACUCUAAAUGAUGUCAUACGGAUGGGUCACUGGGUCUACAAGUGAUACUAUGUGGAAUGAGCUAAGUAUGUUUUAUGUAUUUAAAAAGCUAAUUAUGUUUUACAUGUUUGAAAUGCUAUUAUUAUGUUUAAAGGAUUUAAAUGACUUUCUGAUGUUUUGAUUUAUUUUUUAUAAAUGAUUAUUUACAAAAGUAAUUUCCCUUAUUAUUAUUAUGCAUAUCUAAGAAAUUCAAACAAUUAUAAUUUAAUGGUUUUUAGUAUUGUGCAUGAAUUUACUUACCGAGUUGACGGCUCACCCCUUGUUAUCAUAUUUUUGUAGAUAGAGUUAGAUGAUGUGAGCUCAUGAUCUUAGGAGGAAGAAUGAGAGCUCGUUUAUUUUUGGGGAUUAAUGUUACAUUAAUAAUUUAGCUUCCUUUGGCAUGAUAUUUAUUUGAGAAUUUGUUAUUUCAUUACUUAUUAUCUUUUGGAAGAGGAGCAUUUACUGUUGGAUAUUAAUUUGAUGAUUUUAGAUACGAGAGUGAUGAAAUACAGUUUCACUUCAAUUUCACUUUAGUAUCUUAUUAGUGGAAUUGGGGUGUUACAUACGUGCCCGGUCAAUGAACUUGAACUUUAAAUAGUUUUUUCAACUCAUUGAUUUUUGGAACUCAUAUUGGUGCAAGGAAAUCAAAAGAAAUUUAUGAUUAGUCAAAUUCUGAUAGUUGCUAUAUAUUAUACAUUCUAAAGUUUCUUGAGUUUGUUUUCAGAUGAAAAUAUGAUCAAUUCAUUUUGUUUUUGAAGUGUAGGAAAAUAGGCUGGGAUAUUAAUGCAUAGGCAAAAACUUUUUGAGUGGCUUUCCAGCGGAUAAUUAUCGGAAACAUGACUGGAUUUUUUGACUUCCGUAAAUCUUGCAUUUUAACCUGGCAAAUUUAACAAAAGUUCAAUACAACUUUGUUAGUGCCUUGUGUUCCAGAAGCUAGAAAGAUGUGUAGAUUCCAUAUAAGCGGGCUUGUAAUUACUCUAGUAAGAAUCCAAUUAUUUGCCUUUGCACCUUCAUUUUAUUUGUGGAUCCUUGCAUGUUUCUGAAUUUGAUCAAUCCAAAAGGAAUUGCUCUGAAGAAUAGCAGUAACUAGCCUAUGUCUUAGUGCAUGGACCUGCAAACCUGAGCUGACAAAGCUGAAACUAUUAGUUUGAGGUGACAAAUCCAUGAUCGUCACCUGUUAACUUCUGCUAGUUGCUUUCGUGAAACACUUUUAAGAAAUAAGCAAUUUGUUGUUAGUCGCCGUAUCUGAUGUGCUUUCUUUUAUAGUUUGUAGAAUCAACUGUAUUAUAUGUUGUCAGUUGCAGUAUCUGAGGUGUCUUUUGCAAUUUACUUGACCUUUAUUUGUUUGCUAGUGAGUUAAGAAUACCAACAUUGGCCAGAGAUUUGGAGAAACAUCCGAAGACGCUUAACAAACUUGGAGAUGCACUUGCUUCCAAGCUUCAUUCAUCACAAUGCGAAUCCGGUGAGUACUUAUGUCUUCAAUUAUGUAGAGUGUUUGAAAUUUUGAUGCAGCGAGAUGGUUUGUUGAUGCAAAACUUUAUACUGUUAAGGACUUACCCUGCAGGCUUUUUGCAUGUUGUAUCAACUCCAAAAUCCAACGAGAACUACAGCACCAAAGCCCAGUUUUCACUGAUUCAAUCAGCUGAAAUCAUGAGGGAAAUAACAGUAUAGCACCAUCAAGCUGGACUUAGAGAAUAAUCAGAUCAGUCAUCCAUUUCAUGAACUGUUAAUUUCAUGAUGGAGGCUUAGUGGAGCUGAAGAGGAAACAAGGAUGUGUAGGGAUCAACAAACAACAGUGAGAAGCACGAUUGGAGCUCUGAUUACAAAUAGACAAUUUAAAAAUAUGUGCUGGUAAGUGGAAAUUAAAGAAAUUUGUGAGCUCAUUCAAGUUUCGGUAUUUUCUUUUUGGAUAACGUUGAUACCAAGUUUGGCAAAUCUGUGUUUUCUGCGUUUAAUCUGUGUUUUGGUUAAAGUAGAUGCUCUGAUUAAUACUUGUUUGUUUUCAUAAAACAGGACAAAAAGAGAUCACCAAUCUUGAUUGAGAAUUCAUUUAAGUAAAAUUUCAAAAAUUGCCAAACACAGUAUAAACUAGGAUGCACUUGCUUAAGAUUCAUUUUCAGACGGAAGUUUGUACCUCCAGAUCAUAAAAUCAUGUUUAUGUUGUAUCUUUAUUCAGCAAUUGAAAGAUUCCAAGUUUGCUGAAACCAUAUUAUUUCUUUCCCAGGCGCUUUCCUGAAGGUAUCGACAUCUAUUUCGAAAAUGUUGGGGAUAAGUUGCUUGAUGCAGUGCUACAAAACUAUGAAGGAUUUCUUGUCGGUGAUUACUACCACCUGGAUAAAAAAUUCAUGGAACUGGUCAUGCCGGCAAUAAAAGAAGGAAAGGUGGUACACGUGGAAGACAUAGAUGAAGGCCUCUGUAUACGUCGAAGACAUAGAUGAAGGCCUGGAGUCCAACAGCCCUCGCUGGGCUAUUCAUUGAUCGGAAUGUCACGAAACAACUGAUUGUAGUUGCUUGGGAAUUUAAAAACCACCAUAUGCUGUAGAAAUGCACAGAGCCAUGCACUUUCAAAGCUUUGUGAAGAUGUCUUGGUCAUGUGUUAGAACAGAUUAUGUUUGUUCGAUUAAAUUGUACGCAGUUAUAAAUCAAAGAUUCAGAACAUUGCAUGUAGAAGUUCAAAUUUUAAAUUUUUGGAAGCAGAGGCGUAGAGUUUUUUUCUUUUGGAAAAAAAAAUCUAAAUUGUGGAGACUAUUUUUAUUUAAUUUUACAAUCUUAUUUUAUUUCUUUCACAACAUAAUUUUAAAAUAUUUAUUUAGUAAAUUAUUAACAUCCAAACCACUAAAGAUUUUUUUGUUAAACGCUCUACUUACAAAGUUAUAUUAAUUAUAGAUUUACUCAAAGAAAGUAUAUUUAAGAAGUUAUAGCAAAAAAAAGUUCUAAUCUGUCUUACAAAGGACUAUUGACAAGAGUGGUGCGACUCCCACCCCUUCAAAGUCCACUUGACACCACGCUUUCUCGAUUUAAAAUUUUAUAUAGUUGAAAAUUGUGUUUUCUUUUAAAUCUCCUUGCUUUCCUCUAUUCUUGUUACUUGAGAAGAAGAACCAGAGUCUAGAAGAACGAAAGAAAAUUCAGCGAGAUAGAAAUUUGGAAAUUUCAUCCGAGCUUUUUUUUUCUUAAAUUUUUUGGUAUUUCUUCCUUGUUUCUAUGGAUUCGUUCAAUGGAUUCUUGACCAUUCUUCCUUCUUUCUAUUUUCUACCAUGAUUCAGAAUUUUUCCUUAAAAAAAAUCUAGAUGCAUGGCCAAAUGAAAUGACCCCCUUUAGAGCUUCGGUUACUGUUGCAUAUUCAGCGUCUGCAUUUGACAAAGCAACUAAAUGCACACUAAAGACUUGCUGUUUCCAUUCAGUAUGCAGUUACACAGACAAAGGCCUUAAUUAUUGUCAAGUUCUCCAGUAGCAUACUCCGAAAUCCACAUACCAACCCACCAGAACUCCAAUCUUGAAACUCCAUAAAUCAAAAUUGAAGUGCCUGCCUCUCUGGUACCUCUCAAGGUCCAUUUUACUACUUUCCAUGUCUUUCCAUGCAUCUACUGACAACUUGGGAAAUGCCAGGUCUUGCAAGCACCACUACUUACAUUUGAGUCUGCUAUUAUUAUUAUUACUAUUUUAUUAUUAUUAUUUAAAAAAAAACACUCUAACUAGGAGAGACAAGUUCCGUGUAGUAGGACUGAGCAACAGGGCCGUAGCAAAUAUUAUGUUUUUAAUCAUUCUUGUACCAAAGUAUUUAAGUAUGCGAUAAAAAAUAAUAAUAAUAAUUUAUUGACAACUAAAAGUUAAUAGUGGCUGGGGUGGACCUGGGUUUUGUUUAAAAAAAUUGAUUAAUAAAAUUUUCGAAAUUUCAAAUUUCUAGUACAGAGAAAAUUGAUGAAUAAAAUUCUGCAAGUUAAUUUCUAAUAUGCCAUGAAAAUAUUAUCAAGUUAAAUUGUAACAUCGUUAAUCACUUAAUCCUCAGUCUAAUAUGCCAUAUAUUUGUUUCUCAGGCUUUAAUCGAAAGUGCCGGUGAUUUAUUGUUAUUUUCAGUAAUCAGAUAGGUAUGUUAAGGCUGUUUAAUUCAUCGACAAUGUACCAACAAGACUCAGAUUGGGAGAUUGUAAAUGUAAUUAACAAUAAUCUUUUAUUCAUUUUGAAGUUCAUUCUAUUGUUUACACAGGAGCAGCGUUCUCUUAUGUUUUAUGGAUAUAAUGUUUGGUAAUCCUAAUUUAAGCUAAGGUAUAUAUAUUUCCUAAUUACAUCUAAUUUAAGCUUAUUCAAAUGCAAUCAAUUAAUGUUCAAUAGUAAAAAUUCCAAAUACUAUAUAUUGUAAGAAUUUUAAUCGUAAUGACAAGGUGAUCAUUUGAAUUAUUAUUAUUAAAUUAUAUGUAUGGUGGAGUCCACACGGUUUUGACUAGAAAUCAAAGAGUUAAGAGACAAUAUUAAUUUAUUUAAGUUAAUAGUAUUUGUUCUGUUUAGUACGUCUUUUGACCAACAAGCAUCCCGGCAUUGCACGCAUUAAUUAAUAAAGCAUUGUGCAUGUCACAUUAUUAGAGCCAAUUGCGCCCGGUACACCUCCAUACUUCAAAAAUUAUCUUAAUACCCUAAAAUCUGUUUUUACCAAAAUUUUCAUCGAUACCCUUUAAAAACGGAUAGGAAAUUACUAAGCUAUCCUCAUUUUAAAACAUUUCAACUCAACGGACAGCACCUCUCCCUUCUCUACUGAAGCAAACAAACACUCAUCUGCUGCAAUUCCCUCCAUUAUCAAACUCAAAUAAACAAACACUGCAAUUCCCUCACCGGCAUCACCUCUGCAAUUCCCUCACCGGCAUCACCUCUACCGAAACAAAUAUUCAUUCUCCAUACAUGAUAAAUUGAACUUCAACACGAGCAAACUAAGCUUGAGAAGGGGAAGCUGCCACAACUGAGAAAGAGAAGCCUAGUUCGUCUCUACAUAAUCGCCGGCGAGAGCUGAUCCUUUACUGUAAAAUAGUCAUAAUUUAACUAGUUGAGGUAAGUAAUUCUCUAUAAAUAGUUUUCUUGUUGAUAUUCAGGGAAAAAAAAAACAAAAAGUUAGGGUUUAUAUAGAAAAAUUAGAUUAAUUAGUUGCGGGUCUCUCAUUACAUGUUCAAAAACAAAUUUCUAGUUGUUUUACUACAUGCAAAUUGUGAACAAUUGAUGGAUUGUGCCGAUUAUAAUUUUGUCAUGUAACACACAAUUUGGUCGUGUAAGGUUAUGUAGGAUUCAAGGUUGUGUAUUACACGACCUUCAUGUAUUGCACUUACACGACUUCAUGUAUUGCACUUACACGACUUCAUGUAUUGCAAUUACACGACUUCAUGUAUUACACGACGUUCAUGUAUUACACGACGUUCAUGUAUUACACGACCUUCAUAUAUUACACGACCUCAUGUAUUACACGACCUCAAAAUUACACGACUUUUUUUACUGUUGUUAAUUCAUUAUAAUAACUUAGUUGUUUAAACACUUAAUUUUUGCUAAGAAUUUAUAUUUGUUGCUAUGCAGAAAAUGUCAACGAAAAGUAUUCAGGAAAAAAUGAAACGAGGCAAACCGAAAGUGAAAAUUACUAAUUUGUCAUCGUUGGAACCAAUAAGAAUAAUAAAAAAUAACCUUAGUGACGUACAAUUGGGGAUUUUUCGCAAAUCAUGUUUUGGGCACUUUUUGGACUUGAAUGAGUUUCAGUUUUGUGCCCAGUUGUUGCACAAGUUGGUAUUAAGUCAUAUGCAUUCAUCCGAUAAGGCAAUGUAUUUUAAGAUAGGGAAAAAAGUUUGUCGAUUUUCAAUGUUUGAAUUUGCAUUAGUUACUGGACUGAAUUGUGAAGAAAUUUAUAAACCUAACUUGGACAUUGUUGAUGACGGUGGUCGUGUAUGUGAUGUUUUGUUGGACGGUUGCACAAAGUUCACUAACACAACGCUAGGUCAGAUAUUUGAAGCAACUAAGUCCAAGGAUGAUAUGAAAAUGGUUAAAUUUGCCAUGUUGUACUUUUUGGAGGUUGUAUUACUUGGAAAAGAAUAUAGAUCAUCUAUAAUUAGGGAUCACAUUCUCCACAUUGACAACUUUGAAGAUUUCAAUAAAUAUCCUUGGGGCCGUGUCUGUUUUGAGAACACAUUAGAAAGUAUGAAGAAUGUGAUUGCAAUUAGACAGAAUAGAGAAAGGGCAAAUCCAGACUAUGUCCCUGAAAAGGAGGCAUACAGUCUUCAUGGCUGUCCAUUUGCAGUUCAGGUAACAAAUUGUCAAUAUUGGUUUCGUAAAGAUUAUUAAGAUUAGGAAUAUUAAUUAUUUCUUUUACUUGCACAGGUAUGGGCACUUGAAAUUUUCAGUGAAGUGUGUGAAACUUUUUCCUCGAAAUGUAAGCAUGUCAAAUAUCCAAGAAUUCUAAAUUGGACAAUCACUAAACAUGUUAGCUCUAAUUUGCUUGACUAUUCCAUAUUUGAUAAGAAAAAGGUAAUAACAAACAAUCUAGAUCGUUAGUGUCUUUCUUUUUUUCUUUUUAAUUUAUCUUUGACAUUUAUUAAUUGGCCUAAUUAUUACAGCUUAAGGUACUGGAGAAGUUGGAUGUCGCUGAUGAAAUAGAGGCAUCACAGCCUAAUCUACAAUGGUUUUGGCAAACAAAUUGGCUGCAACAACUUGAAAAUGAUUUUCGUGUUGACUCAAAGAGUAAAAAAUCAGCCACUCCAGUCUCAGAACAGAAAAGUAGCAGUGUUGUGCAGAAAAAUUAUGUGGCCAUGGAAGUUAAAGAGACUAAUAAACGUGCGAAGUGUCAAGUUAUGUCCAUGAAAUACAAAAUGAAUUAUGAACAUGCAAAUUCUGUUGAGGACAAAACUGUAAGUUUUUUUAAUCUUUUAAUAACAAUUGCAUUUUUCAAUUUUUUUUUUGUUUGCCUAAUAGGCUCUGUCUUGUUCUGCUUGCAAGGGUAAACGUCUUGGUUACAUUGAUAAUUUGAUUUCUUUUAUCGAGGACAAGUUUAAUUGUUUGGAUAAGCGUCUCAAAAAGAUCGAAGAGAAGGUGCAAAAAAUUGACUCAUUAGAGGAGAAUACAGGUGAUGUGAGGGAGAUGAGAGAACAAGUCAAUAAAAUUGUAGACUUAGUGGAGUUCCUAAAUUCAGCGGACUACAAUGUGAAGGUUCAUUUUAUUAUUAUUUUUAACUAAGUAUGUUAUUAUUUUUAACUAAGUACAAAUUGUGUAAAGUUAUUAAUAUUUGCUGCUGUGCAGAUUCCGACAACAUUUGAUGAUAACCCGAGUAUUGCCACACCUGCGACUGUGUUUCCAAGCUUCACCACAAAUGCAGGCAUAGUCAAAGAGGAUCCAAUAAUUAUUCCGUCUACACAGCAAGAGGUGAAAAAAUAUGAAAGAAAAAGGCGAUCUCGAAAGGAUGCAGCUGUUUUACGCACGCCAUAUACUAACCCAUUUCGAAAAUCGCGACAUGUCAACGUCGAUGAAGCAAAACAGCAAGUUCAGUUUGAGCAUUGGCUGAAGGAGGAUAAUAUGGAAUCGUAAUUCCUUAUUUCUCUUUGUAAACUUACUUUUAUUUGAAACAAUAUUUCCUGGUUGACUAUAACAAGCAAUAAGUUUUACUCACAUUUUCUUUUUCGUUACUGCACAGUAAAAUAUUAUCGUGGCCUAUGCAUAAAGCAACAAAGAACUUCUUCCGCAGCUUGUAUGAUGCAGACGCGUGGUUAAAUGGCGGGGUAUUAUUAAUAUAGUUUUUGUUUAGCAUGUAAUUUACUGCAGUAAUGUUUGCAUUUAAUAUUAAUUUACAUAUGUUGGUAAUAUGUACAGCAUAUAGACGUUGGUUGUUACGUGAUAAGAUAUGAUUUGGCCAAGCUCACUAUGCCACAUUUGCACCAAUGUGCAAUCAUGGAUAGUGUAUUUCAGGUACUUAGUACUCUGUAGUAAUAAACAAAUAAGAUAUGUAAAUUUGUGCACUGAAAACUUGCAAAAUUCAUUGUUUUUUCAGCAAAAGCUUUUGUUGAAGUAUGAGUUGUUUAAGAAGGAUCCAACUACAAUAUGGGAUGAAGAUCAAGAACAUGAUUUGACAAUCAAACAAGCAAAUGGCGAAGAUCUUCCAUUCGCUAUUCCAUGGAGAGAUGUUUAUAAGGUAAAGUUUAAAUUUUCUUAAUGCAUCGCUAAAGUUUAAAUUUUCUAUUUUUGAUUGGCUCAAAUUAUUGUAGGUUUAUAUCCCAAUUAAUGUACUUGAGUGUCAUUGGAUUCUUGCUGAGGUUGACAUUGUAAGGGAGACAAUUUCCAUAUAUGACUCCAUGGUUUCUAUAAUGAAUGACUCAACAUUUUUGAAAGAAUUAUUGCCAUAUGCUGUUAUUAUUCCUCUUCUACUGGAGAAGGUUUUAUGGUAUGAUUCGCACCCUGAAACUACCCAAAAAAAUAAAGUUUGGAUAGUUUUGCGUUUAGCGAAUACGCCACAGUAAGAAUCUCGGUGAGCAUACCAAAUGCUCAAUUUAUUUUCAUUUUACUGUUAUAGUUAUAUAUUCAGUAUAUAGUUAACUAUUUUUUAAAAUUCUCAGUGGAGAUUGUGGUGUGUUUGUUUUGCGUUACCUGGACACACUUGCACGUGGUGAAGAUAUUCAAACAAAUUGUACGCAGGCACAUGUCUCUUCUUAUCGCAAGCAACUAGCUGAAAGACUUUUCUAUGACCAGUCAUUACUUUCAAAGAACAACUAACAUGUGAGUAUUAUUUUUUUAAAUGAAGUCAUUGCUGUUGGAAUAGUUUGGUUUCUUAAUGUGAAACCAAAAUAGGCCAUCACUGUUAGUUUGGUUUCUAAUUAAUUUCAUGGAUUUAUUAUAUGCAGGCAUUCCUCAUGCAUGCAUGUAUGCUUCGGCAGAGGAAGAAAGCAAUUUCAAGAAAAAAAAACUUUUAAAUGGUUGUAAUAUGUUUAAUUGCGAUAUCCAUUAGUGUAUCCUAUCCAAAUAUUGACAUUGUAAACUGAUAACUUUCUUUAUUUAUAAUAAUUAAUCUCAUCAUUUCUCAAACUGUCGAAUAUGCAAACUUAUUUGUUUGCUGUAAUUUAUGAACACACAAUUUGGUCAUGUAAGGUCAUGUACACGACGGUCGUGUAUUACACGACCGUCGUGUAGUACACGAGUAUAUUACAUGACCUUAAUAUAGUACGCGACUAUUACAUGACGUUCAUGUAUUACAGGACUUCAUGUGUUACACGACUUUUUCCAAUAAUCAUCAGAUUAAUUUAGUUCUUUAAGGACUUAAUUGGGGCUAAAAUUUUAUAUUUGUUGCUUUGUAGAAAAUGUCAACUGAAAUUAUAAAAACAAAGAAGUUAAAUUAAAUUGGAAUGUAAAGAAAUUUAGUUAUUUCAUAAUGCAACAAAUUACAGUUUCCAAGCAUAACAUAUCCAAGACUAAAAAAUUGUAAAUCCAAUUAUCUAAGUUUGGUUAGCCGUAGGGCCAUGCUCUUGCUCUGAAAGUGGUGUUGUUGCAGUGCAUGUUAGUCGAUUAUGCCCCUCAAUCUGCACCUACUACACUUGCGGUGCACGAUGUCUUCCCCUUGAGAAGGUAUUCUAGUAGUUCGCGGUCGUCCUACCUCUCGCUUUUUCAUUGGCAGUGACAGCACAUAUGCACGCACCUCUUCUGAAACAUCCCAUUCCUCUUGUGGACCCACAAGAUAAAUGCUCUCUGCAUAUGCUGUAACCCAUGCAUUGACAGAAUAAUAAUGAGCACAUAAAUCAUAAAUAGAAUAGUUACGCAUAUGCUUACAUACAGCUACCACAUGUUCAUAGGGAAAUUGGUCAAUUUGAAACUCAUUACAACUGCAAGUCUUUUGUAGCACGUCAACAUGGCCAUCAAGGUCGCCAUCCUUAACUAUAAACUCAUGGAAAUUAAUCUGUAUUACUGGAUAUGUGUGUGAUUUAUCCAAUUUCCCUUUCAACUAUUUCUCAACCCAAGUAGUCAUUAAAGUACAUGCAUCCAUUGCCAAAUCUCGCCUUUUUGCAAACCAUUCUUGUAAUUUGUCAAUGAUACAAUCCAUUAACUUAUAAAUAGGCAAGGUUCGUGCUUCUUUUAAGAUAGAAUUCAUACUUUCUGCAAUGUUAGUCGUCAUAAUCCCAUAACGCCUCCCCUCAAAAUGAGAACGAGCCCACUUCUCAUAUCCGGCAUCAGUCAGGUAUUGGUGAACAUUCAAACUAACACUGCGGAUGACAUUCAUAUAUUGAGUAAACUUAAUGGGCCGAUAUGCCUUUGCAGCCAAUUCAAAUAAAGCACCCACAUCAACUUCUUUAAAAUGAGCAUUUACAUUUCGUUUUAGAUGAUGCGUACAUAUGUCAUACCCUACAGUAGGAAAUACUUUAUCAACUGCUUUCUUAAUACUUCCAUGACGGUCAGAAAUGAAUACUAAAUUAGGAACAUCACCAAUAGACUCUCUUAACUUCAUAAAAUACCAUUCCCAUGAAGCGUCAUUCUCACUGUCACCUACACCAAAUGCAACAGGGUAAAGUUGAUUGUUGCCAUCAAGAGAUGUUGCAAUGAAUAAUGUUCCUUUGUACUUGCCCCUCAUGAAUGUACCAUCAACUGCAAUAACAGGCCUAAUACAUGAAGUGAAUCCUCUCAAAGAACUUCCAAUGGCCAUGAAACAGUACUUGAAGUUGUUCGCACUGUCUUUUUUAAUGAAUGUUCGACUUCCAGGAUUUUUUUUUUUCAACCAUUGCCAUGUAUGAGGGUAAUAAAUGGUAUGAAUCAGCCGGACUGCCCCUAACCAUCUCCAUUGCAAACUCCCUUGCUCUCCACGCCUUGUGAUAACUUAUUUCAUAACCAAACUCUUUUUGAAAAUCUUGCAUAAUAUCAGCUGGCUUAUACGUAGAUGAAGCACCAUCAAACUUGUGCCGAAAAUUUUUCCCAACUAACUUGGAUGAAGCUUGACGGUUGUCUUUUUCCUGUGAAUCAAGGGAGCAAGUAUGGACAUUGUAAUACUUUCUAAUUUCAAACAUGUUGCAACCUUUAAGUCUACUUGCACGAAGGCGCCAUUUGCAGUUGUCAUCCAUACAAACAACAACAAGUAAGUCCUUGUCUGAUUUUGGGGUUUUGAAUUGGAACCUUUUUUUCACAACUAGUGCUUUAAGCUUUUCUUGCAAUGCCUCCUUUGACUCAAACACCUCUUUCACCAUCGACACAUCAGUAUCACCACUAACUUCUGUUGAUAAUAAAUUACUGCUACUAGUAAGUAAAUUUAUUCUGGGCACAUGUCCAUUGUUUGAGGUUCUUGAACUUAUAGGAGCUGGAGUAUUAUCUCCUAAUGCUAAAUCAACAGCUAAUGGUGGCUCAUCCAAACAAUCAACUUCAGUUACAAAUUCAUUAACUUCAGUAAAAUUGUUCGAACUGAGAAUAGGAAAUGAUGGAGGCACGUAGCUGGAGAAAGCAUGACUCUCUUCCCAUGAAAGACGAGGUGAAGGUUGUCUAUCCACCGGAACUGUCGAAAUUGAUCUACGUUCAAAAGUAAUGCAGAGCGGGUUUCUAAACUCCAUUCCACUAGCUACUUCCUCUAAGAAAAAUUCCACAUCAUCAUUGGUUUGAAUUGUAACUGGUGGCAUAGGAUCAGAUGUCUUAAGUUUGAACUUCAUUGUGAUUUCGAAUUCCGAAGUAUCUAUAUCAAUAACUUCAGCUAUCUUGUCCACCAAUUCGGCAUAUGUUGUCGAUCGUGGUAUCAUUAUCCCUUUAGCCUUGGAACCUUUGAACUUAUACUCGUCAUUUUGCUCAAUCCAUUCACCAUUAAAGAGAAUAGGCACACGUACCAAAACCAUUUCUGAUGAUACAAUAAAAACAAUAAUAUCAAAUUUCAUAUACAAGUAAGUACACGACUUACACGACUAUAAUACUUACACGACUUACACGACUAUAUUUCUUACAUGACCUACACGACUUACACGACUAUAUUUCUUACAUGACUUACAUGACUUACACGACUAUAUUACUUACACGACCUACAUGACUAACUAUAUGACGUACACAGUAUCAAGAGAAUGCACGGCGCGAAACAUUUUCGCUAUAAAUAAGUUAUAUUGCUGAAAAAAAUAAUUAAACAACCUACAUUGCAUAUAUUUCUACAUAUAAGAAAAAAUGGUGAAAAUAAAACAUUGUAAUGUGAGGAAAAUUUCUAAAUUUUUCUCAAAAUUAAUAAAUUUAAAACCCAAAAACAUUAACAUACCUUAUUGGGUUGUUUAAUAAGCAAUGCACCUUUAAAGAAAGAGUGGGUGUUAAAGAAAUAAAUACAUAAUUGUAUUUGUGUAAGAAGUUAUGAGAGAUUUUGAGAGAUUCUAAGAGAUUUUGAAAGAAUCGGCAGCAAAAAUGGAGUUGGGUGAAAGAAAUGAGGAAAUGAAUAUGAAGACAAUUUAUUGAAUGAAUUUGAUGCAUUCAUUAAGGGUAUUUCUGACUUUACUCACAUUUGUUAGGGUAUUCAUGAAAACUAAAAAGGGAGGGGGUAUUUCAAUAAUUUUGAAACUAUUAAAGGGUAUUUAAUUAAAAACCCCACAUUAUUAGUACCUAGUUGAUUAGUCAUUUGGUCUUCAAUAAAUGUUAGUUGAUAUAUGCUUGAAAUCAUAUUCUGUUUUAUAUGCCGAAUCAUAUUGUAAGAUGGUGAUAUUAGCAUGUUUCUUUUUCUUUGUGCUGUUUCUCGUUUGAUUACAUUUUCAACAACAAGUCGAUCUGUUGAAGAACAAGUUUGGGUUUGAUGAUGCUUUUAACUAUAAGGAAGAGCCAGACUUGGAUGCAGCUCUCAAUGGGUUGACACGAAUGAAUCCUUUCACCCUUUUUCUCACUUCAUUAUUACAAUGCGCUUUGAAGUUAUCUGUGUUGUUAAGGUUAAGGUUAACCCUGCAGGCUUGUUCGAUGCUGUAUCAACUCCAAAAUCGAACAACAUCUACAGCACCAAGACCCGGUUUCAAUCAGCUCAAAUGAUGAGGUAAAUAACACCAUCAAGCUCAGCUUAGAGACUCAUUAGAUAAGUAAUCCAUUUUCUCAGCUGUUAAUCUCUUGAUGGUGGCUAGUGGAGAAGCAGAGGAAACAAAGGAUGUGCCGGAAUCAAUUAGAACAGUGAGAAGCGUGAGGGGAGUUAUGAUUAUAUUUAGGCUUUUUGAUGAUGCUUUGAACAAAAAGGAAGAGCCAGACUUUGAUGAAGCUCUUGAAAGGUUAGCGAAAAUGAACGCUUUAACCAUGUUUCCAACUUCAUUAUCACAAUAUCUGACAUUGCAUAACUUCAAGUAAAGUUGCUCUUAAAAGGUUAGCAAAAAGCCAAAAAUGAUUGAAGUUAUCUGAGUUGAUCCAGAAAAUGUAAUGGAAAUACUCCCCUGCUUCGUAAAACAGGACAAACAGAGAUCGCUGGUCGCGCAUGGGAACUAAUUGCAUUAAAGUUUCAAACAUUACCAAACAAACUAGGAUGCAUUUGCUUAAGAUUCAUUUUCAAAAGCAAGUUGUAUGUUUAUGUUGCAGCCUAUAAAACCAUGUUUAUGUUGUAUGUUUAUUCAGGAAAUGAAAGAUUCGUCGUGUUAUUUUAUUCCAAGAAUUCGCUGAAACCAUACCUGCUUUCCCAGAUGCUUUCCUGAAGGUAUCGACAUCUAUUUAAAAAAUUCUGGGGGUAAGAUGCUUGAUGCAGUGCUACUCAACAUGAGAAUUCACGGCCGCUGCUGUAUGCUGAAAGAUCUCACCGUACAACCGUGAGAAGCCUGAAGGUGUAUUCAACUUGAUACAACUGGUCGUAGUUGCUAGGGAAGGAUAUAAGGUGUACUCAACUUGAUAUGCUGUAAAAGUGCACUAUGCCAUGUACUUUUAAAGCUUUUUGAAGAUGUUUUGGCCAUGUGUUUGAUUAGAUUGUACUCAGAUAUAAAUCAAAGAUUCAGAACAUGUUUGUUACUGUUUUUCAGAAUCCAGAACAAUAAAUACCUUGAAAUGUUUUUGUUCAAUGAUUUUGCAGAAGACCAGCUUCCUUGUUAAUGAAUCAAGAUGGCUGAAUCCGUCCCUAAGCCAAAUCUGUUUUCACUUUUAGGUUAGAAAUUGUCAUUAAAAAGUGUUUGAUAAAAUAUGCUCCGGGAACGCUAUUCGUCAGAUGGUUACUCCAAGUUUAUGAAAUCAAUGGUAUUUCAUCAUAUUCAUAACACUCUGCUUUAAUAUCUAUUCUAACAGAGAAAUUAUAUACAGAGAAUAGGUUGCGUUAGAACUUUUGCUAGAAAAAAGUGACAAGAAUUCAUCGUUCACUUGUAUCUUAAGUAAGUGUAAAAUUUAAAAUCCCAUCAUGAAAAACUCCUGGGAGAAAAAACUAUAAAAAUUAAAGAAAAAAGAGUGUGGCGUGCAUGUAAAUUAUGUCGAUUCUAUCUAUACGAUAAAUACACUCUCUUUUACAAUGGCACGGAUGCUUCAUUGAGUAAUCAUGAUUGUUGCUGGUAGUGCUUUGUUGAAUCAAUCUGCUAGAUAUUCAGCUUUCUUUCUUUCUUACUUUUUUUUUGUUUUAAUAAAUAGCUUGUGGUUGUGAAAAUAAUUUGAAUUAAACUAUGCUUAACUGCCUAUUUGGUACAACUUCUCUACUAGCCAAAAGAUUUUUUUUUAAUCAUUUAUUUAUACCUCGAGUAGAGUUUUUGGAGAUUAAAUAGGUGAUAUUUUGUCUCUAUUAAAAAGAAAACUCAAAAGGUAGGACUAUUUGAAGUUUGAAUCCACCAAACUACUCAUUAAAAAUUCAUUUGUGAAAAUAAUUUUUAAUUAUUAAAAUACCCCUAAAUUAAAUUACAAUUAUGAACACUAAAAUAUAGUAAACAAUUUUUUUUUUACUCUUUGAAAUUGUCCUUACAUUCGAUAUUAAAUUUUUUUCUUAAACUCUAAAUUAAUUUUUUUUUUCAUUUUUAAGUAAUUUUAAGGCACAUAUAAAGUGAUUCAUAUUGAUUUUAUACUAACAAACUAUUACAGCAGAUUUGGAAAAUGAUUAACUCGUUCUCAUUUUCCUAGUGAAAAUGCAAAUAGCUCAUUUAAACGUUAAGGAAUUGGAGAGUUGCUGCUGGAGAUGAAAGAUGUGAAUUAAACAUCAGAAAAAAAAAUUAUGUUUACUAUCUUACCAGACCAAGCACCGAAAAGCAUGGUAAAGAAAAAUUACAUAAUUCUGACUUAGAAGACGAAAAAAAAUGAAAUACAAUUUGAAUAAGAGAUAGAAGAUAAAGCACGUGAAUGGAGGCAGAAAGCAAGUAAUGAUAACUCUUUCGACAAAACUAAUAUAUAUCAAAAUGCAAUAUCAAAAAUGAAAAUAAAAAUUCAUUACGAAUACAUGUUAAUGAUAUCCCAAGUGUUGAGUAAUAAAAAGUACCAGGCAGGCAUCUCCCCAUUCCAUGCCUGAGAAUGAAUCUCUCCAGCUGAAUGAUACGAGCAGAUUCCUAAUAAUAUAUCCUUUAUGGAACACAUACCAACUAGAAACGAAUACCGACCAGAAGUUCAUACCGACCAGGUACUUGUCACUCAAAGAAAGAGAAUACAAUCUCACGAACGCGCGACAGUUUUGCCACAUUCCAAACCGCUAGGGAGAACACGACGCCCCACGUUUACCCACAUUCAGUUGUUGAAGACCCAUUAAGGCCCUUGAUCACCCAAAUAUGACGGGAAGGAAAAAUAUUCUGAGAAAGUGGGACGAUUGCCUAUAAAAAGCUGGGAAAUCAAUUAAGAAAGGGACAGACAAAAAGAGAGAGGGGGGAAACUCUACCGAAUUGAUACCAGGCAUUACUACAUAAUAGCCUUAAAUACAUUUUACUUUAAGAACAUCACAAUGAGUGUGCGUAACCAUAAAUCAUACAAUUUUCCCGCAAACUUCAUGUACUAACUUAAGCAUCGGAGGGUUUAUUCCGGAAAAACCACCAACGUCUCUGGUUUGUUUAUGUGAAUGUAGAUUUGAAAAGAAGAGAAAGAGUGAUUUGAGUUCAAGGAGCUCGGGCAAUUGCUAAAGUUAGUGGAAAAAAUUAAAUGAGACUCAAAAUCAAUCCAGAGGAAUAAAUGAGAAACCUAAUCCUAAUAAAAUACAUUCACAAAUCUUAAUGCUAAUUAAAAUCACGGAUAAAAAACAUAAUAUGAAUGAAUUACAGGCACAACUAUUUUAUUAAGAAAUUAAUAAAAUCGUGUAUUAAUAUAUUUUGUACAUUUUUUUUCCAUAUAUAACUUUCGGUAAUUUAGUUUUCCACUUAUCAUUUUUACUCCAAAAAAAUAUUGAGAAUAUUAUUUAUGUUUUGGUGUAAAAUAUUUGAACAAUAUACAAAUUUUCAGUUUAAUACAUCUAAACAUUUAUUAAGUUAUAAAUGAAUUUAAUGGGUUUAACUAGUACAAAUACUAUUAUUUUAUAAAUUGGGUUUAAUAAUAGUAUAUUGGGGAUUUAGGUUGAGUAAAUUUUAAAAUUUUAAAAUUAAAGGGUGGGUUUGUUUAGCAAAUGAGUUUUUUUUUUUUUUUUAUUACAUGAGACUAUUGCUCAAAUUACAGUUCAAGUUACAACUCAUAUUACAUGAGAGUAUAAUUGAUAUGUACAAUCAUAUAUUUAUACUGAGCCCUGUUGAUAUUAAUGCUGAUAUGACACCGCUCAGAUUUUUAACCCUCUCAAAUAUUUGAGGGAUGUCAAACUCCCAUCCUGGGAGAAAGACUGUCUUCACUCGAGCUCAAGGGCUCCAAGAAAGAAUAUUUAAAGUAAAACCCCUACAAUGCGACUGCGGAGGCUCGAACCCCUUCCCUCACAUUUGUGAGGGAGGGGCUUAGCCUUAGCCCAAGUGGCUCUUUUAGCAAAUGAGUUAAGGGAAUAGUUUGUUGGGAUUUAAAUAGCCCCACCCAAACUCAAAUGUAAAAUUUUUGAAAAAAGAGACUAUUACGUUUUAAAAAAAAGAAUUAAAAGGUCAAGAAUACCUCUAUUUAAUUUUAUAAUCAUAUUUUAUUUCUACCCUAAUAUAAUAUUAAAAAACUUAACUAAAAAUUUUAUAAUUUUUUAUAAAAAUUACCAUUAACAUCCAAAAAGCUAAAGAUUAAAAAAAAAAAAGGAACUGUAUUUACAAAAGUUAUAUCAAUAAUAAAUUCAGUCCAAAGAAAAAAGUUAUUGUAAACAAGUACUCAUAUUUAUCUCUACUUUAACAAUAAUCUUCGAAUCCGUUUUACAAUGGAUUUUAACCAAUGGGCUUAUGAGUCCUUUUUUGGAAAGCAUGAAAGCGAUGGCCCAAUCUCUAAACUUCAUUUUCUUUAGCCAGAAAGCCUAAAACAAGACCAGCCCAUAGAUAUAUAACUACCGGAAAAAAUUAAAAAGAAAAAAAAGAGUAAAAUUGUGUAAGAGCUUUUAGAAUUACAAUUUUAGGAUCACGUGUGUAAAUGGAACUCCAAGAUUGAUCAAGAAUUAACAAGGCAAGAUGAAGGGAUGAUCUUGUAGCAAAGAAUGAAGAAAUUGAAUCAAGAAAGUACUCUAGUGCUUUAGUGCUUUACAGUUAAGGGAUAUAGGGUGCGUUUGGGAUUGAGGUUGGGCAGCUGUAGCUUAAAAGCUACAGCACUAAAGUGUUUGGUAAACACUAGCUGCUGUAACUUUUAAGCUAUGUUGAUAUAAUUUUUCACUUGUAUAAUAUAAAAUUUAUUAUAUCUUUAAUAAUUUUGAUAAAAUUAUUAUUUACAAUUUAUAUUUAUUAUAUAUUAUUAACUUUUAUUUCAUAAUUACAACUUCUUUUUUACAGCAGCUGUAGCUUAAAAACUACAGCACCUCAAUCCCAAACACAACCAUAGUGUGAAUUCAUUACAAAGCAUUCGCAAAGAAAUUGUUUUUAAAUGAAACUCCUCGUCUUGACCAGAUUAUUUAUUAUUAUUCAAAAAAAAAAUGUUCAAAACUUAGCCAAAGUGAUAAACUCGUAAUUAUUCUACAAAGGGAACAAUUUUGAACGGUCGGAAAUUCCAUGCUUAUGAUUUUCUCUGCACUAUUUCAAUAAAAUUAUUACCCAGUGAAGACUUUAGAGACAAGUGCCCCCAUGAGAUCAAGCAAAUAUGCCCCCACAAAGAUCACAUAAUUAUUUCUUGUUCUUUUUCUUUUUGACAAUUUUAUCUGUGGUUUCAACUUUUACGCUUUAUUGUCAUUUCUCGUUGAGGGCUCCGCUGCACCCAUUACAACUUACCCCUAUAUUGUCUUUUACUGACUAAACCGUUAGAUUUGACGGAUAGCACGUUCAAUGCUGAAUUUUAAUUAUAUCAUCAAAUUUCGUUUAGCUCCUUAAACUCCAUUUUAUUUUUUAUUUCUUUAUAAAAUAUUCAAAGCUUCAUCAAGCUCCCGAUGGACCAUCAUGGCUAGGGGUGCAUUAGAGCCGAACUGAAAUAUGUUAGUUUAGUUUAGUUUGGUCAGUUUAAAUCGAAUGGUUUAGAAAAUAUAAAAUGAUCAAUUUUAAUUUUGAAUUGAACCGAACCAAAAAUUAAUUGAUUUGCUGUUAGUAUUUUUGCAUAAACAUAAAUGAUUAGUGAUUAUAAUUGAAUUGGACUAAAAAAAAUCAAACAAAAGUGAAAAAUAUAAAAUCUUAGACAAUAUAAAAGAAAAAAUAUUAAAUAUAUAAACCAAAACGAACUGAAUUAUUUUGACUCAGUUUUGGUUCAUAAUUUUUUAAACCAAACUGAUUUAUUCCCACCCCCUAAUCGUGGCCCUCUAUCUUUAGUCAUUCACCCUUGAGUUUGAUACCAAUUGUUGGGUUUCAAAUGAUUAUACACUCAAAUGGAACCCCUCAUAACCAAAAACUAACAGAAACAAUAAGAACACAAUGUUAAAAUCUUAAAUCAAUCGCAAAAAAGCACCCAAAACAGAUCGAUUAGGAAUAGUUAACAACAAAAGAUUUAAUGGUUCAAAAUCAUAAUGUGACCUACUUCCAUCCAAGAAUCAUACUAAUUGCUUUACUUGUUGUCAAAUACGAGAUCAUAAGAUUGUUUAUCACUCUACAGAGAAAAAAAAUUUAGAAGAAAUACUCCCCAAUUUUUCUCUUAAUAGUUAUGAAUCAACACCCCUGAUUUACUUUUCCUUAUUUCCUAUGAUCGGUUGCUGCUACUUAAUCCUUACCAAGCUCCAACAUAGUCCAAACACUUUUCAUGGUACAUGCACAGUGCACCUUCAGAAACUUUACAGCUCUUCUUAAAACCUCAGGCCUAUAGAGUGCAAUUUCGCACCUAUAUGCUUAGUCCUCUCAGUUCUCGUGAUGUUUUUGAUUUAUUUCUCGGACGAGUAGCACUUUUAGCUGCCAUAAUACAAUGUAAUUGACUUCUGAGCAUGACUUAAUUUUGAGAUCAUUACUUUUAGUUAAAUGAUCUCCUCCAGAGCUUCUACCUAUGUAGUGUUUUUAGACCUCUAUAGUUGAUAAAGCAUGUUCAAGGUGAAGGCUUGUUUUCCAAUCUAUAGUCCAAUUAUAGACUGGAACUGGUCAGGCUUAAUGCACCUUCAAAAGCUUCACAACUUAUAUUGAAACCUUAAGCCUUGUAGAAUGCUACAAAUUUUAAAUCCAUAUACUUAGUGCUCUUAUGAUUUGUUUGAUUUUUACUUAGAUGAAGAGCAUUUUAGCUAUAGAAUACAGAAACUAAUUCAAAGCCUGCCUUAGCUAUGAGAUCAUUCAUUCUAGCCAAAUGCCCCUUUAGAGAUUCUGCUAUUGUUGCGUAUUAAGCCUCUAUAUCAAAGCAAUUACAUGUCGAAGGCUUGCUUUGCAGUUAACAGCGCAAUUACAAUUAUAUAGAUUAAAGGUGUAAAUCCAUAAAACUACCAGACUUCAAUCUUUAGACUCCAUAGAUCAAACCAUAACUUAGUGUGCCUUUCAAUCUCAGGUAACUGUUUUCCACGUCUUGCCAUGUACUUGCUGCUAACACUAACAAUUUGAGAAAUGUUAGGCAUCGUAAGCAGCCGACAACACUCUUCUUCAUUUCUUCAUUGUCAAUUUCUUUCUUGGAACAUUGCUCCAUUGAGAGUCUGCUAUCAUUGCUCCAAUUAUUAUUAUUUUUGUUUUUGUUUUUUAAAAAAAUAACCGUGCAAUAAGAGUAUAAGACUAAGCAACGGUCCUUUUUUUUUUACCCAUUCUUGAACAUGAAGUAUUUGAGUAUGUAAUAAAAAUUGUUUAUCGAUAAUUAAAAGUUAAUAGUGGGUGGCUUUAGGUUUUGUUUACAAAAUUGACAACAAAUUAGAUUUUUCAAAUUCAUAGGUAAGAAACUUUUCAUUUAUUCAUAGAUUUUCCGGUUUAAACUUUAAAGGAAACUUAAAAGAAAAAGAUGUAUCAUUAGGUUUGUAAUUAAAAAAAUUUAAUAUUGUAUGAUCUGUUCGAUAUGCAUAAUUUAAAUAAACAUUAAUAUAGAUGUUAUAUAUCCUAAAACUUAAUUGACUUAAUUCUUAUGGUGCAAGGAAGAGGUUUCCAAGUUUAAAUCUAAAGUCUUGUAUUUAAUUUGGGGUCGGGAAAGCACUGGGAAAUAAAUGUAACAAAGGAAAAAAAAAAAAGAAUGACAGUCUGAGUGGAGCCAACGCGGUUUUAAAAAAAGUGAAAAAAAGGGUUUAAAAAAAAAAACGCGGUUUGCUUGCUUGUGGAAAUAGAAGUCUCAUGUUUCUUUGAAAGGUAAGCAAGUGUGAAUGUUUCUAUCUAGAGCUGGAAAAUGCAUUUCCGUGCAACUUACUUGAUGAAUGAAGUUUUCAUCGCUGACCCUGAUGUUUCCCUGAGCUGCAUUCAUUGCAGCUGAUGUAUUUCAUUUUGUUUUCGAAGGAGUGACACAAAAUCUCCUUCGUUAAGGUGAGAAUUUAGAGUGGCUUUAACUGUUAACAAAUAGCCUAAUAUAAGACUUAAUCUACUUCCUGCCCUGUUGUAUGCUUAUGAAAUUUGAUAGAGUUAUGAGUUUGCAGAAGCUACUGUAUUAUAUGUUGCUUGAGGCUGUAAAAAUGAGGCAGAUCAAACACACAUUUAAAUUUCAAUGACAAUUUACUGGAAGUAAAUUUCCUAUGACCCUACAUGUGACUAAUUGAUGAGAAGUUGACAAAUGACAAAAGAAAGUGUAUGAGCUUUGCAGGUUGGCAUGCCGAUACUGACUGUGUGGCACCAUCCGCCAUUUGGAAGUGAAUAUCAUUAUUCUUUAAUCAACAUGGUGGAGUCCACUGGGACCACACCACAUGGUCAGUCUUAUCUCUAUUCCUCAAUUUUCAGUAUUCCAUACAUGAAAACAACUUCAGUUUUGUUAUCAAUUAUAAUUUCAUUGUUGGUGACGAUUCUGAUUCCUUUCUUUCUGACAAAACGGAACCAUGGUUGCUGUGGGAGAGAUCUUACUCAACGCCUUCUUUCAGGUGUUGUUUGACAGGUUGGCUUCCCGUGAUUUGCUCAGCUUUGUCCGUCAACUUGGAGGCGGGGUCGAUUCCGAGCUCAAGAAGUGGGAAAGAAAGCUGAAGAUGAUUCAGGCGGUGCUCAACGAUGCAGAGGAGAAGCAACUGACUGACGAGGCUGUGAAGACGUGGCUGGACGAUCUCCAAGACUUGGCUUAUGACGCUGAGGACAUUCUUGAUGAGUUUGCUACUCAAGCUUUGGAAAGCAAGUUGAUGGCGCAAAAUCAGGAUAGCUCUGGCCAGGUUCUCAGUUUCAUCCCGGCUAGUAUCCGAAUGCUGUUAGGUUCAAUUAUAGCAUGAGGUCCAAGAUUAACGAUAUUACUAGCCGGUUGGAGCAACUCUGCAAAGAAAGAAUCGAACUUGGACUGCAACGGAUUCCUGAAGGGGCAUCAUCAACUGCUGCUGCUGCACACCAGAGGCCACCCAGUUCAAGCGUCCCACCAGAACGUGAAGUUUUUGGUAGAGAAGAAGAUAAGGCCAAAAUUCUUGAUAUGGUAUUGGCCGAUAGCCCAAGUGAUCAUGCCAACUUUGCUGUAAUACCCAUUGUUGGCAUGGGCGGGAUAGGAAAAACAACUCUCGCUCGGGAGGUCUACAAUGACAAGGCCGUUGAACAUUCCAAGUUUGAUGUAAAAGCAUGGGUUUGUGUAUCUGAUGUCUUUGACAUUUUGGGCAUCUCAAAGGCACUUCUCGAGUCAAUCUGCUGCGCAGCUAGUGAUCUCAAGACUUUAAAUGAAGUGCAGGUUCAACUGAAAAAAGCAGUGGACGGAAAAAGAUUCUUGCUGGUCUUAGAUGAUGUUUGGAACGAGGACUACAGCUUGUGGGUAGACUUAAAAGCUCCAUUCUUGGCUGCUGCACCAAAUAGUAAGAUGAUUAUCACCACACGCAAUUCACAUGUUGCAUCUACAAUGGGACCCAUUGACCAUUAUAACCUCAAGCAUCUGUUAGACGAUGAUUGCUGGUCUAUUUUCAAAACGCAUGCAUUGGAGGGUAGAGAUCAUAAUGCACUUGAAAUCUCAGAAUCAUUUCGCAAGAAAGUUGUUGCCAAAUGUGGAGGCUUGCCCCUUGCUGCAAAAACACUCGGAGGCCUUUUGCGUACGACGAGGCAUGAUGCGUGGGAUGAUAUAUUAGAGAGCAAAAUAUGGGAUUUACCUCAACAAAGUGGGGUUCUCCCAGUAUUAAGAUUGAGUUACCAUCAUCUUCCUUCUCAUUUGAAAAGAUGUUUCGCUUACUGUGCAAUCUUUCCAAAAGAUUAUGAAUUCAAUGAGAAGGAGGUGACUUUUUUAUGGAUGGCUGGAGGAAUUAUUCGACAGUCAAGAAGCAAAGAGCGGCUAGAAGAUUGGGGCAGCAAGUGCUUCUAUGAUCUGGUGUCAAGGUCAAUUUUUCAGCAAACAGCAAUCUCUGGUAGUUCUAAAUUUGUAAUGCACGACCUUAUUCAUGAUCUUGCUGAAUUCGUCUCUGGAGAAACCAUAUUCAGGUUAGAGGAGUCCACCAACUUGUCGUCAAGCAGAUUUGAAAGAGUUCGCCAUUCUUCCUAUGCCGGCGGUUGGUAUGAUGGUAAAAAUAAGUUUGAGGUUUUCUAUGAAAUUGAACAUCUACGAACAUUCUUGCCAUUACGCUUACGCAUGCGAGGUACUUUUUUCAUAACUAGAACGGUUCUAUCUGAUUUGCUGCCAAAGUUCAAAAAAUUGAGGAUGCUAUCUUUAGAAGGAUACUGUAUUGGUGAGUUACCAAUUCCAUUUGAAGAUCUCAGACUUUUAAGGUUCCUCAACCUCGCUGACACUGACAUAAGAAGUUUACCUGAGUCAACAUGCAAAUUGCUGAACUUGGAAAUUCUGAUAUUAAGAAAGUGUUCCCGCUUGAUAAAGCUUCCCCAGAAAAUGAGGAAUUUGAUCAAUUUACGUCAUCUGGAUAUAAGAGGUGCACAGCAGCUGAAGGAGAUGCCAUUUGGAAUGAAAGAGUUGAAGAAGCUUCAAACAUUGUCCAAUUUUAUUGUGGGCAAGGGUGAAACUGCAUCCGGUGUGGAAGAUUUAAAAUGUUUAAGCUUUCUUUGUGAUGAACUUUGCAUUGCUGGAUUAGAGAAUGUGAAUAAUCCACAGAAUGCAAGAGAAGCCGCAUUAUGCGAGAAGCACAAUCUUGAAGCAUUGACUCUAGAAUGGGGGUCUCAAUUUGACAAUUCUCGAGAUGUAGCAAUAGAAGAGCACGUGCUUGACAUUCUACAGCCUCAUAAAUGUAUAAAAAAGGUGGCAAUCAGGAGCUAUGGUGGUGCAAGAUUUCCACUUUGGAUAGGAGAUCCGUUGUUCUCCAAGAUAGAAUUCCUUGAAUUGGAGAACUGUGACAAUUGUGUAUCUUUGCCAUCGCUUGGCCGUUUGAGUUCACUUAAACACCUUGCUGUUAAAGGGCUGAAGAAACUAAAAAGCAUAGAGCCUGAGGUUUAUGGGGAGGGUUUCUCAACGCCUUUUCCAUCAUUGGAGAUUCUAAGUUUCGAGAAUUUGACAGAAUGGGAGCAUUGGGACACGGAUAUCAAAGGAAAUGCACUUGUUGAAAUAUUUCCUCGUCUCCAUAAACUUUCCAUUGUGAAAUGUCCCAAACUCUCUGGAGAACUGCCUGAGCUCCUGCCCUCCUUGGAGACACUUGUUGUUAGUAAAUGUGAAAAGUUGGUAGUUCCAAUGUCUUGCUAUCCGAUGCUCUGCAGAUUAAAAGUUGAUGAGUGCAAAGAACUGGUCUGCCGGACUCCAAUUGAUUUUAAGUUGAUAAAGUCUGUGACUAUUUCAAAUUGUUCACUAGACAUGUAUGGAUGCAAGGGGAUGCUAUACAAUGGUCCAGCUGGCUCUUCACUGCCGAAAUCCAUGACUAUUACAAAUGUUUUGGCGUUUGGAAAAUUAUUGAAGCCUGGAUUUCAGAUAUUAGAAACUUUGGUAAUUGACAAUUCUGAACAGCUCAAGUCAUGGAGGCAGCGUGGGGAUUUUCGACAAGAAUAUUUGGGCGUUCGCGUAAGGCGUCACAAACCAUCACAAGGGCUAGAUAUGCUCGCCUCCCCAGAAGAGGUAACAAUUGAAGAAAGUUGUGUGAGUUUUGUUUUAUUUCCAGAGAUCAAUUUCUUUCCCAGAAAUCUGCGCUCUCUUCUAAUUUGCAACAGCACAGCUUUAAAAUCCUUACCCGAUGAAAUGAUGGACAAUUCACAACUCGAAAGGUUGUAUAUCAGAGAUUGCGAUUCUCUAACAUUCAUCACAAGACGCAAGCUACCUUCAUCUCUAAAAAGUAUAGAGAUUGAGAAUUGUGAGAAACUGCAACAUUUGUUCGAUGAUAAAGAGGAUGCUUCUUCUUCUUCUCCUCCUUCAUCCUCGUCCUCCCCAGUGAUGCUGAAACACCUGAGUAUAAAUAAUUGCCCAGUGCUCACCAGUUUAUCAACAGGAAUCCAAUUACUUGAGGCGCUUGAAAGCCUCGAGAUACGGGAUUGUCCAAAGCUGGAGUCAUUACCAGAUGGCCUUCACAAUCUUAACUGUUUACAGGAGAUUACUCUAAACAGUUGUCCAAGUCUUGUUUCCUUCCCAGAAAGAGGACUUCCCAACACGAUUUCAAAUCUUGUAUCGUUUCCAGAAGAAGGUUUUCCUACCAAUCUAACAUCACUUACAAUUGGAUAUUUCAAAAUGUAUAAGACACUCGUCCAGUGGGGGUUGCACAGGCUUACCUCUCUUAAACGCCUCUGCAUCAUUGGAUGUGAUGAUGAAGCAGAGUGUUUUCCAGACGAGGAGAUAGGAAUGACGCUGCCCACCUCUCUCACUCAUCUGACACUUUCGGAAUUCAAAAAAUUGAUAUCUCUGUCUUCGACGGGUAUUCAGAGCCUCAACUCUCUUCAAUCUUUGUCGAUCGGGAAUUGCCCGAAUCUCACAUCAUUUCCAGAGGUGGGCCUUCCAUCCUCACUUUUGGAAUUACACAUUUACAGUUGUCCAAAGCUUAAAAAAGCGUGCAAAAGAGAUCAAGGAAAAGACUGGCCCAAAAUUGCUCACAUCCCUUUCGUUGAGAUAGACGGUAAAUUCAUAUACGAUCCCGAAUCAGAGGAGUAGAUUCUAUUACACAGGUCAGUUGAUUUAUAUUAUCCGCUAUAACAAGCUCCUCCUUUUUUAUUUUUUUUAAAUAAUAAUUUUGCAGUCAGUCACGUGAUUCCGUUUUCACAAGUCAGAUUGUAUGUUGAGGCUAUUUGCCUUUUAAUCGCAGAUUAAAUUAUAACACUUAUCUUAAAAUUUAAUACCAUAGACAGAUAGACGAUUUUUUAAUCCAAAGUUUUUUUUAUUCACUUCAGUUAGCAUUUUUUUUUCCCCCAAAUCAUGCAAGCCGAGAGUUUCAAUCAAGAAUUGGAGGAUGUGAAUGGGAUUUUUGUGAAAGAGUAACAUAAUGGAUGACCGAACAUUUCAUCUGUGAUCUCAAAGUCAACAGAAUUUUAUUCACUCAUUGACUUUUCAACUGCCGUGGUUUUUAUGGGUGAAAGAUAAGGGCAAUUACAAAAAAUUUGCAAAAUUUGUCAAUUUCUUAGAUGGUAGAUAUAUCGACAUUUUAGAUUUCAGAUAUUUGUCACCAAUUUGCAAAAUUGAAAUUUCUGUCUUCAAUGGGUUUUCAAAGCCUCGCCUCUCUUCGAUUUUUGUGGAUUGGGAAUUGCACAAAUCUCACAUCAUUUCCCGAGGUCGAGGAAAAGAGCGGCCCAAACUUGCUCGCAUCCCUUGGGUUAUGAUAGAUGGAAAAUUCAUGUACGAUCCAGUCAGAGGUGUUGAUUCUCUUAUUAAGGUCAGCUGAUUUCUAUUAUCCACUCUGACAAUCUCCUAUUAGUGUUUUUCCUUUUUUUUUUUUCAAAAUUUUGCAGUUCUGUAUAAUUGAAAAUGCCACUCACUUGUUUCCUUUUUCACAGGUCAGAUAGUAUGUUGAGGCUAUUUGAUUUCUAUCGGUGUUUGUUAAGGUAAUUAGUGCUCCCUCAUAGGUAUGACUAGAUUUUUUUCACUUCCGUAAAUAUUGCAUUUUAGACUGGCAAAUUUAGCAGUAAUUUUAAUACAAUUUUGUUGGUGCCUUGUGUGCCAGAAGCUAGAAAAAUGUGUAGUUUUCAGAUAAGGAGUCUUGUUAGUUCUCUAGUAAGAAUCCAAUAAUUUGCUUUUGCACGUCCAUCUAAUUUGUGGAUCCUUGCAUCAGAAUUUGAUCAAUCCAAAGGAAUUGCUUUUAGACAGAAGAAGAAUAGCAGCACCUAGCCUAUGUCAUAGUGUAUGGACCCGCAAACCUGAAACUAUUAGAUUGAGGUAAAAAAAUCAUUGACCCUCACAUGUUAACUUCUUCUAGUUACUUUUGUUGGGAAAAAAAAACAUUUAAGGAAUUUGCAAUUUGUUGUUAGUUAUGGUAUCUGAUGUUCUUUUCUGUUUUAGCGUUUGUAGAAUCUACGGUAUUAUGUGUUGGCAGUUGCCGUAUCUGAGGUAACUUGCCUUUAUUUGUUUGCUUCUGACUUAAGGACACCAACAUUUGCCAGAGAUUUAGAGAAGCAUCUCAAAACACUUAGCAAACUUGACAAACUUCAAGAUGCACUUGCCCCCACGCCUUAUUCUCCACAACGCAAAACUUGUGAGUACACUUAUGCCUGCAAUUAUUGUGAAGUGUUUGCAAUUUCGAUGCAGAGAAAUGGUUUCUUGAUGCAAAGUAUUAAACUGUUAAGAUUUAUCCUGCAGGCUUGUUAGAUGUUGUAUACUCGAAAAGCCAACAACAUCAAGAACUACAACUCCAAGACCAACUUUGCAUUAAUUCAGUCAGCUGUAAAAAUGAUGCAAAUGACACUAUAUCAAGCUGGACUUAGAGACUAGUCAGAUCAAUCAUCCAUUUCAUCAACGGUUAAUGUCAUGAUGGUGGCUAUCAGAGGAAACAAAAGAUGUGUCAGAAUCUAUACGAACAUUGAGAAGCAUGAGAGGAGCUUUGAUUUUGAGUAGGGUCAAUGAACUCAUGUUGGUAAGUGGUGAUUAAAGAAAUUUGUAAGCUUAGUAGAGUUUCAGUAUUUUCUGUUUGGAGUAUAGUUGAUAAGUUGACUCUGUUUAAGAAGCCCGAUUAUAGUAGCUGACUGUAUUAACCUUUUUUUUUUUGGUCUGCUGUUGUUUUUGGUUUCGAUUAUUUUUUCAACAUUGGGUUGAUCUGUUGAAGAACAAGCUUGGGUUUGAUUAUGUUUUAACUAUAAGGAAGAGCCAGACUUGGUUGCAGGCGUUAAGCUUUUAAUGGGUAAGAACAAAUGAAUGCUUUAACCAUGUUUCUCACUUAUUAAAAUGCAUGGAUUGAAGGCAUCUGGGUUGAUCCUGACAAUGUGAUGGAAAUACUUCUCUGUUUUCAUGUAACAGGACAAAUAGAGAUCUCUGAUCAUGCCUGAAUUUUUGUUGCAUUGAAAUUUCUACCAUUACCAAACAUAGAAUGAACUGGGGAUACAUUAGCUUAAGACUCAAUUUUGAGAAGGAAGUUUGUACUUGCAGCCUAUAAAAUCAUGUCCGUGUCGUACGUUUCUUUGGGAAAUGAAAGAUUCUGUGUGUUCUUUUAUUUCAAGUUCACUGAAAUCACAUUUGUUUUCUCCGAUGCUUUCCAGAAGGUAACAACAUCAAUUUCAAAAAUGCUGGGGCAAGAUGCAUCAUGCAGUGCGACUCAACUUGAGAAUUCCUGGCCACAUUACCCGUAUGUCGAAUGAUCGCACAGUUCAACCUUGAGAAGCUUGUAAUGAGUACACAACUGGGUGCAAGUAGUUUUGAAAUGAAUUUGCCUCAAAUGAUUUCUUGCUCGCAUCCCUUGGGUUAUGAUAGAUGGAAAAUUCAUAUACGAUCCAGAGUCAGAGGUGUUGAUUCUCUUAUUAAGGUCAGCUGAUUUCUAUUAUCCACUCUGACAAACUCCAAGACCGGGUUUUUUUUUUUUUUUAAUUUUGCCGUUCUGUAUAAUUGAAAUGCCACUCACUUGUUUCCUUCUUCACAGGUCCGAUAGUAUGUUGAGGCUAUUUGCUUUUUAUCGGUGUUUGUCAAGGUAAUUAGUGCUGCCUCAUAGGUUGAUUACUCACAGAUGAAAUCAUAACUUUUAUCUUAAAAUUUAAUAGCAUACACAGAUAGAUGAUUUUUAGUCCAAAGUUUUUUUAUUCACUUCAAUCAAAAUUUUAGAUUGCAGAUUUUUGUCAAGUAUUUCAUUACAAUUUUUUCAUUUUUUAUUUUAAACCAGAAUAUGAGUAUAACAUUUUGGAGCGUGCAUACUCUGAUGCAUGCAAUUAACUGUUUUUAAUCAUUGGAUUUUGAAAUUAAUAAUGGUAAGAUGUGUACUUAUUCUGUCUUCCAACAACCUUGGCCUCUUUCUUCGGUCGCAUAUCUAAUGAAUAUUUCUCUGUUUAGUUAAGGAUGAAUGCUUGGAGUGGGGUACUUGGUAACAUUUCUGCCUCAGAUGAAUCCUUGAAGAAAUGCCCGCAGUUCCUGAGACCAAAUACAGGUCUGAUUCAAAACAGCACCUUUCUCAGAAAAUAUGAUCCAAGGCAAAGUCAUGUUCUGAUAAUGUUUCCUUAAGUACAAAGUUGCAAGGAAACUUGAUUCAUUAACUACAGUUUUUUAUUUUUAGGACCUUGUAUCUGAAAGGUUCAGUGUUUUUUUUUUUUUCAAAUUUAUUGUUCAGAUCUCAGAGGAGUAUAUGGUUUAGAUUACAAAACACCCAUGAUUAAUUUCAUUUUUUUUUUAAUUUCAGGGAGAAGAAGUGGUCAGUUUCAAUCCGGAAUUGGAAUAUGGCAAUUUGGUUCAAGCACACACACCUGGUCACUUGGUCAGUGAACCUGAACUUUACGCAGUUUUUUCAACUCAGUGAUUUUUGGAACGCAUAGUGGUGUAAGGAAAUCAAAAGAAAUUUAUGCAUAGUCAAAUUCUGAUAUUUGCUAUAUAUUAUACAUUCUAAAGUUUCUCCAGUUUGUUCUCAGAUUACCAUCAUUUUUUGCCUUCACCAAAAAAAAAAAAUUGAGUGGCUUUCCAGUGGAUAUUUAAUCGGAGGUAUGACUGGAUUUUUUUCACUUCUGUAAAUCUUGCAUUUUAAACUGGCAAAUUUAACUUUAAUUUUAAUACGACUUUGUUGGUGCCUUGUGCCCCAGAAACUAGAAAGAUGUGUAGUUUUCAGAUAAAGGGGCUUGUAAAUUCUCUAGUAAGAAUCCAAUAAUUUGCUUUUGCACGUUCAUUUUAUUUGUGGAUCCUUGCAUCUGAAUUUAAUCAAUCCAAAAGGAAUUGCUUUUAGACAGAAGAAGAAUAGCAGUACCUAGCCUAUGACAUAGUAUAUGGACCUGCAAACCUGAAACUAUUAGUUUGAGGUAAAAAAUUCAUGACCCUCACAUGUUAACUUUCAUGAAAAACACAUUUAAGAAAUUUGCAAUUUUUUGUUAGUUUCGUAUCCGAUGUUGUUUUCUGUUUUAGCAUUUGUAGAAUCUACUGUAUUAUAUUUUGGCAGUUGCAGUAUCUGAGGUAUGUUUUGCAUUUAACUUGCUUUAUUUGUUUUGCUUGUGACUUAAGAACACCAAUAUUUGCCAGAGAUUUAGAGAAGCAUAUCAAGCUGCUUGGCAAACUUGACAAACUUCAAGAUCCUCCAUUCUUCACAACGCAAAACUUGUAAGUACACCUAUGCCCGCAGUUAUUGUGAAAUGCUUGCAAUUUUGAUGCGCUGAAAUGGUUUGUUGAUGCAAAGGUUUAAACUUUUAAGAUUUACCCUGCAGGGUAGUUGGAUGCUGUAUACUCGAAAAGCGACCAACAUCAAGAACUAUGACUCCAAGACCGGGUUUGCUUUAAUUCAAUCAGCUGAAAUCAUGAUGCAAACGACACUAUCAGCUGGACUUAGAGACCGGUCAGAUCAAUCAUCCAUUUUAUCAACAGUUAAUGUCAUGAUGGUGGCUAUUAGAGGAAACAAAGGAUGUGUCGGAAUCAAUGUGAACAGUGAGAAGAAUGAGAGGAGCUUUGAUUAUACGUAGGCUCAAUGAACUCAUGCUGGUAAGUGGUAAUUAAAGAAAUUUGUGCGCUUAGUAGCAUUUCAAUAUUUUCUGUUUGGGAUAUAGUUGAUGAGUUGAUACUCUGAUUAAGAAGCCUGAUUAUAGUAGCUGACUUUUUUUUUGUGGUUUGCUGUUGAUUUUUCUUUUGAUUUUUUCAACAUUAGGUUGAUCUGUUGAAGAACAAGCUUGGGUUGAUUAUGCUUUAACUACAAGGAAGAGCCAGACUUGGAUGCAGGCGUUCAGCUUUUAAUGGGUAAGAACAAAUGUAUGCUUUAAACAUGUUUCUCACUUAUUACAAUGCACGCAUUGAAGGCAUCUGAGCUGAUCCUGAAAAAGUGAUGGAAAUACUUCUCUGUUUACAUAAAACAGGACAAGAGAUCUCUGAUCAUGCCUGAGAAUUAGUUGCAUUGAAAUUUCUACCAUUGCCAAAAAUAGAAUAAACUAGGAAUACAUUAGCUUAAGACUCAAGUUUGAGAAGGCAGUUUGUACAUGCAGCCUAAAAAAUCAUGUCUGUGUUGUAUACUUGUAUGUUUCUUUGGGAAAUGAAAGAUUCUGUGUGUUCUAUUAUUUCAAGUUUGCUGAAAUCACAUUUGUUUUCUUAGAUGCUUUUGAGAAGGUAACAACAUCAAUUUCAAAAAUGCUGGGGUAACAUGCAUCACGCAGUGCUACUCAACAUGAGAAUUCCGGCCGCAUUACCUGUAUGUUGAGUGAUCGCACAGUACAGCCUUUAGAAGCUUGUAAGGAGUAGACAACUAGAUGUGAGUAGUUUCAAUAUGGAUUCGCAUCAAAUGAUCUCUUGCCAGUGAUUACUAUAACCUCUAUCCCAAAAUUCUUGGAACUGGUCAUACCAAUAAUGAAGUGUUGUGUAUGUUGAAGACAUUGCGAAAGCUCCGUCAGCCUUUGUAUUGGAAAACAGUUGGUUGUAGUUGCUUCUGAAUGAUAUUAUUAAUAGAUACUGUAAAAAUGAACUGUGCCACUCAUUUUCAGAGCCCUGUUAAGAUGUGUUGGUAAUGUGUUUGAAGGUUGUUUGAUUUAUGUUGUAUUCAGCUAUAAAUCAAAGAUUCAGAACAUGGUUAUGUUACUGGUUUCCAAAUCAAAAAAUUGCCUUGUGAUGUUAGUGUUCAUUGUUUUCACAGGAGAUCAGGUUCCCUGUUGAUGAAUCAUUAAGGCAAACGCAUCCAUGUCUUAAGUUCAAAUGUGUCUCUUCUAUUUUCUAUUACUGACUCCUUUAUUUUGAUUUCUUCAUUGUAAUGGAAUUGGUUUUUAUUCCAAAUUAGUCUUAAGUUCUGUUAGCAUUUGAAGAUAGAACUAGAACUAAAUGAUUGACUGGAUUAAAUUCCGAUAAAGAAUUAAGUUAUAUAUUUAGAGAUAUUAUGUUUUUUUUUUUUUCAUUUGUUCAAUUUGGUUAGUGGUGAUUUCUUAAAGACUCAAUCCAUGUGCGUUUAUGCAUUUUUCUUUUGCCUUAAUUUCUGUUUCUUGGGGAGUUUAUACAGAUUCUUAUUUUAUGCUUCACAUGCCACAUGAAAGAUCGAAUUCUUAUAAUAAGAGUCUGAGAUCUCCCUGAAGGAUUCAAAGCAUUUUAUUUUAUAUUAAACUCCUUUACGUGGGUUUGGACACUACCACAAGUUCUUUAAAUACUAAAACGAUUUUAAGUCUUUUGUAUCAUCUGAUUGAAAUACAUGAAAGCACUCGUGGCUGCAAAAAUACAGUUGGGGCUAUUUCUAAAGUCUUCAACAGCAUUUUCUUUUUAACCUUUAUCCUCAUGGUUGUUUUUGCAGUUGUUCUUUAAGAAAACAUUUAAAAGGUUCUCUUUAUGGAUUUUUGAAAAUAAUUUUAACAUAAGCAAUUUUCAGAAGCACUUUAGAUGUCUGGCAUUUAGAAAAUUUUAUUCCGGUGUCACAUAAAAUACUUAGGAAGUUAAAUUUAUUUAUUUAUGAGCAUGUGCCAGUGCCCUGUGGCAUCCUCUUCACUUGUGAUAGUCAAAUGUAUUAUACGAUACAAUAUUAGCUUGACUGUAGCACAGAGGAGAAUAGGGUUGGUGUUGGUCUGAACCAGCUUAUGUAACAGCUGCCAAAGGAUAAUUUAAUUGUACUUUGAGUAAAGCUUUUGCAAAUUAAACAAGUGAUAAUUUGUUUCUAUUAAGAAAAACUUAAAGGAUAGGGCUAUUUUAACUCACCAAACUACACAUUAAAAAUCUACUUACAAAAAUAGUUUUUAAUUAUUAAAAUAUUCCUAAAUUAAAUUAUAAUUAUGGACACUAAAAUAUAAUUUUUUUUAUAUUUUACCCUUUGAAACUAUCUUUACAUUCGAUAUUACAUUUUUUUCUUAAACUCCAAAUUGAUUUUUUUUAUUAAUUUUAAAACACAUAUAAAGUGAUUCAUAUUGAUUUUAUACUAACAAACUAUUAUAGCACAUUCGAAAAAUAAUUAAAUCGUUCUUAUUUACAUAGUGAAAAUGCAAAUAGCUCAUUCAAAUGUUAAGGAAUUGGAGAGCUGCUGCUGGAGAUGAAAGAUGUGAAUUAAACAUCAGAGAAAAAAUUAUGUUCACUGUCUUGCCAGACCAAGCACCGAAAAGCGUCGUAAAGAAAAAUUAGAUAAUUUAGAAGAUAAAGCACGUGGAAUGGAGGCAGAAAGCAAGUAAUGAUAACUCUUUCGACAAACUAAUAUAUACCAAAAUGUAAUAUCGGCCCUAAUAAAAAAUGUGUUACGUAAGUAAAAGCACCAGGUCGGUCGUGCUACUAUUUCUGUCCCGGUAUGGCUCACCUCAACUGAAUGGUACAAGCAGAGCAUGGAGACGAAUAUGGCCCGACCAGAGAUGAGUACCGACCAGAGGUGUAUGUCGAGCCGAUACCCGUCUCCUGAAAAAGCGGGAACACGAUCCCACAGAAUCGCGGAAUUUGCGUUUUUCCCAGAACCGUUGCGAGAGAUGCGAUACCCCACGUUUACCCGUAAUGUAGUAGUUAAAGUUCCGUGAAAGGCCACCACCCGAAAAAGGAGGGAUGAAGACUGAGCGGGAACGUGGGAUAACGGCUAUAAAAGAAGGAGAAAUCGAUGAAGAAGGGGACAGAAAAAUCAAAAGAGGGAAAACGCUGCCAAAUUAUUGUCAGGCUAUCUUCUUGAAAAUUCCAGAUAAAUCAAAAACUACUCUUAAAUCUAAAUUGCUCUGUUUUCCCGUAAAUACCUUGAGCUAACUUAGGCAUCGGAGGGUUUACGCCGGCAAAACCACCCGCGUCUUUGAUCCGUUUUUUUGUGAGCGCAGGUCUAGAAAGAGAAAGGAGGACGAGUCCAAGUCCCGCGGUUCGAACUUGAUAACAUAAUCGUUGGUGGAAAAUUCUGGUCGGUAACAAGGCGAGCAGAUUUAAGCAUCAACAUUUUGGCGCCGUCUGUGGGGAGCUGGAUAAAAAGCUACCACCAACUUAGUAGUUGCCAGAGAAGCGGUAAACAAUCAGACAUGGAUGUGCCCAGGAAAGACGCUCUGAGGGAGGAUAACGAGUCUGGAGAGACAAUCACUCUUAGGGAAAUUGCAAAUGAAGCCCGGGAGAGGGUAAUGCAAGAUCGAUUGGAGCGGAUGGAGAAACAAAUGGAGACUCUCGCGACCAUACUAUUUGAGCUGAGAGACGAGCGGAGAAGGGAUUGCGAAACCCCUGUGGGGAGAGAUGAUGUCGGAGCAGAACCCAGCCUCCGGACGCGUAGAGUCGAGGAGAUCCCUCCGCCGGCGGACCAACCUAAUGGGGUGCAUCCCCACAGAAGUACUGGUCGGAUUCCAGGAGAACAAAUAGAUGAAGGGAGGAACCAACCUCGCCCUGGGCGGGUACUGGAAGCUGAUGGCCGAGGGGCCAGUGUUAAUGAAGGGGAGCUCAGGCAGCGGUUGCAGAAUGCCGAACAGGAGCGAGAUCAAAUAGCUGCACGUGAUCCUGACCGUGCUGUAGAAUUGGAGGGAGAGGUGCGCAGAUUAGCGCAAGUGAUAGAGGAGAUACAGGGUAGGAGAAAGCCCCCGAGCUGGAGGAUAAUGCUAGAUGAAGAAUCUCCACUAUCAGUUGAGAUCAUGGGCACUGUAAUCCCAAGAGAUUUCCGCUUCCCCGACCUCAAAUACUCCGGGCGAAGUGAUCCACUGGUGCAUAUUGAACGUUUUAAUGACGUGACGGGUGUUCAGGGGUUAACACCAGCUCAGAGGUGUAGGGUAUUCCCAUUGACACUAGAGAGACGAGCCCGAGAAUGGUACCACAAACUGUUACGAGGAAGUAUCAGAGGGUACGAGCAGAUGUGCCAAGAAUUGGCCGAACAAUUCCGGGGGGCGGUGGCCCCAGAGGAUGAUAUGAUGGAACUAAUGGGGAUAAAGCAGGAGGAACAAGAACCCCUUCGAGAUUUUGUAAAACGAUACCACCGAGCCGUGCUUGAUUUGGGAGCUUUCAAUCACCCGCAGGCGUUGAGGGGAUUGAAGGAGGGUGUGAGAAUAGGCCGACUGUGGUAUAACCUGAGAAGCCCCCUGGUGCAGAAUUAUUCCGCGGGGUAUGAGCAAGCAAAGAGAGACAUUGAAAUCGAAGAAGAAAAAUCAGCCAGGAUAAAGAGUGAACAAUUGGAGGAGCUGAGACGAAGAGAGAUGAGAGCCCCAAAAGGAGCGGGUCAGGAAAGCAAGCUGGGGAAUCUUCAAUGAUGGGUGCAGUAUCCGCUCGAUCUCGCCUUUAUCCUAUGGCUCAGAGACCGCAGCAGGUCCAACACAAUCGGGCUCAGCCCUCACGCCCCCCAUUCCUGGAACGACAACGAGAAUUUCGGCAGUUGGCUAACCAUCCCUAUCACAACGCUCCCAGAGCACCGCAUACAGCCAACCCCAGAGCGGGACGAUCAGGUCAGCUACCUUCAAUAUCCGCUCGGGAUGAUACUCAUGAUAGCCGAGCAGUCCAGCUGAUUGACCAGAACCCAGCGUACGGACAAUAUACCCCGCUAAAAGUCCCUAUGGAGGAGUUGUAUGAGAGAAUCGAGGGACGAGGCCUGUUGUACCCUCCAGCCCCUAUAACGAAACCUGCUCACCGAAGGGAUAAGAGCAGAUUCUGCAAAUUCCAUGACACUCACGGUCACACCAUCAGCCAAUGUCGUGACUUUAAGAUUCAGGUGGAGGAUUUGGUGAGAAAUCGUUAUUUGGAUGAGUAUGUAGAUGGGGUUUCUCCCGUCAUUGAAUCACAGUACACGCGGGGUGAAGGAGAUGAGAGGAGCCUGGAACGUGAACAGCCAACUAUCCGUGUGAUAGCAGGAGGGCCAACCCUGGCUGGGGAUUCGAAUAGGGCACGGAAGAACUAUGGGAAAUACGCCAUGACCAGCAAAGAAGUUCUUUUCAAUUUGCCAGCAGCCAAGAAGGCAAAAUUGCGGCAAGUUCCCAUUAUGUGGACAGAUGACGAUAAAGAGGGUAUCCUAUAUCCUCAUAAGGAUGCACUGGUGAUUAAGGCAAUGGUGGCUGGUACAGAACUACGACGGAUACUGGUAGACACGGGCAGCUCGGUUGACAUCUUGUUUAAAUCGGCCCUAGAUGAUAUGGGGAUUGCAGACUUAAAAUUGGAACGGACGAACACAUCUUUAAAGGGAUUUGGAGGGGGACGGCUAACUCCCAUAGGAAUCGUCGAACUCCCAAUUACUAUGGGGACAAAGCUGUUUGAAAGAACAAUGAUGUUGGAUUUUGUCGUGGUAGAGGAGAGAAGCCCUUACCAGAUGAUACUGGGGAGACCGUUCAUGAAGAUAAGUCAAUGCGUUGUGUCUACGCAUUAUCUGGCACUAAAAUACAGAAUAAACGGAGCGGUUGGUGUAGUAAAAGGUGACCAGAGGGUGGCAAGGAGUUGUUAUGCUACAGCGGCCAAGGAGACGCUGCAGGUUACUUCCUUAGAUAAUCGAGGAGAACCUAAAAAGGGCCGCCAAGAACCUGUUGAGAAACUGGAGGCAGUUUCGGUAAGCAAAGGCGACCUGAGCAGAGUGGUGAAGAUCGGAUCGGGGUUGGUUGGUGCAGUCAAAGGCGAACUGGUAAAUUGCCUACAGUCUCAUGCAGAUAUAUUUGCCUGGUCUCACGAGGAUAUGCCAGGAAUUGAUCGUGGGGUAGCUUGCCACAAGUUGGCAAUUAAGAAGGGGGCGAGGCCGGUGAGACAGAAGAGGAGAUGCUUUAACCAGGAAAGAUACCCAGACGGACGAGAUGUGAAGAGGUCAUGGAACGCCGAGCACUUAAAGAAGUAUUUUCAGUAAGCAAAGUGCUCUGCUAAAUCCUCAUUUUGAUAAGUUUUCUUUGUUAACUGCAUGAUGGUUUAUUACGCAUGUACAUAGUCUGUAUUUUGUAAUACAUUCAAAUCGCAAUAAAGAUGAAUUCAGCAUGAAACCCUUCUGUUAAGCAAGGCCAUUAUAAUUUAUACCAAGGCAAGUAAGUGCCUGCUUCUGCUCGGUCAACGAAAGACCAGCAGCUAAAUUAGCGAAAUUUCUACCAAGGCAAGUAAGUGUCUGCUUCUGCUCGGUCAACGAAAGACCAGCAGCUAAAUUAGCGAAAUUUCUACCAAGGCAAGUAAGUGCCUGCUUCUGCUCGGUCAACGACAGGCCAGCAGCUAAAUCUACGAAAAUUAUACUAAGGCAAGUAUGUGCCUGCUUUAGUUCGGUCCACGAAAGACCAGCAGCUAAUACUACGAGAAUUCUGCUAGGGCAAAUAAGUGCCUAGUUCUGCUCGGUCAACGAAGACUAGCAACCAAUUUUAUUAAAAUUUUACUAAGACAAGUAAAUGCAUACUCCUGCUCGGUCCACAAAGAAACCAGCAAGCAAAAUCAGAUAAGUUGUCCAAUUAUUUUGCAGAAACCAUCUAUGAGCAAAUACCAGACAAGAAAGUCAAUAGAGAACAUCUAAAAGUUUAUAAAUGUUUGAUUGUCUACAAAAUAGAUGUAAAUCUAAAGUUUACACAGAAAUAGACUUAAAGAUUAGCAGGGUCAACGGCUCCAGCAGCUGAAGAAUCAGCAACCUCAGGAGGCGGGAGAUCGGCAAUACCGGGAGGAGGGGGCAUGGACCCUUGACCCACCUCGAAAGUACGUCCCCCGGCUUCCCCCUCCUGCACCCCCUCCAAAGGAGCCUCCGCCUGAUCCUGAUGACCUUGCUCCUUAUCUGCCUGGCCGGUUUCCGCCAUAUACCGCUGCACUCCAGCCUCCAGCUUACUCAUGUCCAGCUCGGGAUAUUCUUCUUUAAGCACGGACAUGAUACACUUAUAGGAGAAAGCAACCCCAGAGUCAUACUCGGCAUCCAGCUGGUCGUCCACAUCAGCGGAUUUGCCUUUCUCCUCAGCCAGCUGUUCAUUUAGGGAUUUGAUUUCUCCCUCAAGGGCAGUCCUCAGAGUAUCUCUUUCACUUUGAGUUACCUGAAGGUCAGACUUCAGGCUGCCCAACUCACCCUCGAGUUUGGAGGCAGUGGACUCAGCAAUUGCAGUUUUCUCCUCCAGCUCCAUAAUCUGUUUGUUCAGCUCGGCCAGUUUCUCCUUGGAGCGAUCAGCAGAUUCAGCCUUCUUUUUCAACUCCUGAUUAUCAGCUUGAAGCUUCCUCUCAUGGCGUAUGGACACGUUCUUGUAACACGAAACCAUGGUGGCCAGCCUGAAGGAAACCCUUUGAACAGAGGCAGCUAACUCGGAGAGCUCCAUACUCUCGAUGUCCUUCACCAUCUUGGGCCCAACCGACCUCUUGUAAUCCUUUUGGUACGGGCUCAAAUAGUCACCCUGAUCCCGAGAUGGAAGAGGAGAAGAUCGGUCCCCAGAUUGUAAGCUGACCUCAGGGCUCUUGUCGGAAGUUUUCUCCCCACUACUCUUACGAGGUGGAGGAGGGGGCAGAGCAGGAACUGGAGCCUGAGAAGGACUGGCACUGGCCUUUUUCGGAGGAGGAGGAGGGUGGCUGGAGCUGCUCGAUGCCCGACCACGCUUUCUGCUCAUCGCGCUGAGGAUCUUGUUAUCCAUCCCAGCGGCAAUAUCUACUAAGCCCGAACCGACCAGGUUUGUUGGUGACAGGAGGUCUUGACAAGUAGACGCGCUCACCAGAGCCGUUUCCACCUGGAGUAAAGGUCGGUCCUCGAGAGUCUUAACCAAACCCCACGAUUCUGAAAAAACAGACAAGGUUAAAGAACCCAAUAAGUGGCAAUUCGAGAAAGAAUAUAGGCAAAAAAUGAACGACCUGGGGUGACAAAUUGCGUUGGAAGGUAAAUGUCACCACCCAACGACCGAACUGCUGGACACCAAUUUCCCCCAGCAAAGAAGAAUUUGUUCUUCCAAUUUUUGCACGAGGAGGGGAAACCGGUGAUUGGCUUUCUCUUCGCAGAACUGGACAUGAAGUAGUACCAGCCCGCCUCCCUUGGGCUGCUCCGCAGCUGAUACAGAUGCUUCACUUCAACAAGGGAAGGCUCCUCCGACCCACACCUCUCCCACAACACAAACAUAGCCGAGAGAACCCUCCACCUGUUUGGGUGUAGUUGACCUGGGGCCAGGUGCAUACCCCCUAAAAUCUUGGCAAAAUAGCGCUGAAGAGGCAGCCGAGCUCCUAAUUUAAAGCUCUCCAGGUGCAUGGUCACGUACUCCCGCGGAGGCCGACUAGGAACAUCACCUUUCUCAGGAACCACAAGGAGAACCUCCUUAGGAAUAUCAUAGAGGUUCCUAAGCUUGAACAGAUCAUUUUGGGUGGUGGCACAGGCUAUGUGAUCAAUGGGGUAAGAAUCUGCCUCCAUCCUAUGCCCAAGGUUUUGUUUCUUAAGAGGUCGGCUCGGCUCGGCUCGGAGCUGCUUCCCUCACUAUCACCCGCUCCUUCAGGAACCCCGACCCCACCAGAACUGUGGUUCUCGCCAGAGCCCGACGCAGGUCCCCCUCUAUUUCCUACAAGCUCUAAUUCAGAGGAGGGUGAAAUGGUCAAGGGACGUGGGUACUCAAGGAUAUCCCUACUAUGGGAUAAGCCUACACUACGAGAGGGAUUCAAAAAAUCAGUGGGUAUGGGCAAGUUAAGGUCUGAAUCCCCAGAUUCUUCAUCACCCUCGUCUGCAAUCAACUUCCUUCUUCGAUUUGACAUACCGGAGUUCCAAAAGAAAACCAAAACAAACCCAAGUACACGAAUACAAAAAGAGACAGUACAGAACCCAAUCAACAACAGCCAAAAAAGAGGUUAAAGGCUAUACCUGGAAUGGACUAACAUUGGUAGCACUGCCGUGACAGAGAAAACACCCAGCAAAUGGAUACUCCGGACGCUGGAAAUGGGAGCAAAGUCCAGAAAAGAAAUUGGUUAGUGACGGAGAAACGAAUCGCAGAAUGAUGAUGAUUUUAGUCUAGGGAUUUGGAACGAAAAGGGGGGAAACGGAAGCAUUUAAGUGAUGGGAUAUGCCAGCUCACUCACCAUAUAUCGAGGAAGGAUAGCCCGUCGUUUCAAAUUUCAAAAUAUGAAGAGUCGGGAAGCGCCACGUCACUAACCGAUACAAGAGGCCAGACUAGAGCAAGCCCAGAUAUGCAAUGGACAGGCUCAUUAAGGCCCAUGCUCAGAAGACCAGAUGAGAAGCCCCGGGCUGGUCGGCUUCAACCAUCAGUUUCUACUCUUAACUCAUUUCACUCGCAAGACCAGAAACUGGGGGACUGGUGUUAAGUAAGUAAAAGCACCAGGUCGGCCGUGCUACUAUUUCCGCCCCGGUAUGGCUCACCUCAAUCGAAUGGUACAAGCAGAGCAUGGAGACGAAUAUGGCCCGACCAGAGAUGAGUACCGACCAGAGGUGUAUGCCGAGCCGAUACCCGUCUCCUGAAAAAGCGGGAACACGAUCCCACAGAAUCGCGGGAUUUGCGUUUUUCCCAGAACCGUUGCGAGAGAUGCGAUACCUCACGUUUACCCGUAAUGUAGCAGUUAAAGUUCCGUGAAAGGCCACCACCUGAAAAAGGAGGGAUGAAGACUGAGCGGGAACGUGGGAUAACGGCUAUAAAAGAAGGAGAAAUCGAUGAAGAAGGGGACAGAAAAAUCAAAAGAGGGAAAACGCUGCCAAAUUAUUGUCAGGCUAUCUUCUUGAAAAUUCCAGAUAAAUCAAAAACUACUCUUGAAUCUAAAUUGCUCUGUUUUCCCGUAAAUACCUUGACCUAACUUAGGCAUCGAAGGGUUUACGCCGGCAAAACCACCGGCGUCUUUGAUCCGUUCUUUUGUGAGCGUAGGUCUAGAAAGAGAAAGGAGGACGAGUCCAAGCCCCGCGGUUCGAACUUGAUAACAUAAUCGUUGGUGGAAAAUUCUGAUCGGUAACAAGGCGAGCAAAUUUAAGCAUCAACAAAAUGAAAAUAAAAAUUCAUUACGAAUACGUGUUAAAGAUAUCCCAAGUAUAGAUGUGACUGAAAUAUUUGAGAUUGAAGAAGAAUUAAGACUCAAAAUCAAUUGGGAGGAAUAAAUGAGAAACCCCAAUACCAAAAAAUACACGCACAAAUCCUAAUACUAAUUGUAAUCACGGAUAAAAAGCAUAAUACGAAUAAAUUAAAUGGGCAACUAUUCCAUUGAGAAAUUAAUUAAAUCGUGUAUUAAUAUUUUGUAUACAUAUAUUUUUCUAUAUAUAACUUUCGGUAAUUUAAUUUUCCACUUAUCAUUUUUACUCCAAAAAAAUAAUUGAGAAUAUUAUUUAUAUUUUGGUGCAAAAUAUUUGAACAAUAUACAAAUUUUCAGUUUAAUAAAUCUAAACAUCUAUUAAGUUAUAAAUGAAUUUAAUGGGUUUAAUUAAUAAAAUUACUAUUAUUAUAUAAAUUGGGUUUAGUAAUGGUAUAUUGGGUGGGUUUGUUGAGUAAAUUUUAAAAUUUUGAAAUUUAAGGAUGGGUUUAUUUAGUAAAUGAGUUAAGGGAGUAGUUUGUUGGGAUUCACAUAGCCCCACCAAAUUCAAAUGUAAAAUUUGUGGAAAAAGAAGCUAUUGAGUUAUUCUUUUAAAAAAAGAAUUAAAAUGUCAAGAAUACCUUUAUUUAAUUUUAUAAUCUUAUUUUAUAGUCAUAUUUUAUUUCCACCUUAACAUAAUUUUAAAAACCUUAACUAAUAAAUUCUAUAUUUUUUUUAUAAAAGUUAUCAUUAAUAUCCAAACGGCUAAAGAUUUUUUUUUUUUUAAAAAAAAAGGAACUAUGCUUACAAAAGUUGUAUACAUUAACAAUAAAUUUAGUCCAAAGAAUAAAGUUAUUCCAAACAAGCACUCCAAUUCAUCUUGCUAAUGAAUCAAGAUGACUGAAUCCUUCUCUAAGCCAAAUCUAUUUUCACUUUUAGGUCAGAAAUUGUCAUUAAAAAAAUGUUUGAUAAAAUAUGCUCUAGGAACACUAAUUCGUCAGAUGGUUACUCCAAGUUUAUGAAAUCAAUGGGAUUUCAUCAUAUUCAUAACAUUCUUCUUUAAUGUCUAUUCUAACAAAGAAAUCAUAUACAGAGAAUAGGUUUCGUUAAAACUUUUACUAGAAAAACUAACCACAAUUCACCAUUCAUUUAUAUCUUAAGUAAGCCUAAGAUUUUAUCAUUAAAAUCCCAUCAUGAAAAAAACUCAUGGGAGAAAAACUAUAAAAAUUGAAGAAAAAAGAGUAUGGCGUGCAUGUAAAUUAUAUCGAUUUUAUCUACAUGACAAAUAAGACUCUCUUUUACAAUGGCACGGAUGCUUCAUUGAGUAAUCAUGAUUCUUGCUGGUAGUGCUUUGUUGUAUCAAUCUGCUAGCUAUUCAGCGUUCUUUCUUUCUUUCUUCUUAUUUUUUUGUUUUCAAAUAGCUUGUGGUUGUAGAAAUAUUUCAAUUAAACUAUACUUAAGUACUUAUUUGGUAUAACUUCUUUACUAACCAAAAGAAUUUUUUUUUUUGGUUUUUUAUAAUUUAAUUAUACUUUAACUAGAGUUUUUGGGAUAAAACAAGUGAUAAUUUCUCUCUAUUAAGAAAAACUCAAAGGGUAGGGCUAUCUCAAUCCACCAAACUAUUUAUUAAAAAUCCACUUAUGAAAAUAAUUUUUAAUUAUUAGAAUGCCUUUACAUUAAAUUAUAAUUAUGGACACUAAAAUAUAAUAAAUUUUUUUUUUACUCUUUAAAACUGUCUUUACAUUUGAUAUCAUAUCUUUUUCUUAAAAUCUAAAUUGAUAUUUUUAUUUUAUUUUUUAUUAAUCUUAGAACACAUAUAAAGUGAUUCAUAUUGAUUUUAUACUAACAAACUAUCACAGCACAUUCGAAAAUAAUUAACUCGUUCUUAUUUGCAUAGUGAAAAGGCAAAUAGCUCAUCCAAAUGUUAAAGAACUGGAGAGCUGCUGCUGGAGAUGAAAGAUAAAUAAUUCUCACUUAGAAGAAGGAGAAAAAAAGGAAAUACAAUUAGAAUGAGAGGUAGCCAGUAGCCACUAGCCGCCACCACCACCAGUGAAACUAUUUCACAUAAUAGAAGAUAAAGCACGCGUAAUGGAGGCAAAAAGCAAGUAAUGAUAACUCUUUUCGACACACUAAUACAUAUCAAAAUGCAAUAUCGGUCCUAACAAAAUGAAAAUAAAAAUUCAUUACGAAUAUGUGUUAAAGAUAUCCCAAGUAUUGAUGUGAUUGAAAUAUUUGAGAUUGAAGUAGAAAUAAGACUCAAAAUUAAUUGAGAGGAAUAAAUGAGAAACCCAAAUAUUAAUAAAAUACACGUGCAAAUCCUAAUGCUAAUUAAAAUCACGGAUUAAAAAUAAUAAUAAUAUGAAUGAAUUACAGGCGCAACUGUUUCAUUAAGAAAUUAAUUAAAUCGUGUAUUAAUAUUUUGUACACAUACAUUUUUCCAUAUAUAACUUUCGGUAAUUUAGUUUUCACUUAUCAUCUUUACUCCAAAAAAAAAAUUGAGAAUAUUAUUUAUGUUUUGGUGUAAAAUAUUUGAAUAAUAUACAAAUUUUCUGUUUAAUAAAUCUAAACAUUUCUCCAGUUAUAAAUGAAUUUAAUAGGUUUAAUUAGUAAAAAUAUUAUUAUUAUAUAAAUUGGGUUUGGUAAUGGUAUAUUGGGUAUUUAAAUGGGUUUGUUGAGUAAAUUUUAAAAUUUUAAAAUUCAAGGGUGGGUUUAUUUUAGUAAAUGGGUUAAGGCAGCAAUUUCCCAAACUAAAAUUUUUAGAAAAAGACGCUAUUGAGUUUUUUUUUUUUUUAAAAAAAGAAUUAAAAUGUUGAGAAUACCUUUAUUUAAUUUUAUAAUCUUAUUUUAAAAAAUUUACCCAAUAAAUUUUAUAAUUUUUAUAAAAAUUAUCAUUAACAUCCAAACAGCUAAAGAUUAAAAAAAAAAAAAAAGAAGAAGGGAACUGUACGAGCAAAAGUUACAUUAACAAUAAAUUUAGUCCAAAGAAUAAAGUUACAGCUAAAAAGUGCUCCUAUCCUAUUUUUCUCUAUUUUAACAAUAAUCUUCUUCCAAUCCGUUUUACAAUGGACUUUAACAAAUGGGCUCAAUCUCUAAACUUCAUUUUCUUUUGCUUACCCAUGGCCAUUAGCCAGAAAGCCUAAAACAAGACCAGCCCAUAUAUAUAAUUUUUUUUAAAAAAAAGUAAAAAUGUGUGAGAGCUUGUAGCAUUACAAUUUUAGGAUCACAUGUGUAAAUGGAACCCCAACAUUGAUCAAGAAUUAACAAGACAAGAUGAAGAGAUGAUCUUGUAACUAAGAAUGAAGAAAUUGAAUCAAGACAGUACUCUAGUAAAACCCAGAAAACAGAGCUUGAAGAAUCACGCACAAAGCAGUAAAUUUGUAAAACCAGAAUUGGAGCUUCACUUCUCAAGAGAGACGAAACAGGAUACAGUCUAGCUUUAGCCAAAGUGAUAAACUCGUAAUUAUUCUACAAAGGGAACAAUUUUGAACAGUGGGAAAUUCCAUAAUUAUUCUUUUCGGUGAAUUAUUUUAAAUAAAAUUAUAAAAACCAAUAUAAAAUUAUUACCCAGUAAAGACUUUAGAGAGACAAGUGCUCCCAACAGGAUCAAGUGAAUAUGCCCCACAAAGAUCAUUUCUUGUUCUUUUUCUUUUUGACAAUUUUAUCUGUGGUUUCAACUUUUAUGCUUUAUUGUCGUAUCCCGUUGAGGGCUCCGCUGCACCCAUUACAACUUACCCCUAAAUUGCCUCUUACUAACUAAACCGUUAGAUUUUAUGGAAGCACGUUCAAUGCUGAAUUUUAAUUAUGUCAUCAAAUUUCGUUUAGCUCCUUAAACUCCAUUUUAUUUGUAAUUUCUUCAUAAAAUAUUCAAAGCUUCAUCAAGCUCCUGAUGGACCAUCAUGGCUAGGGGUGCAUUAGAGCCGAACUGAAAUAUGUUAGUUCAGUUCAGUUUGGUCAGUUUAAAUCGAAUGGUUUAGAAUAUAUAAACUGAUCAAUUUUAAUUUUUAAUUGAACCGAAAAUCAAUUGGUUCAUUAUUAGUAUUUUUUUAUAAACAUGAAUUAUUAGUGAUUGUAAUUAAAUUGGACUAAAAAAAAUUCAAACUAAGGUGAAAAAUAUAAAAUCUUAGACAAUAUAAAAGAAAAAAUAUUAAAUUUUUUUAACCGAAUUAUUUUGACUCAAUUUGGUUCAUAAUUUUUUAAACCAAAUGGAACCCUCAUAACAAAAAACUAACAGAAACAAUAAGAACACGAUGUUAAAAUCUUAAAUCAAUCGCAAAAAAGCACCCAAAACAGAUCGAUUAGGAACAGUUAACAACAAAAGAUUUGAUGGUUCAAAAUCAUAAUGUGACCUACUUCCAUCCAAGAAUUAUACUAAUUUCUUUACUAGUUGUCAAAUACAAGAUCACAAGAUUAUUUAUCACUCUAUAGAGAAAAAAUUUUUAGAAGAAAUACUCCCCAAUUUUUCUCUUGAUAGUUAUGAAUCAACACCCCUAGAAAGGCUAUUGAUUUACUUUUCCUUAUUUCAUAUGAUCGGUUGCUGCAACUUAAUCCUUGCCAAGUUCCAACAUAGUCCAAACAUUUUUCAUGGUACAUGCAUAGUGCACCUUCAGAAACUUUACAGCUCUUCUUAAAACCUCAGUUCUCGUGAUGUUUCUGAUUUAUUUCUGGGACGAGUAACACUUUUGUUGAACCUAGACCAGAUUUAGUAUCCAAUCAAGAAUUUCCAGGAUCUAGCUGAACUCUCUAAUCAAGACCUAAAGAAUAGUUAAUCAAAUCCACACAAAAGAAUCACCCAAAAACAGUAUACAAAGAACAACAAAUAUAAGUGGUUUUGAGAUAAAUGUAAUUGACUUCUGAGCAUGACUUAAUUUUGAGAUCAUUACUUUUAGUUAAAUGAUCUCCUCCAGAGCUUCUACCUAUGUAGUGUUUUUAGACCUCUAUAGUUGAUAAAGCACGUUCAAGGUGAAGGCUUGUUUUCCAAUCUAUAGUCCAAUUAUAGACUGGAAAUGGUCAGGCUUAAUGCACCUUCAAAAGCUUCACAAUUUGUAUUGAAACCUUAAGCCUCAGAAUGCUACAAAUUUUAAAUCCAUAUACUUAGUGCUCUUAUGAUUUGUUUGAUUUUUACUUAGAUGAAGAGCAUUUUAGCUAUAGAAAACAUUGUAACUAAUUCAAAGCAUGCCUUAGCUACGAGAUCAUUCAUUCUAGCCAAAUGCCCCCUUUAGAGAUUCUGCUAUUGUUGUGUAUUCAGCCUCUAUAUUUGGCAAAGCAAUUACAUGUCGAAGGCUUGCUUUCCAGUUAACAGCGCAAUUACAUAGAUUAAAGGUGUAACCAGGCAAAGAACUUAGUUAUUCUGCCAAGGUCUCCAACAUACUCCAAAUCCAUAUAACCACCAGACUUCAAUCUUUAGACUCCAUAGAUCAAACCAUAACUUAGUGUGCCUUUCAAUCUCAGGUAACAUUUUACUGUUUUCCACGUCUUGCCAUGUACUUGCUGCUAACACUAACAAUUUGAGAAAUGUUAGGCAUCGUAAGCAGCCGACAACACUCUUCUUCAUUUCUUCAUUGUCAAUUUCCUUCUUGGAACAUUGCUCCAUUGAGAGUCUGCUAUCAUUGCUCCAAUUAUUAUUAUUUUUGUUUUUUUAAAAAAAAAAAUUAACCGUGCAAUAAGAGUAUAAGACUAAGCAACGGUCCUUUUUUUUUUCCCAUUCUUGAACAUGAAGUAUUUGAGUAUGCAAUAAAAAUUGUUUAUUGAUAAUUAAAAGUUAAUAGUGGGUGGCUUUAGGAUUUGUUUACAAAAUUGACAACAAAUUAAGAUUUUUCAAAUUCAUAGGUAAGAAACUUUUCAUUUAUUCAUAGAUUUUCCGGUUUAAACUUUAAAGGAAACUUAAAAGAAAAAGAUGUAUCAUUAGAUUUGUAAUUAAAAAAAUUUAAUAUUGUAUGAUCUGUUCGAUAUGCAUAAUUUAAAUAAACAUUAAUAUAGAUGUUAUAUAUCCUAAAACUUAAUUGACUUAAUUCUUACGGUGCAAGGAAGACGUUUCCAAGUUUAAAUCUAAUUUGGGGUCGGGAAAGCACUGGGAAAUAAAUGUAACAAAGGAAAAAAGAAAAGAAUGACAGUCUGAGUGGAGCCAACACGGUUUUGAAAAAAGUGCAAAAAAGGGUUUUAGGAUAUAUUCUAUUAUCGUUUGUUUGCUUGCUUGUGGAAAUAAAAGUCUCAUGUUUCUUUGAAAGGUAAGCAAGUGUGAAUGUUUCUAUCUAGAGCUGGAAAAUGCAUUUCCGUGCAACUUACUUGAUGAAUGAAGUUUUCAUCUCUGACCUUGAUGUUUCCCAGAGCUGCAUUCAUUUCAGCUGAUCUAUUUCAUUUCGUUUGCAAAGGAGUGACACAAAACCUCCUUUGUUAAGGGGAGAAUUUAGAGUGGCUUCAACGGUUAACAAAUAGCCUAAUGUAAGACUUAAUCAAUUUCCUGCCCGGUUGCUUACCACUACUUAUCACUUUAACGUAUGAAACCUAAUCAAGAUUCCUUUGAUGAUUUUUCUAUUUGCUAAUUGAUUGAUAAGCUCUUCAGUGAAGAUAUAGUGUCCGCAAGCCAUAUGUUGAUAGAGUUAGAGUUUGCAGAAGCUACUGUACCAUAUGUUGUUAGAGGCGGUAAAAACGGAGGCAGAUCAACACACAUUUAAAUUUCAAUGACAAUUUACUGGAAAUAAAUUUCCUAUGACCCUACAUGUGACUAAUUGAUGAGAACUUGACAAUGACAAAAGAAAGUGUAUGAGCUUUGCAGGCUGGCUUGCCAAUAUUGACUGUAUGGCACCAUCCGCAAGUAAGUAUCAUUACUGUUUAAUCAACUUGGUGGAGUCCACUGGGACCACCCCACAUGGUCAGUCUUAUCUCUACUCCUAAAUUUUCAAUAUUCCAUACAUCAAACCAAUUGCAGUUUUGAUAUCAAAUUCAAUUUUAUUGUUGGUGACGAUUCUGAUUCCUUUCAUUCUCACAAAACGGAACCAUGGUUGCUGUUGGAGAGAUCUUACUCAACGCCUUCCUUGAGGUGUUGUUUGACAGGUUGGCUUCUCGUAAUUUGCUCCGCUUUGUGCGUCAACUCCAAGGCGGGGUUGAUUCGGAGCUCAAGAAGUGGGAGAAAAAGCUGAAGAUGAUUCAGGCUGUGCUCUGCGAUGCAGAGGAGAAGCAACUGACCGAUGAGGCUGUGAAGAUGUGGCUGGACGAACUCCAAGACUUAGCUUUUGACGCUGAGGACAUUCUUGAUGAGUUUGCUACUCAAGCUUUGGAAAGCAAGUUGAUGGCGCAAAACCAGGAUAGCUCUGGCCAGGUUCUCAGUCUCAUCCCGGCUAGUUUGAAUCCGAAUGCUAUUAUGUUCAAUUAUAGCAUGGGGUCCAAGAUUAAAGAUAUGACUAGCCGGCUGGAGCAACUCUGCCAAGAAAGAAUUGAACUUGGACUGCAACGGCUUACUGGAGGGGCGUCAUCAACCGCUGCUGCUGCACACCGGAGGCCACCCAGUUCGAGUGUCCGAACAGAACGUGAAGUAUUUGGAAGAGAAGAAGAUAAGGCCAAAAUUCUUGAUAUGGUCAAUACCCCAAGUGAUCACGCCAACUUUGUUGUAAUACCUAUUGUUGGAAUGGGCGGGAUAGGAAAAACAACUCUUGCUCGGGAGGUCUACAAUGACAAGGCAGUUGAGGAUUCCAAGUUUGACGUAAAAGCAUGGGUUUGUGUCUCCGACAACUUUGAUGUUUUCAACAUUUCAAAGGCACUUCUCGAGUCAAUCACCUCCGCAGCUAGUGAUCUCAAGACUUUAAAUGAAGUGCAGGUUCAACUGAAAAAAGCAGUGGACGGAAAAAGAUUCUUGCUGGUCUUAGAUGAUGUUUGGAACGAGGACUACAGCUUGUGGGUAGACUUAAAAGCUCCGUUCCUGGGUGCUGCACCAAACAGUAAGAUGAUCGUCACCACACGCAAUUUAAACGUUGCAUCAACAAUGGGACCAAUUGAACAUUAUAAUCUCAAGAGUCUGUUAGAUGAUGAUUGCUGGUCCAUUUUCAUACAGCAUGCAUUUGAAGGUAGAGAUCUUAACGCAUAUCAAAUUUCAGAAUCAUUCAGCAAGAAAGUUGUUGGCAAGUGUGGGGGCUUGCCUCUGGCAGCAAAAACGCUCGGGGACUUCUGCGCACAACAAGGCAUGAUGCGUGGGACGAUAUAUUGGAUAGCAAAAUAUGGGAUUUACAUCAACAAAGCAGCAUUCUCCCUGUGUUAAGAUUGAGUUACCAUCAUCUUCCGUCUCAUUUGAAAAGAUGUUUUGCUUUUUGUGCCAUCUUUCCAAAAGAUUAUGCAUUCACUGAGAGGGAGCUGACUUUCUUAUGGAUGGCUGGAGGUAUUAUUCGACAGUCAAGAAACAAUGAGCAGCUGGAAGAUUUGGGCAGCAAGUGCUUUGGUGAUCUAGUGUCGAGGUCAAUUUUUCAGCAAACAGCAAGCUCUGAUAGUUCUAAAUUUGUAAUGCAUGACCUUAUUCAUGAUCUUGCUGAAUUGGUCUCUGGAGAAACCAUAUUCAGGUUAGAGGAGGCCAAUACUCGGUCAAGAAGAUUUGAAAGGGUUCGCCAUUCUUCCUAUGCUUGUGGUGGAUGUGAUGGUAAAAAUAUGUUCGUGGUUUUCAAUGAAAUUGAACAUCUACGAACAUUCUUGCCAUUACGCUUACGCAGAAGAGGUGGCUCUAAUGCUGGUUACAUAACUCGUACGGUUCUAUCUGAUUUGCUGCCGAAGUUCAAAAGGUUGAGAAUGCUAUCUUUACAAGGAUACUGUAUUGGUGAGUUACCAAUUCCAUUUGAAGAUUUGAGACUUUUAAGGUUUCUCAACCUUGCUGACACUGACAUAAGAAGUUUACCCGAGUCAACAUGCAAAUUGCUGAACUUGGAAAUUUUUAUAUUAAGAAAUUGUUCCCGUUUGAUAAAGCUUCCACCCAAAAUGAGGAAUUUGAUCAAUUUACGCCAUUUGGAUUUAAGAGGUGCGAAGUUGCUGAAGGAGAUGCCAUUCGGAAUGAAAGAGUUGAAGAAGCUUCAAACAUUGUCCAAUUUCAUCGUGGGCAAGGGCGAAACUGCAUCUGGUUUGGAAGAUUUAAAAUGUUUAAACUUUCUUUGUGAUGAACUCUGCAUUGCUGGAUUAGAGAAUGUGAAUGGUCCACAGAAUGCAAGAGAAGCCGCAUUAUGUGAGAAGCACAAUCUUGAAGCAUUGACUCUAGAAUGGGGGUCUCAAUCUGACGGUCCUCGGGAUGCAGUACUAGAAGAGAAGGUACUUGACACUCUACAACCUCAUGAAUGUAUAAAAGAGCUGGCAAUCAGGCACUAUGGUGGUGCAAGAUUUCCACCUUGGAUCGGACAGCAUUCGUUCUCCGAGAUGAAGGUCCUUAAAUUGGAGAACUGUGGCAAUUGUGUAUCUCUGCCAUCGCUUGGCCUGAUGAGUUCACUUAAGCACCUUGCUGUUAAAGGGCUGAAGAAAUUAAAAAGCCUAGAGUCUGAGGUUUAUGGGGAGGGUUUCUCAAUGCCUUUUUCGUCACUGGAGAUUCUAAGUUUUGAGAAUUUGCCAGAAUGCGAGCAUUGGGACACCAAUAUCAAAGGAAAUGUGCUUGUUGAAAUAUUUCCUCGUCUCCAUAAACUUUCCAUUGUGGAAUGUCCCAAACUCUCCGGAAAACUGCCUGAGCUCCUGCCCUCCUUGAAGACACUUGUUGUUAGUAAAUGUGAAAAGUUGGUAGUUCCAUUGUCUUGCUAUCCAAUGCUUUGCAGAUUAGAAGUUGAUGAGUGCAAAGAACUAGUCUGCCGGACUCCGAUUGAUUUUAAGUUGAUAAAGUCGGUGACUAUUUCAAAUAGUUCAUUAGACAUGAAUGGACGCAAGGGGAUGCUAUACGAUGGUCCAGCUGGCUCUUUACUGCCAAAGCCCAUGACUACUACAAAUGUUUUGGAGUUUGGAAAAUUAUUGAAGCCUGGAUUUCAGAUAUUAGAAACUUUGGUAAUUGGCAAUUCUGAACAGCUCAAGUCAUGGAGGCAGCAUGGGGAUUUUCCGAAAAAAUACAUGGUCACUGACCAUGGGUUUAAGAAACCAGUACGAGGGCUGAAUAUGCUCGCUUCCCCUGAGGAGGUAUCAAUUGAAGAAAGUUGCGUACGUCUUGUUUUGUUUCCAGAGAUCAAUUUCUUUCCCAGAAAUCUGCGCUCUCUUCUAAUUAACAACAGCACUGCUUUGAAAUCCUUACCCGAGGAAAUGAUGGAAAACAAUUCACAACUCGAAAGGUUGUAUAUCAAGGAUUGCGACUCUCUAACAUUCAUCGCAAGACGGAGGCUACCAGCAUCUCUGAAAAGGCUUGAGAUAGAAAAUUGUGAGAAAUUGCAACGUCUGUUCGAUGAUGAAGAGGAUGCUUCUUCUUCUUGUCCUUCAUCCUCGUCUUCCCCAGUGAUGCUGAAACACCUGAGAAUCGAUAACUGCCCAGAGCUCACCAGUUUAUCAUCGGGUGUCCAAUUCCUUGAGGCGCUUGAAGACCUCAAGAUAGGGCAUUGUCCAAAGCUGGAGUCAAUACCGGAUGGCCUGCCCAAUCUUAAAUGUUUACAGAGCAUUUAUAUACGGGAUUGUCCAAGUCUUGUUUCCUUCCCAGAAAGAGGGCUUCCCCACACCAUUUCAGGGGUUUUCAUUGCGAGUUGUGUGAAGCUCGAAGCCUUGCCCAAUGAUUUGCACAAACUCAACUCUCUUCGAGGUUUAAGCAUACAGCUCUGUCCAAAUCUUGUAUCGUUUCCAGAAGAAGGUUUUCCUACCAAUCUAACAACCCUUGUAAUUGAAAAAUUCAAAUUGUAUAAGACACUCGUCCAGUGGGGGUUGCACAGGCUUACCUCUCUUAGAGACCUCUACAUCAUUGGAUGUGAUGAUGAAGCAGAGUGUUUUCCAGACGAGGAGAUAGGAAUGACGCUGCCCACCUCUCUCACUCAUCUGUCCUUUUGUGGAUUCCAAAAUUUGAUAUUUCUGUCUUCAAUGGGUUUUCAAAACCUCACCUCUCUUCAAUCAUUCCCAGAGGUGGGCUUUCCAUCCUCACUUUGGGGCUUAGACAUUAGAUAUUGUCCAAAGCUCAAAACAGCGUGCAAAAGAGAUGAAGGAAAAGAGUGGUCCAAAAUUGCUCACAUCCCUCGCGUUGAGAUAGACGGUAAAUUCAUAUACGAUCCAGAAGCAGAGGAGUAGAUUCUACUAUUAAGGUCAGUUGAUUUGUAUUAUCCGCUAUAACAAGCUCCUCCUUUUUUAUUUUUUUUUUUGAAAUAAUAAUUUUGCAGUCACUCACGUGAUUCCGUUUUCACAAGUCAGAUUGUACGUUGAGGCUAUUUGCCUUUUAAUCGCAGAUUAAAUUAUAACACUUAUCUUAAAAUUUAAUACCAUAGACAGAUAGACGAUUUUUUAAUCCAAAGUUUUUUUUAUUCACUUCAGUUAGCAUUUUUUUUUUCCCCAAAUCAUGCAAGCCGAGAGUUUCAAUCAAGAAUUGGAGGAUGUGAAUGGGAAUUUUGUGAAAGAGUAACAUAAUGGAUGAACGAACAUUUCAUAUGUGAUCUCAAAGUCAACAGAAUUUUAUUCACUCGUUGACUUUUCAACUGCUGUGGUUAUUUAUGGGUGAAAGAUAAGGGCAAUUACAAAAAAUUUGCAAAAUUUGUCCAUUUCUUAGAUGGUAGAAAUUGGAGUAUAAUAUUUUGGAGCAAGCAUACUUGAAAUUUCUUUCUUCAAUAUUUUGAUGCUUUCUUAUCCCAUGCACAAAAAUACUAGAAAAAACUAAUAACAACUAACCGAAAAUCCCAGGCGUCAUAUUCCUUUUUACCGCGUUUUAAAAUGCACAACAAUGAUAUUCUUACAAAUUUGCAAAAUUUGUCAAUUUCUUAGAUUUCAGAUAUUUUAAUGCUUUUUUUAAUUUUUGAUCUAGUAAAAAUACAUAGCCUUCACCGGCAAGAUUCUAGUCUUGGAUUUCACCUCUCUAACUCAUCUGUUCCCAUUGGGAUUCCAGAAAUUGAAAUUUCUGUCUUCAAUGGGUUUUCAAAGCCUCGCCUCUCUUCGAUUUUUGUGGAUCGGGAAUUGCACAAAUCUCACAUCAUUUCCCGAGGUCGAGGAAAAGAGCGGCCCAAACUUGCUCGCAUCCCUUAUUAGGUUAUGAUAGAUGGAAAAUUCAUAUACGAUCCAGAGUCAGAGGUGUUGAUUCUCUUAUUAAGGUCAGCUGAUUUCUAUUAUCCACUCUGACAAUCUCCUAUUAGUGUUUUUCCUUUUGAAAUUUUUUUUCCAAAAUUUUGCAGUUCCGUAUAAUUGAAAAUGCCAUUCAGUUGUUUCCUAAUAGUAUGUUGAGGCUAUUUGCUUUCUAUCGGUGUUUGUUAAGGUAAUUAGUGCUCCCUCGUAGGUGUGACUGGAUUUUUUUCACUUCCGUAAAUAUUGCAUUUUAGACUGGCAAAUUUAGCAGUAAUUUUAAUACAAUUUUGUUGGUGCCUUGUGUUCCAGAAGCUAGAAAAAUGUGUAGUUUUCAGAUAAGGAGGCUUGUCAGUUCUCUAGUAAGAAUCCAAUGAUUUGCUUUUGCACGUCCAUCUAAUUUGUGGAUCCUUGCAUCAGAAUUUGAUCAAUCCAAAAGGAAUUGCUUUUAGACAGAAGAAGAAUAGCAGCACCUAGCCUACCCGCAAACCUGAAACUAUUAGAUUGAGGUAAAAAAAUCAUUGACCCUCACAUGUUAACUUCUUCUAGUUACUUUCGUUGGGAAAAAAAAAAACAUUUAAGGAAUUUGCAAUUUGUUGUUAGUUAUGGUAUCUGAUGUUCUUUUCUGCUUUAGCGUUUGUAGAAUCUACUGUAUUAUGUGUUGGCAGUUGCCGUAUCUAAGGUAACUUGCCUUUAUUUGUUUGCUUCUGACUUAAGGACACCAACAUUUGCCAGAGAUUUAGAGAAUCAUCUCAAAACACUUAGCAAACUUGACAAACUUCAAGAUGCACUUGCCCCCACGCCUUAUUCUCAACAACGCAAAACUUGUGAGUACACCUAUGCCUGCAAUUAUUGUGAAGUGUUCGCAAUUCUGAUGCAGAGAAAUGGUUUCUUGAUGCAAAGUAUUAAACUGUUAAGAUUUAUCCUGCAGGCUUGUUAGAUGCUGGAUACGCGAAAAGCCAACAACAUCAAGAACUGCAACUCCAAGACCAGCUUUGCGUUAAUUCAGUCAGCUGUAAUAAUGAUGCAAAUGACACUAUAUCAAGCUGGACUUAGAGACUAGUCAGAUAAAUCAUCCAUUUCAUCAACGGUUAAUGUCAUGAUGGUGGCUAUCAGAGGAAACAAAAGAUGUGUCGGAAUCUAUACAAACAUUGAGAAGCAUGAGAGGAGCUUUGAUUUUGAGUAGGGUCAAUGAACUCAUAUUGGUAAGUGGUAAUUAAAGAAACUUUGUAAGCUUAGUAGAGUUUCAGUAUUUUCUGUUUGGAGUAUAGUUGAUAAGUUGACUCUGUUUAAGAAGCCCGAUUAUAGUAGCUGACUGUAUUAACCUUUUUUUUUUUUUUUUGGGUCUGCUGUUGUUUUUGGUUUCGAUUAUUUUUUCAACAUUGGGUUGAUCUGUUGAAGAACAAGCUUGGGUUUGAUUAUGCUUUAACUACAAGGAAGAGCCAGACUUGGAUGCAGGCGUUAAGCUUUUAAUGGGUAAGAACAAAUGAAUGCUUUAACUAUGUUUCUCACUUAUUAAAAUGCACGGAUUGAAGGCAUCUGGGUUGAUCCUGACAAUGUGAUGGAAAUACUUCUCUGUUUUCAUAUAACAGGACAAAUAGAGAUCUCUGAUCAUGCCUGAAUUUUUGUUGCAUUGAAAUUUCUACCAUUAUCAAACAUAGAAUGAACUAGGGAUACAUUAGCUUAAGACUAAAUUUUGAGAAGGAAGUUUGUACUUGCAGCCUAUAAAAUCAUGUCCAUGUUGUACGUUUCUUUGGGAAAUGAAAGAUUCUGUGUGUUCUUUUAUUUCAAGUUCACUGAAAUCACAUUUGUUUUCUCAGCUGCUUUCCAGAAGGUAACAACAUCAAUUUCAAAAAUGCUGGGGCAAGAUGUAUCAUGCAGUGCAACUCAACUUGAGAAUUCCUGGCCACAUUACCCGUAUGUCUAAUGAUCGCACAGUACAACCUUGAGAAGCUUGUAAUGAGUACACAACUGGGUGCAAGUAGUUUUGAAAUGAAUUUGCCUCAAAUGAUUUCUUGCCGGUGAUUAAUAUAACCUCUAUUCCAAAAUUCUUGGAACUGGUCAUACUAGCAAUGAAGGAUUGCAUACAUUGAAGACAUAGCUGAAGGCCUUGCGAGAGCUCUGUCAGCCCUUGUACCGGAAAACAGCUGGUCGUAGUCGCUUGUGAAUGAUAUGAUUAAUAGAUACUGCAAAAAUGAAUUGUGCCAUACAUUUUCAGCGCUCUGUGAAGAUGUCUUGGUCAUUUGUUUGAUGCUUGUUUGAUUUAUGUUGUAUUCAGCCAUAAAUCAGAGAUUCAGAACUUGGGUAUGUUUCUGGUUUCCAAAUCAAAAAAUUGCCUUGUGAUGUUAGUGUUCACUGUUUUCACAGGAGAUCAGGUUCCUUGUUAAUGAAUCAAGAAGAAGGCAAGCGCAUCCAUGUCCAAGUUCAAAUGUGUCUCCUCUAUUUUCUAUUACCCACUCAUUUAUUUUGAUUUCUUCAUUGUAAUUGAAUUAGUUUUUUAUUCCAAAUUAGUCAAAACCUCGUAGAGUCAUUAAGUUCUUUUAGCAUUUAAAGACAGAACUACGAACCAAAUGAUUUAAGUUCUUCGUUGUAAUUGAAUUUGCUUUCCCAUCUUUAAAGAUAUUAUGUUCUUUUUCACUUUUUCGAUUUGGUUAGUGGUGAUUUCUUAAAGACUCAAUCCAUUUGCGUUAAUACAUUUUUCUUUUGCCUUGAUUUCUGUUUCUUGGGGAGUUUAUACAUAUUCUUAUUUUAUGCUACACAUGCCAUAUACAGAUUCUUAUUUUAUGCUUCACAUGCCACAUGAAAGGUCAAAGCCUUGUGUGUGAUUAGAAUUUACUGGCAUCAUAGUAACUUUAAACCAUUGUGACGUUUUAGUAAUAACAGUCUGAGCUCUCCCUGAAGGAUUCAAAGCAUUUUAUUUUAUAUUAUACUCCUUUAUAUGGUUUGGCUGGUCUCUUUUAAGGCAAUUCCUGUUUAAAGUAAUCAAAAUUUUGAUUUCGAAGUGUCUUUCAACACUACCGCUAGUUCUUUAAGAAAAGUAAAUCGAUUUUGAGUCUUCUGUAUCAUCUGAUUGAAAUACAUGAAAGCACUCUUAGCUGCAAAAGUACACUUGGAGUUAUAAUAGCAUUCUGAAAUCUCCUUGAAGGAUUCAAAAGCUCUUUAUUUGCUAGUCUUUGCUUGCAAUAAACUCCUUUAAUAUAGAUUGGUUGAUCUUCUUUAAAGCAAUUACCAUAAGUUCUUUAAAUAAUAAAACGACUUUGAGUCUUAUGUAUCAUCUUGUUGAAAUACAUGAAAGCACUCUUGGCUGUAAAAAUGCACUUGGGGUUAUAUAUAAAGUCUUCAACAGAAUUUUAUUUCCCCCUUUAUCCUCAUGGUGGUCUUUUUAGUUGUUUUUUAAGAAAUCGCUUGAAGGUUCUCUUUAAAAAUAAUUUUAACAUAAGCAUUCUUUAGAAGCACUUUAGAUGUCUGGCAUUUAGAAAAUUUUGUUCCUGUGUUCACAUAAUAUAAUAUAUAUAUAUAGAAAGCUGACUGUAGAAUAGAGGAGAACGAGUUGGUGUUGGUCUGAACUCUGAUCUUUGAAUCUCAUGUGACUCCACUACUUUUUACUUGUUCUGUACAAGGUCUUUUAGCUUUUCAAAAAGUUUUAGCUUUAUGGAUAAAAUACUGUUAAUUGUAAUCUAUAAAUAAUGAAAGGAAUUAAUAAAAUAUUUGGUAAAUUUUAUUUUCUAAAGUGUUAUGAGUUCUAAAACGGCUGUAUGUAUAUAAAUUUAUUUACACAUAUAUUUAUAAAUAUGAUUAUAUAAUAAUAUUUUAUGUGUACAUAUCAUAAUUGAUAACUAAAAUAAAUAUUUUUAUUUUAUUAAUGGUUUUUCCGUCUCAAUGUAGUUGGUAAUAAUAAUCUCUUUAGAUGUAACGAUUUUAUUUCCUAACUGAAUAAGGAAAAUUUUAGAUUUUUAUAAUAAAUGUUAAAUAUAUAUAGAAUUACAUUAAGUAUGAAAUAAUCCUCAAAAUUAGAUUUGAAAAGUUAUUCUUUUCUUGCUUUUAAAAAUAUGUCAUAUGAUGAGAUAAUUUUACUAAAAGUGAUUUUUUUUUAAAAAAAUUACUAAACAUCAAAAUUAACUCUUAACUUUUUAAAAUCAUUUCUAAUCUUCUCAUCCUAAGUUCUUUAUUGUUUUGUACAAAAUCCAAGGUUUUGACUUUUAUAAAAUGCCCACUCAAAAAUAAAUUAUUUUCUAAUUAAGAUUUGUUGUUAAUGUAUAACUCGAAGUAAUAUUAGAUAUUUGUAAUUUUAUUUCAAAAAUUUUAUUCAAAUGAUAUGGCAAGCAAUGAACAAUAGUUGAUAGCAAUUUUUUUUUUUUAACAAUGUUCAAAUCAAUCAGUUGCAUUAUCUCACCAUUUUUAUGAUGUCAUGUUAUUUUAAAUGAUUUUUUUAAUUUUUAUAUAAAACAUACGACGUGUUAACAUCAUUUGCAUAACUUGACCUUUUUUUUUUUCCUACAAAUAGUGUUUAAAAUUCAACACACAGAUGUGCCUCUUUCUUACUAUACUGGAAUCCUCGGUAAACUUUUUGUUUGCGCAAUUUAUGUGAGCAAAUUGUGUCUUCUUUUUCAUAUGUAAAUGUUUUUGAUAUCUUGAUGUGAAGGUAGAAAAUUGCAUGUUUUGAGUUUUUGCAUAUUUGAUGGAAACACAGAACCGUACCUGAAUAUUUCAGAACCCCCUUUUCUUUGAAGUUUGAACACUUUUCUUGAAUGUAUCAACUUUAUUUAUGGGAUAUGUUGCCAAAUUGGCAAAUCUAUUCGUUAUAAAACUUUCCUUUGACAGUUUAAUCUAAGCAGAUGUUAAUUCUGCAAAUAGAGUGUGCCUUAGAUUAGUUUCAUAGAUUUGUCUCCUUCUGUACAGUAAAAACUUUGAGCAUUUUCGCCAUAUUCUGAUCAAUACACUCCAACUAGUUAGUUCUUGAGGCGUUUUAUGGUUUCGUGGAGUGAGGCAAGAUGUAUACGUUUGCAAAUUGGCAAUGUCUUUUGCUUGAUGGGUUGAGAGUUGUGAGUGUCAACAGGAAACAAGACCUCUGUUUUAUGAACUCCAAAAAGUUAUUCUGUUAGAAAGAUCGAGACAGAGGCCAUACUAUAUUUAUUAUUGCUAUAAAAGUGUGAAAAAAUAUUCUUUAUUUAAUAUUCUAAACGAUUGAGCCAUUUAGUUAUGAUAUUCUGCUGUAUUGGGGCUAAUAAUCUAAGUCGGUUCAAAGUGGUAAAUUUAUAAAUUGAUAGGUAUGCCUGGUAUGACCGCUUACGUUGGAUUUUAUGAGGUCUGCUCUCCUAAGCAUGGAGAGUGUGUCUUCAUAUCAGCAGCAUCUGGUGCAGUUGGUCAGCUUGUGGGGCAGUUUGCAAAGUUAUUGGGCUGCUAUGUCGUCGGAAGUGCUGGAAGCAAAGACAAGGUAGGUUAUCUGUGUGAAGUACUUGAUUGUUUCCGUGUUACUUUCAAACAUUUAAAUUAAAAAGGAAAUUUUCAUAAUCUUGCCUUUUCUAUGAUUUUCAAAACCAAGGUUGAUCUACUGAAGAACAAGUUUGGGUUCGACGAGGCAUUUAACUAUAAAGAAGAAGCUGAUUUGAAUGCAGCAUUGAAAAGGUUAGCAUCAAUAAAUGCCUUAGCUUGAUGCAGCUUGAUGAAGUAUGAUACACAUUUCUGACCAAUAUACUGCGUUCCCUGAUCUCUUACUUGAAAUAUCUUGGUUUGAGAAUCUCAUGCCAAUGCCUUUAACAUUUUGGCAGGUACUUUCCUGAAGGAAUUGAUAUAUAUUUUGAAAACGUUGGUGGAAAAACGCUUGAUGCAGUGCUACCCAACAUGAAAAUCCGUGGUCGAAUUGCUGCAUGCGGUAUGAUCUCACAGUACAAUCUUGACAAGCCUGAAGGUGUGCACAACUUGAUGUAUCUUGUUUCGAAACGGCUUCGAAUGGAAGGAUUCAUUGUUCUCGAUCACUAUCACCUCUAUCCAAAGUUUCUGGAAAUGAUCAUUCCUCACAUCAAAGAAGGGAAGCUUGUAUACGUCGAAGACAUGGCUGAAGGUCUUGAGAGUGCUCCGGCAGCUCUCAUCGGUCUAUUCUCUGGCCAGAAUGUUGGGAAACAGGUGGUUGCUGUUGCUCCUGAAUGAAGAACAAGUUAGUGUUGCAGUUUGAAUGAUGCUGCUGCACAACUGCUGCCGAAAAAAUCCUUAAUAGAUGAUUAGCAAGGUUUCAAAAAUAAAAAGAAAUGUUUGUGCAACGUGCCGAAUAUGACAGCCACAAAGAAAGAGCAUACAAAUUGAUUGGUUUUAUGUCUUCUCUAGGAGAAAGCUACAAUACAAGAAAUUGUAUUGAUGGAGCCAUGGACCAAAUUUCUUAUUUAAACUUUUAAUUUUUUUUAUUAAAAUUACUUAUGUUAUUAUGGUUUAUAUUUUUAGAAAUUCUUUAGAAAUUAAUACAGAACUAGUAGCAAGUUGAGAAAUCUACUGAAUAGUCGAGAUAUGAUCAUGUUUAUUGAAUUAAAUUGACAAUCAUCAUUUUGAUAAAUUAUUGUUAGGAUAUUUGAUUCAUCACAGGUGUAAGUAACUAAAUGUGCUAAAAAAAAAGUUAAUGAGUUGUGAGUGUUUGAUAUUCGUUUGUUGUAAUUCUUUUAAUAAUUGUUGUGGGAAAAAAAUUAUGGUAAAAAAAUUAUAAUUAUAAAAUAAAAAUUAAUAAUAUAUUAUAAAUAAAAUUUUUAAAUAAUAAUUUUAAUAAAAUAAUAAAUAUAUUAUGAAUUUUUCAUUAUAAAUUUUUAAGUUAAAAUAAUAAAUAUUUAUUAAAUAUUUUAAUAGCACAACUUUUAAAUUAUAACAGUACAAUGUAAAUACCAGAGGUCUUAAAAAAUAAAAUUACAGUCAAGUUUUAAAACUGUUAAUAAUGCUAUUCAUAAAGGCGCUCGUCGUGUAAACAACACAUGGGACCCAACCAAUAAAUGUUUAUGAUCCUCAACUUUCCUCCUCACCGUCCCUGCAAACAAUUCUGAUCUUCUUGUCUGAGAAAAAAACUGAGAAACAAUGGCGGCCGAACAAGAAGCUGUGAGCAAUAAGCGGGUGAUUCUAAGCAACUAUGUGACAGGUUUUCCAAAAGAAUCGGACAUGAAGAUAACAUGUGGAUCAAUAAAACUGGAGGUAGCAGACGGUUUAAAAGACACGGUGCUUUUGAAGAAUCUUUAUAUUUCUUGUGAUCCUUACAUGCGAGAGCGUAUGAGCAAGCUUGAUAGACCUUCUUUUGUUGAUUCAUUCCAUCCUGGUGAGGUUAGUUCAUCACGACCCAUCUCUUGAUUUUUUUUUUUUUUUCAUUUGCUUCAAGUUUUGAUGAGUUUCUGAGGUCAUUUGUACGGUUUUGGAAUGUGAACACUAUUAGUGAUUUUGGGGCUGUAACUGUCAUUAAUGAUAUGUAGUAAUUCAAUCAGAAUUUGGAUUUAGUGCUGAUAUGAUCUCUGCUCAUUUUUUAAAAUCUUGUGUCCAGAUGCAUUUUUAUAAUCUUGUACGGUUGAGAUUGUAUGUAGAUUAAUCUACGUGCAGUAUUCUUGUCUAAUGACUACUAACCACAACCUUAUGAGACGAUCGAAACCAAGCUCAGAUCAAUAAUCCAAUUGAGAGAGGGUCCUAACUCAAGCUUAUCGUGUGUAGGAAUAUUUCGGUUAAAUUGUAAUUCUUUUAAUAAUUGUUGUGAAAAAAAAAAGUUAUGAUAAAAAAAUUAAUAAUUAUAAAAUAAAAAUUAAUUAUAUAUAAUAAAUAAGAUUUUUAAAUAAUAAUUUUAAUAAAAUAUAAUAAAUACAUUAUCAAUUUUUCAUCGUUAAUUUUUAAGUCACAACCACAAAUAUUUACUAAACACUUUAACACCAUAAUUAACACCACAACUAUUGAAUUAUAACUGUACAAUCUAGACGCCAAGAGGCCUUAGUAUGAAAAAAAAAAAUUACAGUUAAGUUAAAAUUCAUCAUACAGAUGUGCCACUUUCAUACUAUACCGGGAUCCUCGGUAAUGAUUUUUGUUACACAAUAAGAUUUGCUUAUAGUAAUAUCAAUACAUAUGCUGCUUAAAUGCUUUCUGAUUUUUUGCCGGCCAUUGUCCAUUUUGCCAGGGAGUCUAUAAUUGAAGGAAUUUACUGAAGGAAUGCUGAUUGUUGGGAAUUUGAUUAUUCUAGGUAUGCCUGGUGUAACUGCAUACGCUGGUUUAUACGAAGUUUGCUUUCCGAAGAAAGGAGAGUAUGUCUAUGUAUCUGCAGCAUCUGGAGCUGUUGGUCAGCUUGUUGGACAGUUUGCAAAAUUAGCUCGUUGCUAUGUUGUUGGAAGUGCAGGAAGCAAAGAAAAUAUAGCACCGUGCCUUCUAGCAGAAUUUUACUUGCUUUAUGUUCCAACUAAGCAUCCAUAUUUGAUCAUGAUAAUUAGCAAGGUCAAUAAUUUUUUUUUGACUAUUUUUUCAACGUAAGGUCGAUUUGUUGAAGAACAAGUUUGAACGAUGCUUUUAACUACAAGGAAGAGCCUGAUUUUGAUGCAGCACUCAAAAGGUCAGCUGCAACAAACGUUUCAACUCUAAUAUUUCAUUUUAAUAUUACAGAGCUUUGGUUGAAGUGUGUGAGUUGAUCCCAGAAACGUAACUUCAUCAGUGUCUCUGUUUUCAAAAAACAUGACAAAUAGAAAUCUGAUUUUGCUUUAAAAUUUCCCAGAUGCUUCCCUCAAGGAAUCGACAUAUAUUUCGAAAAUGUUGGGGGAAAGAUGCUGGACGCAGUGCUACUCAACAUGAGGCUCCGGGGCCGCAUUGCAGUAAGCAGUAUGAUCUCACAGUAUAACCUGGAAAAACCCGAAGGCGUACACAACUUAGAGCAACUGAUCGGGAAACGGAUUCGCCUGGAAGGAUUUCUAGCUGGUGAUUACUAUCACCUCUAUCUGAAAUUCUUGGAACUGGUCAUUCCUCCAAUCAGAGAAGGAAAGAUGCUGUAUGUGGAAGACAUGGCCGAAGGACUCGAGAAAAUUUCUCGUAACUGCUACACAUUAAACGCGUUUCACAUUUCCACUCUCUUUCUAUAAAUAAAUACGCACAUAAAAUUUCUCACCAUCCAAAAACAAAAUCUACAUAAAAAAUGGCGGGUGAAGAAGCAGUGAGCAACAAGCAGGUGAUUCUGAGCAACUACGUGACAGGGUUUCCCAAGGAAUCAGACAUGAAGAUAAUAACAGGCUCAAUAAACCUUAAGGUGCCAGAGGGUUCAAAAGACACAAUGCUUUUGAAGAAUCUUUAUCUUUCCUGUGAUCCUUACAUGAGAGGACGUAUGAGCGAGCUUGAUAAGCCUUCGUUUGUUGCCUCAUUCGAGUCUGGCGAGGUCAGUUACUUCAAUUCCCAUCUCUUGGUUUCAUAAUCUUUUAUGGUUUUAGAAGGUGUUUUAGGGAAACAUUGUGGUUUUGGUUAGUGGGCAUGAGUCUUUGAAGAGAUUAUAAUGUGUAGGACUAUGCAUGCAAUAAUAAGCAUAGGGGAUCUUGUUAGGAGAAGAUUCUCUUAGCAAAAUAAAAACUUUUAUCUUAUCAAAACAUAUGCAGGGAACUUAGUUAUGAUGUCAUGUUAGCAUUGUCUCUGAGGAUUUGAUUUCUUGAUGGGGAAAGGGGAAUUUAAGGUUACAUUAUUCAGCAAUGGUUUUUUUUUUAAAUUAUGUUCAAAUUAUGCAGCCUUUAAGCGGAUAUGGAGUGUCCAAAGUGUUGGAUUCCACGCCUCCAAAUUAUAAGAAAGAUGACUUGGGUGGUGUUUGUUUUUUAACUUAAUGACUUAAAGUGACUUAACUUAAUUAAUUAAGUUAAUUAGAGAUGUUUGUUUUUAUAACUUAAUGUGACUUUUUAAAUAAUUUUGACUUAAUAAAAUAAGCCAAUUUUAUUUACUUUUUACUUAAUAGAGACAUCUGAAUUAAGUCAAGUACUUUCUAAUGUCAAAAAUAUACAUGCUUUAUAAUUUAUUUUUCAUGUCUAUCCCAAAACUCACCCAUAGACAUUUACCCCACAUAAUAAUCUCAUCAUUAUUUUUUUAGCCGUCAUGAAAUCCCUCCUCACUUUGGUAUCAACUCCUCAACUAUUGAAGAUCAAAAUUACAUGCGACAACUUCGAGAUGAAUGGCAAAUCAACUGUUUCAAGCAUCUUAUUAGUUUUUUUUCUUUUUUAUAUUAUAUACGAUAAAAUUUGAAAUUUAUGGUAUUUUAUAUAUUAAAAUUCCAAAAUCAUUAUAUAUUCACUUGAAUAUAGUUUUACUUAUAAAUGUUAAAAUAUUGUGAUAUUUAAUAUAUUGUUUAUUUGACAUUCAAAUUUAAUAAGGAUACAAAUGUAAAAGUACAUAUUUUUCAGUUUUUUAAGUUGAAAAAAGAAAACAACUUAAUAAUUAUUUUUCGAGAUUCAGACGAAAAAACAAACAUAUUAUUCAGAUUCAGACAUUCAGAUCUAUUCAGAAUUUAGACUAAUUCAAGUCUAUUCAGAUUUCAGAUAAAAAAACAAACGCCACCUUGGUCCGGGGCUUAACCAGUUGGGAGGAGUUCAGUCUCAUCCAAUCACCACAACUUCUGAUUAAAAUUCUGGAUACAAGUGUGCCUCUGCCAUAAUUAAUUGACAGGUUGCUAUGUUGUUGGAAGUGCCGGAAGCAAAGAAAAGGUGAGUUUGCACCCUUAACCCUUACGCUCUAAAUAAAAACAUAACACCUUCUGAAAGAAUUGUGCAUAGAGAAUUUUGCAUGUCACAUUAUUUGUGUUCUAACUAAUCAUGGAUAUUUGAUCAUUAGUCUAACUAAAACUGACAUAUUACCACCUAGUUGACUGGUCUUUGAGAAAUGUUAGUUGAUAUAUGCUUGAAAUCAUACUUUGUUUUAUUAGAUGAUUAUAUUAACCUGCUUCUUUUUCUUUGUGCUGUUUCUCGUUUGAUUACAUUUUCAACAUUAGGUCGAUCUAUUGAAGCACAAGUUUGGGUUUGAUGAUGCCUUUAACUAUAAGGAAGAGCCUGACUUGGAUGCAGCUCUUAAUAGGUUAGCACGAAUGAAUGCUUUAACCAUUUUUCUCACUUCAUUAUUACAAUGCGCUGAUUGAAGUAAUCAGUGUUGGCUCUGAAAAUGUAACGUAUACUUCUCUGUUUUCAUAAAACAGGACAAACAGUGAUCAGUGAUCUCAUUCGUUACAUUGAUAUUUUCUACCAUUGCCAUACAUAGUAUAAACUAGGAAUUCAGUUGCUUAAUAGAUAUUCAUUUCAGAGGGAAAUUUUCACUUGCAGCUAACAGAAUCAUGUUUGUGAUGUAUGUUUAUUUGGGAAAUGAAAGGAUUUGUUGCAUUAUUUUAUUCCAAGUUUGCUGAAAUCAUAUUUGUUUUCCCAGGUGCUUUCCUGAAGUUAUCGACAUCUAUUUCGAAAAUUUUGGGGGUAAGAUGCUUGAUGCAGUGCUACUCAACAUGAGAAUUUGUGGCCGCAUCGCUGUAUGCGGAAUGAUCUCACAGUACAACUUUGAGAAGCCUGAAGGUGUACACAACUUGAUGCAAGUAAUUGGAAAACGAAUUCGCAUGGAAGGAUUUCUUGCCAGUGAUUUCUACCACCAAUAUCCAAAAUUCUUGGAACUGGUUAUGCCGGCAAUCAAAGAAGGAAAGUUAGUAUAUGUCGAGGACAUAGCUGAAGGCCUCGAGAAAGCUCCAUCAGCCCUAGUUGGGAUAUUCACAGGUCAAAAUGUUAAAAAACAACUGGUUGUAGUUGCUCGGGAAUGAUAUGAUUACUAUAUGCUUUAAAAAGUGGACUUUGCCAUGCACUUUAAAACCUUAGUGAAGAUGCCUUUGUCUUAUUUUUGAUACAUGUUAUGUUUGUUUGAUCAAGUUGUACUCAGCUAUAAAUCAAAGAUUCAGAACAUGUGUAUGAUACUGGUUUCUAAAUCAAUGAACGCCUUGAAAUGUUAGUGUUUUCACAGGAGAAUGCAAUUUAAUUCAUCAACAAUGUCCCAACAAGACCCUCAGAGCUGUAGCUUGUAAAGUUAAUUACGAUAUUUUUUUGUAAAGUAAAUUACCAUAUUUUUUUCUUUCCAAUAUAUUGCUUAUUUCAUAGAAAGUUUACAUUAAAGUCUCAUGUUUCUUUGAAAGGUAAGCAAGUGUGAACGUUUCAAUCUAGAGAUGGAAAAUGCAUUUCCGGGAACUUACUUGAUAAAUGAAGUUUUCAUCUCUGACCUUGAUGUUUCCCACAGGUGCAUUCAUUUCAGCUGAUCUAUAUAAUUUUGUUUUCGAAGGAGAGACACAAAAUCUCCGUUGUUAAGGGGAGAAUUUAGAGUGGCUUUGACUGUUAACAAAUAGCCUAAUGUAAGACUUAACCAACUUCCUGCCCUGUUGUAUGCUUAUGAAUUUUGAUAGAGCUAAGAGUUUGCAGAAGCUAUUGUAUUAUAUGUCGUUAGAGGCUGUAAACAUCAAACACAUUUAAAUUUCAAUGAAAAUUUACUGGAAGUAAAUUUCCUUUGAUCCCACAGGUGACUAAUUAAUGAGAACUUGACAAUGACAAAAGAAAGUGUAUGAACUUUGCAGGCUGGCAUGCCAAUAUUGACUGGGUGGCACCAUCCACCAUCUGCAAGUGAAUAUCAUUGUUGUUUAAUCAACAAGGUGGAGUCCACUGGGACCACACCACAUCGUCAGCCUUAUCUCUAUUCCUCAAUUUUCAGUAUUCCAUACAUCAAAACAAUUUCAGUUUUGUUAUCAAUUAUAAUUUCAUUGUUGGUGACGAUUCUGAUUCCUUUCUUUCUGACAAAACGGAACCAUGGUUGCUGUGGGAGAGAUCUUACUCAACGCCUUCUUUCAGGUGUUGUUUGACAGGUUGGCUUCCCGUGAUUUGCUCAGCUUUGUCCGUCAACUUGGAGGCGGGGUCGAUUCCGAGCUCAAGAAGUGGCAAAGAAAGCUGAAGAUGAUUCAGGCGGUGCUCAACGAUGCAGAGGAGAAGCAACUGACUGACGAGGCUGUGAAGAUGUGGCUGGACGAUCUCCAAGACUUGGCUUAUGACGCUGAGGACAUUCUUGAUGAGUUUGCUACUCAAGCUUUGGAAAGCAAGUUGAUGGCGCAAAAUCAGGAUAGCUCUGGCCAGCUUCUCAGUUUCAUCCCGGCUAGUUUGAAUCCGAAUGCUGUUAGGUUCAAUUAUAGCAUGAGGUCCAAGAUUAACGAUAUUACUAGCCGGUUGGAGCAACUCUGCAAAUAUAGAAUUGAACUUGGGCUGCAACGGAUUCCUGAAGGGGCAUCAUCAACUGCUGCUGCUGCACACCAGAGGCCACCCAGUUCAAGCGUCCCACCAGAACGUGAAGUUUUUGGUAGAGAAGAAGAUAAGGCCAAAAUUCUUGAUAUGGUAUUGGCCGAUAGCCCAAGUGAUCAUGCCGACUUUGCUGUAAUACCCAUUGUUGGCAUGGGCGGGAUAGGAAAAACAACUCUCGCUCGGGAGGUCUACAAUGACAAGGCCGUUGAACAUUCCAAGUUUGAUGUAAAAGCAUGGGUUUGUGUAUCUGAUGUCUUUGACGUUUUGGGCAUCUCAAAGGCGCUUCUCGAGUCAAUCACCCGCAGGCCAUGUCUUCUAAACAGUUUAAACGAAGUGCAGGUUGAAUUGAAAGUAGCUGUGGAUAAAAAAAGAUUCUUGCUGGUCUUAGAUGAUGUUUGGAACGAGGACUACAGCUUGUGGGUAGACUUAAAAGCUCCGUUCCUGGGUGCUGCACCAAACAGCAAGAUGAUCGUCACCACACGCAAUUCAAGUGUUGCAUCAACAAUGAGACCCAUUGAUCGUCACCACACGCAAUUCAAGUAUUACGAUCUCAAGAGUCUGUUAGAUGAUGAUUGCUGGUCCAUUUUCAUAAACCAUGCAUUUGAAUCUACAGACCUUAGCGCACAUCGAAUUUCAGAAUCAUUCCGCGAGAAAGUUGUUGGCAAGUGUGGGGGCUUGCCUCUGGCAGCAAAAACACUCGGGGGCCUUCUUCGUACUAAAACGCAUGCUGAGUGGGACGGUAUAUUGGAUAGCAAAAUAUGGGAUUUACCUCGGCAAAGCAGCAUUCUCCCCGUGUUAAGAUUGAGUUACCAUCAUCUUCCUUCUCAUUUGAAAAGAUGUUUUGCUUUUUGUGCCAUCUUUCCAAAAGAUUAUGCAUUCACUGAGAGGGAGCUGACUUUCUUAUGGAUGGCUGGAGGUAUUAUUCGACAGUCAAGAAACAAUGAGCAGCUGGAAGAUUUGGGCAGCAAGUGCUUUGGUGAUCUAGUGUCGAGGUCAAUUUUUCAACAAACAGCAAUCUCUGAUAGUUCUAAAUUUGUAAUGCAUACUUGAAAUUUCUGUCUUCAAUAUUUUGAUGCUUUCUUAUCCCAUGCACAAAAGUACUAGAAAAAACUAAUAACAGCUAACCGAAAAUCCCAGGCGUCAUAUUCCUUUUUACCGCGUUUUAAAAUGCACAACAAUGAUAUUCUUACAAAUUUGCAAAAUUUGUCAAUUUCUUAGAUUUCAGAUAUUUUAAUGCUUUUUUUAAUUUUUGAUCUAGUAAAAAUACACAGCCUUCACCGGCAGGAUUCUAGUCUUGGCUUUCACCUCUCUAACUCAUCUGUUCCCAUUGGGAUUCCAGAAAUUGAAAUUUCUGUCUUCAAUGGGUUUUCAAAGCCUCGCCUCUCUUCGAUUUUUGUGGAUCGGGAAUUGCACAAAUCUCACAUCAUUUCCCGAGGUCGAGGAAAAGAGCGGCCCAAACUUGCUCGCAUCCCUUAUUAGGUUAUGAUAGAUGGAAAAUUCAUAUACGAUCCAGAGUCAGAGGUGUUGAUUCUCUUAUUAAGGUCAGCUGAUUUCUAUUAUCCACUCUGACAAUCUCCUAUUCGUGUUUUUCCUUUUUAAAUUUUUUUUCCAAAAUUUUGCAGUUCCGUAUAUUGGUGUUUGUUAAGGUAAUUAGUGCUCCCUCAAUAUUGCAUUUUAGACUGCCAAAUGUAGCAGUAAUUUUAAUACAAUUUUGUUGGUGCCUUGUGUUCCAGAAGCUAGAAAAAUGUGUAGUUUUCAGAUAAGGAGGCUUGUCAGUUCUCUAGUAAGAAUCCAAUGAUUUGCUUUUGCACGUCCAUCUAAUUUGUGGAUCCUUGCAUCAGAAUUUGAUCAAUCCAAAAGGAAUUGCUUUUAGACAGAAGAAGAAUAGCAGCACCUAGCCUACCCGCAAACCUGAAACUAUUAGAUUGAGGUAAAAAAAUCAUUGACCCUCACAUGUUAACUUCUUCUAGUUACUUUCAUUGGGGAAAAAAAAACAUUUAAGGAAUUUGCAAUUUGUUGUUAGUUAUGGUAUCUGAUGUUCUUUUCUGCUUUAGCGUUUGUAGAACCUACUGUAUUAUGUGUUGGCAGUUGCCGUAUCUGAGGUAACUUGCCUUUAUUUGUUUGCUUCUGAGUUAAGGACACCAACAUUUGCCAGAGAUUUAGAGAAUCAUCUCAAAACACUUAGCAAACUUGACAAACUUCAAGAUGCACUUGCCCCCACGCCUUAUUCUCAACAACGCAAAACUUGUGAGUACACCUAUGCCUGCAAUUAUUGUGAAGUGUUCGCAAUUCUGAUGCAGAGAAAUGGUUUCUUGAUGCAAAGUAUUAAACUGUUAAGAUUUAUCCUGCAGGCUUGUUAGAUGUUGUAUACUCGAAAAGCCAACAACAUCAAGAACUACAACUCCAAGACCAACUUUGCGUUAAUUCAGUCAGCUGUAAAAAUGAUGCAAAUGACACUAUAUCAAGCUGGACUUAGAGACUAGUCAGAUCAAUCAUCCAUUUCAUCAACGGUUAAUGUCAUGAUGGUGGCUAUCAGAGGAAACAAAAGAUGUGUCAGAAUCUAUACGAACAUUGAGAAGCAUGAGAGGAGCUUUGAUUUUGAGUAGGGUCAAUGAACUCAUGUUGGUAAGUGGUGAUUAAAGAAAUUUGUAAGCUUAGUAGAGUUUCAGUAUUUUCUGUUUGGAGUAUAGUUGAUAAGUUGACUCUGUUUAAGAAGCCCGAUUAUAGUAGCUGACUGUAUUAACCUUUUUUUUUUUGGUCUGCUGUUGUUUUUGGUUUCGAUUAUUUUUUCAACAUUGGGUUGAUCUGUUGAAGAACAAGCUUGGGUUUGAUUAUGUUUUAACUAUAAGGAAGAGCCAGACUUGGUUGCAGGCGUUAAGCUUUUAAUGGGUAAGAACAAAUGAAUGCUUUAACCAUGUUUCUCACUUAUUAAAAUGCAUGGAUUGAAGGCAUCUGGGUUGAUCCUGACAAUGUGAUGGAAAUACUUCUCUGUUUUCAUGUAACAGGACAAAUAGAGAUCUCUGAUCAUGCCUGAAUUUUUGUUGCAUUGAAAUUUCUACCAUUACCAAACAUAGAAUGAACUGGGGAUACAUUAGCUUAAGACUCAAUUUUGAGAAGGAAGUUUGUACUUGCAGCCUAUAAAAUCAUGUCCGUGUCGUACGUUUCUUUGGGAAAUGAAAGAUUCUGUGUGUUCUUUUAUUUCAAGUUCACUGAAAUCACAUUUGUUUUCUCCGAUGCUUUCCAGAAGGUAACAACAUCAAUUUCAAAAAUGCUGGGGCAAGAUGCAUCAUGCAGUGCGACUCAACUUGAGAAUUCCUGGCCACAUUACCCGUAUGUCGAAUGAUCGCACAGUUCAACCUUGAGAAGCUUGUAAUGAGUACACAACUGGGUGCAAGUAGUUUUGAAAUGAAUUUGCCUCAAAUGAUUUCUUGCUCGCAUCCCUUGGGUUAUGAUAGAUGGAAAAUUCAUAUACGAUCCAGAGUCAGAGGUGUUGAUUCUCUUAUUAAGGUCAGCUGAUUUCUAUUAUCCACUCUGACAAACUCCAAGACCGGGUUUUUUUUUUUUUUAAUUUUGCCGUUCUGUAUAAUUGAAAUGCCACUCACUUGUUUCCUUCUUCACAGGUCCGAUAGUAUGUUGAGGCUAUUUGCUUUUUAUCGGUGUUUGUCAAGGUAAUUAGUGCUGCCUCAUAGGUUGAUUACUCACAGAUGAAAUCAUAACUUUUAUCUUAAAAUUUAAUAGCAUACACAGAUAGAUGAUUUUUAGUCCAAAGUUUUUUUAUUCACUUCAAUCAAAAUUUUAGAUUGCAGAUUUUUGUCAAGUAUUUCAUUACAAUUUUUUCAUUUUUUAUUUUAAACCAGAAUAUGAGUAUAACAUUUUGGAGCGUGCAUACUCUGAUGCAUGCAAUUAACUGUUUUUAAUCAUUGGAUUUUGAAAUUAAUAAUGGUAAGAUGUGUACUUAUUCUGUCUUCCAACAACCUUGGCCUCUUUCUUCGGUCGCAUAUCUAAUGAAUAUUUCUCUGUUUAGUUAAGGAUGAAUGCUUGGAGUGGGGUACUUGGUAACAUUUCUGCCUCAGAUGAAUCCUUGAAGAAAUGCCCGCAGUUCCUGAGACCAAAUACAGGUCUGAUUCAAAACAGCACCUUUCUCAGAAAAUAUGAUCCAAGGCAAAGUCAUGUUCUGAUAAUGUUUCCUUAAGUACAAAGUUGCAAGGAAACUUGAUUCAUUAACUACAGUUUUUUAUUUUUAGGACCUUGUAUCUGAAAGGUUCAGUGUUUUUUUUUUUUCAAAUUUAUUGUUCAGAUCUCAGAGGAGUAUAUGGUUUAGAUUACAAAACACCCAUGAUUAAUUUCAUUUUUUUUUUUUUAUUUCAGGGAGAAGAAGUGGUCAGUUUCAAUCCGGAAUUGGAAUAUGGCAAUUUGGUUCAAGCACACACACCUGGUCACUUGGUCAGUGAACCUGAACUUUACGCAGUUUUUUCAACUCAGUGAUUUUUGGAACGCAUAGUGGUGUAAGGAAAUCAAAAGAAAUUUAUGCAUAGUCAAAUUCUGAUAUUUGCUAUAUAUUAUACAUUCUAAAGUUUCUCCAGUUUGUUCUCAGAUUACCAUCAUUUUUUGCCUUCACCAAAAAAAAAAAAUUGAGUGGCUUUCCAGUGGAUAUUUAAUCGGAGGUAUGACUGGAUUUUUUUCACUUCUGUAAAUCUUGCAUUUUAAACUGGCAAAUUUAACUUUAAUUUUAAUACGACUUUGUUGGUGCCUUGUGCUCCAGAAACUAGAAAGAUGUGUAGUUUUCAGAUAAAGGGGCUUGUAAAUUCUCUAGUAAGAAUCCAAUAAUUUGCUUUUGCACGUUCAUUUUAUUUGUGGAUCCUUGCAUCUGAAUUUAAUCAAUCCAAAAGGAAUUGCUUUUAGACAGAAGAAGAAUAGCAGUACCUAGCCUAUGACAUAGUAUAUGGACCUGCAAACCUGAAACUAUUAGUUUGAGGUAAAAAAUUCAUGACCCUCACAUGUUAACUUUCAUGAAAAACACAUUUAAGAAAUUUGCAAUUUUUUGUUAGUUUCGUAUCCGAUGUUGUUGCAUCACAGUAACUUUAAACCACUGCGACAUUUUUAUAAUAACAGUCUGAGAUCUCCCUGAAGGAUUCAAAGCAUUUUAUUUUAUAUUAAACUCCUUUAUGUGGGUUUCGACACUACCACAAGUUCUUUAAAUACUAAAACGAUUUUAAGUCUUUUGUAUCAUCUUAUUGAAAUAUAUGAAAGCACUCGUGGUUGCAAAAAUACAGUUGGGGCUAUUUCUAAAGUCUUCAACAGCAUUUUCUUUUUAACCUUUAUCCUCAUGGUUGUUUUUGCAGUUGUUCUUUAAGAAAACAUUUAAAAGGUUCUCUUUAUGGAUUUUUGAAAAUAAUUUUAACAUUAGCAAUUUUCAGAAGCACUUUAGAUGUCUGGCAUUUAGAAAAUUUUAUUCCGGUGUCACAUAAAAUACUUAGGAAGUUAAAUUUAUUUAUUUAUGAGCAUGUGCCAGUGCCCUGUGGCAUCCUCUUCACUUGUGAUAGUCAAAUAUAUUAUACGAUACAAUAUUAGCUUGACUGUAGCACAGAGGAGAAUAGGGUUGGUGUUGGUCUGAACCAGCUUAUGUAACAGCUGCCAAAAGGAUAAUUUAAUUGUACUUUGAGUAAAGCUUUUGCGAAUUAAACAAGUGAUAAUUUGUUUCUAUUAAGAAAAACUUAAAGGAUAGGGCUAUUUUAACUCACCAAACUACACAUUAAAAAUCCACUUACAAAAAUAGUUUUUAAUUAUUAAAAUAUUCCUAAAUUAAAUUAUAAUUAUGGACACUAAAAUAUAAUUUUUUUUAUAUUUUACUUUUUGAAACUGUCUUUAUAUUCGAUAUUAUAUUUUUUUUCUUAAACUCUAAAUUGAUAUUUUUUUAUUAAUUUUAAAACACAUAUAAAGUGAUUUAUAUUGAUUUUAUACUAACAAACUAUUAUAGCACAUUCGAAAAAUAAUUAAAUCGUUCUUAUUUACAUAGUGAAAAUGCAAAUAGCUCAUUCAAAUGUUAAGGAAUUGGAGAGCUGCUGCUGGAGAUGAAAGAUGUGAAUUAAACAUCAGAGAAAAAAUUAUGUUCACUAUCUUGCCAGACCAAGCACCGAAGAGCGUCGUAAAGAAAAAUUAGAUAAUUUAGAAGAUAAAGCACGUGGAAUGGAGGCAGAAAGCAAGUAAUGAUAACUCUUUCGACAAACUAAUAUAUACCAAAAUGCAAUAUCGGCCCUAAUAAAAAAUGAAAAUAAAAAUUCAUUACGAAUACUUGUUAAAGAUAUCCCAAGUAUAGAUGUGACUGAAAUAUUUGAGAUUGAAGAAGAAUUAAGACUCAAAAUCAAUUGGGAGGAAUAAAUGAGAAACCCCAAUACCAAAAAAUACACGCACAAAUCCUAAUACUAAUUGUAAUCACGGAUAAAAAGCAUAAUACGAAUAAAUUACAUGGGCAACUAUUCCAUUGAGAAAUUAAUUAAAUCGUGUAUUAAUAUUUUGUAUACAUAUAUUUUUCUAUACAUAACUUUCGGUAAUUUAGUUUUCCACUUAUCAUUUUUACUCCAAAAAAGUAAUUGAGAAUAUUAUUUAUGUUUUGGUACAAAAUAUUUGAACAAUAUACAAAUUUUCAGUUUAAUAAAUCUAAACAUCUAUUAAGUUAUAAAUGAAUUUAAUGGGUUUAAUUAAUAAAAUUACUAUUAUUAUAUAAAUUGGGUUUAGUAAUGGUAUAUUGGGUGGGUUUGUUGAGUAAAUUUUAAAAUUUUGAAAUUUAAGGAUGAAUUUAUUUAGUAAAUGAAUUCAGGGAGUAAUUUGUUGGGAUUCACAUAGCCCCACCAAAUUCAAAUGUAAAAUUUUUGGAAAAAGAAGCUAUUGAGUUAUUCUAAAAAAUAAUUAAAAUGUCAAGAAUACCUUUAUUUAAUUUUAUAAUCUUAUUUUAUAGUCAUAUUUUAUUUCCACCUUAACAUAAUUUUAAAAACCUUAACUAAUAAAUUCUAUAUUUUUUUUUAUAAAAGUUAUCAUUAAUAUCCAAACGGCUACAGAUUUUUUUUUUUUAAAAAAAGGAACUAUGCUUACAAAAGUUGUAUACAUUAACAAUAAAUUUAGUCCAAAGAAUAAAGUUAUUCCAAACAAGCACUCUAAUUCAUCUUGCUAAUGAAUCAAGAUGACUGAAUCCUUCUCUGAGCCAAAUCUAUUUUCACUUUUAGGUCAGAAAUUGUCAUUAAAAAAGUGUUUGAUAAAAUAUGCUCUGGGAACACUAAUUCGUCAGAUGGUUACUCCAAGUUUAUGAAAUCAAUGGGAUUUCAUCAUAUUCAUAACAUUCUUCUUGAAUGUCUAUUCUAACAAAGAAAUCAUAUACAGAGAAUAGGUUUCGUUAAAACUUUUUCUAGAAAAACUAACCACAAUUCAUCAUUCAUUUAUCUCUUAAGUAAGCGUAAGAUUUUAUCAUUAAAAUCCCAUCAUGAAAAAACUCAUGGGAGAAAAACUAUAAAAAUUGAAGAAAAAAGAGUAUGGCGUGCAUGUAAAUUAUAUCGAUUUUAUCUACAUGACAAAUAAGACUCUCUUUUACAAUGGCACGGAUGCUUCAUUGAGUAAUCAUGAUUCUUGCUGGUAGUGCUUUGUUGUAUCAAUCUGCUAGCUAUUCAGCGUUCUUUCUUUCUUUCUUCUUAUUUUUUUGUUUUCAAAUAGCUUGUGGUUGUAGAAAUAUUUCAAUUAAACUAUACUUAAGUACUUAUUUGGUAUAACUUCUUUACUAACCAAAAGAAUUUUUUUUUUUGGUUUUUUAUAAUUUAAUUAUACUUUAACUAGAGUUUUUGGGAUAAAACAAGUGAUAAUUUCUCUCUAUUAAGAAAAACUCAAAGGGUAGGGCUAUCUCAAUCCACCAAACUAUUUAUUAAAAAUCCACUUAUGAAAAUAAUUUUUAAUUAUUAGAAUGCGUUUACAUUAAAUUAUAAUUAUGGACACUAAAAUAUAAUAAAUUUUUUUUUUACUCUUUAAAAUUGUCUUUACAUUUGAUAUCAUAUCUUUUUCUUAAAAUCUAAAUUGAUAUUUUUAUUUUAUUUUUGAUUAAUCUUAGAACACAUAUAAAGUGAUUCAUAUUGAUUUUAUACUAACAAACUAUCACAGCACAUUCGAAAAUAAUUAACUCGUUCUUAUUUGCAUAGUGAAAAAGGCAAAUAGCUCACCCAAAUGUUAAGGAUAUGAAAAGCAUGGUCAAGAAAAAUUGCAUAAUUCUCACUUAGAAGAGAGGUAGCCGCCACCACCACCAGUGAAACUAUUUCACAUAAUAGAAGAUAAAGCACGCGUAAUGGAGGCAAAAAGCAAGUAAUGAUAACUCUUUUCGACGCACUAAUACAUAUCAAAAUGCAAUAUCGGUCCUAACAAAAUGAAAAUAAAAAUUCAUUACGAAUAUGUGUUAAAGAUAUCUCAAGUAUUGAUGUGAUUGAAAUAUUUGAGAUUGAAGUAGAAAUAAGACUCAAAAUUAAUUGAGAGGAAUAAAUGAGAAACUCUAAUACUAAUAAAAUAUAUUCACAAAUCCUAAUGCUAAUUAAAAUCACGGAUUAAAAAAAAUAAUAUGAAUGAAUUACAGGCGCAACUGUUUCAUUAAGAAAUUAAUUAAAUCGUGUAUUAAUAUUUUGUACACAUACAUUUUUCCAUAUAUAACUUUUGGUAAUUUAGUUUUCCACUUAACUUUUGGUGAAAAAAAUAAUUGAGAAUAUUAUUUAUGUUUUGAUGCAAAAUAUUUAAACAACAUAAAAAUUUUCAGUUUAAUAAAUCUAAACAAUUCUCAAGUUAUAAAUGAAUUUAAUGGGUUUAAUUAGAAAAAAUACUAUUAUUUUAUAAAUUGGGUUUAGUAAUGGUAUAUUGGGUAUUUAAAUGGGUUUGUUGAGUAAAUUUUAAAAUUUUAAAGUUCAAGGGUGGGUUUAUUUAGUAAAUGGGUUAAGGCAGCAAUUUUCCAAACUAAAUUUUUGGAAAAAGAGGUUAUUGAGUUUUUUUUUUUAAGAAAAAGAAUUAAAAUGUUGAGAAUACCUUUAUUUAAUUUUAUAAUCUUAUUUUAAAAAAUUUACCCAAUAAAUUUGAUAAUUUUUUAUAAAAAUUAUCAUUAACAUCCAAACAGCUGAAGAUUAAAAAAAAAAAAAAAGAAGGGAACUGUACUAGCAAAAGUUACAUUAACAAUAAAUUUAGUCCAAAGAAUAAAGUUAUAGCUAAAAAGUGCUCCUAUCCUAUUUUUCUCUAUUUUAACAAUAAUCUUCCAAUCCGUUUUACAAUGGACUUUAACAAAUGGGCUCAAUUAACAAGAUUGAUCAAGAAUUAACAAGACAAGAUGAAGAGAUGAUCUUGUAACUAAGAAUGAAGAAAUUACGCACAAAGCAGUAAAUUUGUAAAACCAGAAUUGGAGCUUCACUUCUCAAGAGAGACGAAACAGGAUACAAUCUAGCUUUGGUCAACUUCGUUUGGCCACGUCAUAAAGUCUCCCCACAGUCUUUCCCGCCAAAACAGAAAAGCUUUAAAAGCCAUUUACCUUCCUGAGUUACUUGCUCCUAUUACAUCAAGGCCCUGGAAGUCUAUAUUUAUUAUUACAAAAGCACUCUUAGGGUGCGUUUGGAAUUGAGGUGUUGUAGUUUUUAAGCUACAGCUGUUGUGAAAAAAAACUGUAAUUAUGAAAUAAAAGUUAAUAAUAUAUAGUAAAUAUAAAUUUUAAAUAAUAAUUUUAUCAAAAUUAUUAAAGAUAUAAUAAAUUUUAUAUUAUACAAGUGAAAAAUUAUAUCAACAUAGCUUAAAAGCUACAGCAGUUAAUGUUUACCAAACACUUUAGUGCUGUAGCUUUUAAGCUUCAGCUGCCCAAUCUCAAUCGCAAACGCACCCUUAAACCGAGAUCGAAGCGCAUGAUUUCAUUACAAAGCAUUCGCAAAGAAAUUGUUUUUAAAUGAAACUCCUCGUCUUGACCAGAUUAUUUAUUAUUAUUCAAAAACAAAUGCUCAAAGCUUAGCCAAAGUGAUAAACUCGUAAUUAUUCUACAAAGGGAACAAUUUUGAACGGUGGGAAAUUCCAUAAUUAUGCUUUUCUGUGAAUUAUUUUAAAUAAAAUUAUAAAAACCAAUAUAAAAUUAUUACCCAGUAAAGACUUUAGAGAGACAAAUGUCCCCAACAGGAUCAAGUGAAUAUGCCCCACAAAGAUCACAUGAUCAUUUCUUGUUCUUUUUCUUUUGGACAAUUUUAGACAAUAUAAAAGAAAAAAUAUUAAAUUUUUUUAACCGAAUUAUUUUGACUCAAUUUGGUUCAUAAUUUUUUAAACCAAAUGGAACCCUCAUAACAAAAAACUAACGGAAACAAUAAGAACACGAUGUUAAAAUCUUAAAUCAAUCGCAAAAAAGCACCCAAAACAGAUCGAUUAGGAACAGUUAACAACAAAAGAUUUGAUGGUUCAAAAUCAUAAUGUGACCUACUUCCAUCCAAGAAUUAUACUAAUUUCUUUACUAGUUGUCAAAUACAAGAUCACAAGAUUAUUUAUCACUCUAUAGAGAAAAACUUUUUAGAAGAAAUACUCCCCAAUUUUUCUCUUGAUAGUUAUGAAUCAACACCCCUAGAAAGGCUAUUGAUUUAUUUUUCCUUAUUUCAUAUGAUCGGUUGCUGCAACUUAAUCCUUGCCAAGUUCCAACAUAGUCCAAACAUUUUUCAUGGUACAUGCAUAGUGCACCUUCAGAAACUUUACAGCUCUUCUUAAAACCUCAGUUCUCGUGAUGUUUCUGAUUUAUUUUUGGGACGAGUAACACUUUUGUUGAACCUAGACCAGAUUUAGUAUCCAAUCAAGAAUUUCCAGGAUCUAGCUGAACUCUCUAAUCAAGACCUAAAGAAUAGUUAAUCAAAUCCACACAAAAGAAUCACCCAAAAACAGUAUACAAAGAACAACAAAUAUAAGUGGUUUUGAGAUAAAUGUAAUUGACUUCUGAGCAUGACUUAAUUUUGAGAUCAUUACUUUUAGUUAAAUGAUCUCCUCCAGAGCUUCUACCUAUGUAGUGUUUUUAGACCUCUAUAGUUGAUAAAGCACGUUCAAGGUGAAGGCUUGUUUUCCAAUCUAUAGUCCAAUUAUAGACUGGAAAUGGUCAGGCUUAAUGCACCUUCAAAAGCUUCACAAUUUGUAUUGAAACCUUAAGCCUCAGAAUGCUACAAAUUUUAAAUCCAUAUACUUAGUGCUCUUAUGAUUUGUUUGAUUUUUACUUAGAUGAAGAGCAUUUUAGCUAUAGAAUACAUUGUAACUAAUUCAAAGCAUGCCUUAGCUACGAGAUCAUUCAUUCUAGCCAAAUGCCCCCUUUAGAGAUUCUGCUAUUGUUGUGUAUUCAGCCUCUAUAUUUGGCAAAGCAAUUACAUGUCGAAGGCUUGCUUUCCAGUUAACAGCGCAAUUACAUAGAUUAAAGGUGUAACCAGGCAAAGAACUUAGUUAUUCUGCCAAGGUCUCCAACAUACUCCAAAUCCAUAUAACCACCAGACUUCAAUCUUUAGACUCCAUAGAUCAAACCAUAACUUAGUGUGCCUUUCAAUCUCAGGUAACAUUUUACUGUUUUCCACGUCUUGCCAUGUACUUGCUGCUAACACUAACAAUUUGAGAAAUGUUAGGCAUCGUAAGCAGCCGACAACACUCUUCUUCAUUUCUUCAUUGUCAAUUUCUUUCUUGGAACAUUGCUCCAUUGAGAGUCUGCUAUCAUUGCUCCAAUUAUUAUUAUUUUUGUUUUUUUUUAAAAAAAAAAUAACCGUGCAAUAAGAGUAUAAGACUAAGCAACGGUCCUUUUUUUUUUACCCAUUCUUGAACAUGAAGUAUUUGAGUAUGUAAUAAAAAUUGUUUAUUGAUAAUUAAAAGUUAAUAGUGGGUGGCUUUAGGUUUUGUUUACAAAAUUGACAACAAAUUAAGAUUUUUCAAAUUCAUAGGUAAGAAACUUUUCAUUUAUUCAUAGAUUUUCCGGUUUAAACUUUAAAGGAAACUUAAAAGAAAAAGAUGUAUCAUUAGAUUUGUAAUUAAAAAAAUUUAAUAUUGUAUGAUCUGUUCGAUAUGCAUAAUUUAAAUAAACAUUAAUAUAGAUGUUAUAUAUCCUAAAACUUAAUUGACUUAAUUCUUACGGUGCAAGGAAGACGUUUCCAAGUUUAAAUCUAAUUUGGGGUCGGGAAAGCACUGGGAAAUAAAUGUAACAAAGGAAAAAAGAAAAGAAUGACAGUCUGAGUGGAGCCAACACGGUUUUGAAAAAAGUGCAAAAAAGGGUUUUAGGAUAUACUCUAUUAUCGUUUGUUUGCUUGCUUGUGGAAAUAAAAGUCUCAUGUUUCUUUGAAAGGUAAGCAAGUGUGAAUGUUUCUAUCUAGAGCUGGAAAAUGCAUUUCCGUGCAACUUACUUGAUGAAUGAAGUUUUCACCUCUGACCUUGAUGUUUCCCUGAGCUGCAUUCAUUGCAGCUGAUGUAUUUCAUUUUGUUUUCGAAGGAGUGACACAAAAUCUCCUUUGUUAAGGUGAGAAUUUAGAGUGGCUUUAACUGUUAACAAAUAGCCUAAUGUAAGACUUAAUCAACUUCCUGCCCUGUUGUAUGCUUAUGAAUUUUGAUAGAGUUAUGAGUUUGCAGAAGCUACUGUAUUAUAUGUUGCUAGAGGCUGUAAAAAUGAGGCAGAUCAAACACACAUUUAAAUUUCAGUGACAAUUUACUGGAAGUAAAUUCCUAUGACCCUACAUGUGACUGUGUGGCACCAUCCGCCAUUUGGAAGUGAAUAUCAUUAUUCUUUAAUCAACAUGGUGGAGUCCACGGGGACCACACCACAUGGUCAGUCUUAUCUCUAUUCCUCAAUUUUCAGUAUUCCAUACAUCAAAACAAUUUCAGUUUUGUUAUCAAUUAUAAUUUCAUUGUUGGUGACGAUUCUGAUUCCUUUCUUUCUGACAAAACGGAACCAUGGUUGCUGUGGGAGAGAUCUUACUCAACGCCUUCUUUCAGGUGUUGUUUGACAGGUUGGCUUCCCGUGAUUUGUUCAGCUUUGUCCGUCAACUUGGAGUGGGGGUCGAUUCCGAGCUCAAGAAGUGGGAUAGAAAGCUGAAGAUGAUUCAGGCGGUGCUCAACGAUGCAGAGGAGAAGCAACUGACUGACGAGACUGUGAAGAUGUGGCUGGACGAUCUCCAAGACUUGGCUUAUGACGCUGAGGACAUUCUUGAUGAGUUUGCUACUCAAGCUUUGGAAAGCAAGUUGAUGGCGCAAAAUCAGGAUAGCUCUGGCCAGCUUCUCAGUUUCAUCCCGGCUAGUUUGAAUCCGAAUGCUGCUAGGUUCAAUUAUGGCAUGAGGUCCAAGAUUAACGAUAUUACUAGCCGGUUGGAGCAACUCUGCAAAGAUAGAAUUGAACUUGGGCUGCAACGGAUUCCUGAAGGGGCAUCAUCAACUGCUGCUGCUGCACACCAGAGGCCACCCAGUUCAAGCGUCCCACCAGAACGUGAAGUUUUUGGUAGAGAAGAAGAUAAGGCCAAAAUUCUUGAUAUGGUAUUGGCCGAUAGCCCAAGUGAUCAUGCCAACUUUGUUGUAAUACCCAUUGUUGGCAUGGGCGGGAUAGGAAAAACAACUCUCGCUCGGGAGGUUUACAAUGACAAGGCCGUUGGAGAUUCCAAGUUUGAUGUAAAAGCAUGGGUUUGUGUAUCUGAUGUCUUUGACGUUUUGGGCAUCUCAAAGGCGCUUCUCGAGUCAAUCACCCGCAGGCCAUGUCUUCUAAACAGUUUAAACGAAGUGCAGGUUGAAUUGAAAGUAGCUGUGGAUAAAAAAAGAUUCUUGCUGGUCUUAGAUGAUGUUUGGAACGAGGACUACAGCUUGUGGGUAGACUUAAAAGCUCCGUUCCUGGGUGCUGCACCAAACAGCAAGAUGAUCGUCACCACACGCAAUUCAAGUGUUGCAUCAACAAUGAGACCCAUUGAUCGUCACCACACGCAAUUCAAGUAUUACGAUCUCAAGAGUCUGUUAGAUGAUGAUUGCUGGUCCAUUUUCAUAAACCAUGCAUUUGAAUCUACAGACCUUAGCGCACAUCGAAUUUCAGAAUCAUUCCGCGAGAAAGUUGUUGGCAAGUGUGGGGGCUUGCCUCUGGCAGCAAAAACACUCGGGGGCCUUCUUCGUACUAAAACGCAUGCUGAGUGGGACGGUAUAUUGGAUAGCAAAAUAUGGGAUUUACCUCGGCAAAGCAGCAUUCUCCCCGUGUUAAGAUUGAGUUACCAUCAUCUUCCUUCUCAUUUGAAAAGAUGUUUUGCUUUUUGUGCCAUCUUUCCAAAAGAUUAUGCAUUCACUGAGAGGGAGCUGACUUUCUUAUGGAUGGCUGGAGGUAUUAUUCGACAGUCAAGAAACAAUGAGCAGCUGGAAGAUUUGGGCAGCAAGUGCUUUGGUGAUCUAGUGUCGAGGUCAAUUUUUCAACAAACAGCAAUCUCUGAUAGUUCUAAAUUUGUAAUGCAUACUUGAAAUUUCUGUCUUCAAUAUUUUGAUGCUUUCUUAUCCCAUGCACAAAAGUACUAGAAAAAACUAAUAACAGCUAACCGAAAAUCCCAGGCGUCAUAUUCCUUUUUACCGCGUUUUAAAAUGCACAACAAUGAUAUUCUUACAAAUUUGCAAAAUUUGUCAAUUUCUUAGAUUUCAGAUAUUUUAAUGCUUUUUUUAAUUUUUGAUCUAGUAAAAAUACACAGCCUUCACCGGCAGGAUUCUAGUCUUGGCUUUCACCUCUCUAACUCAUCUGUUCCCAUUGGGAUUCCAGAAAUUGAAAUUUCUGUCUUCAAUGGGUUUUCAAAGCCUCGCCUCUCUUCGAUUUUUGUGGAUCGGGAAUUGCACAAAUCUCACAUCAUUUCCCGAGGUCGAGGAAAAGAGCGGCCCAAACUUGCUCGCAUCCCUUAUUAGGUUAUGAUAGAUGGAAAAUUCAUAUACGAUCCAGAGUCAGAGGUGUUGAUUCUCUUAUUAAGGUCAGCUGAUUUCUAUUAUCCACUCUGACAAUCUCCUAUUCGUGUUUUUCCUUUUUAAAUUUUUUUUCCAAAAUUUUGCAGUUCCGUAUAUUGGUGUUUGUUAAGGUAAUUAGUGCUCCCUCAAUAUUGCAUUUUAGACUGCCAAAUGUAGCAGUAAUUUUAAUACAAUUUUGUUGGUGCCUUGUGUUCCAGAAGCUAGAAAAAUGUGUAGUUUUCAGAUAAGGAGGCUUGUCAGUUCUCUAGUAAGAAUCCAAUGAUUUGCUUUUGCACGUCCAUCUAAUUUGUGGAUCCUUGCAUCAGAAUUUGAUCAAUCCAAAAGGAAUUGCUUUUAGACAGAAGAAGAAUAGCAGCACCUAGCCUACCCGCAAACCUGAAACUAUUAGAUUGAGGUAAAAAAAUCAUUGACCCUCACAUGUUAACUUCUUCUAGUUACUUUCAUUGGGGAAAAAAAAACAUUUAAGGAAUUUGCAAUUUGUUGUUAGUUAUGGUAUCUGAUGUUCUUUUCUGCUUUAGCGUUUGUAGAACCUACUGUAUUAUGUGUUGGCAGUUGCCGUAUCUGAGGUAACUUGCCUUUAUUUGUUUGCUUCUGAGUUAAGGACACCAACAUUUGCCAGAGAUUUAGAGAAUCAUCUCAAAACACUUAGCAAACUUGACAAACUUCAAGAUGCACUUGCCCCCACGCCUUAUUCUCAACAACGCAAAACUUGUGAGUACACCUAUGCCUGCAAUUAUUGUGAAGUGUUCGCAAUUCUGAUGCAGAGAAAUGGUUUCUUGAUGCAAAGUAUUAAACUGUUAAGAUUUAUCCUGCAGGCUUGUUAGAUGUUGUAUACUCGAAAAGCCAACAACAUCAAGAACUACAACUCCAAGACCAACUUUGCGUUAAUUCAGUCAGCUGUAAAAAUGAUGCAAAUGACACUAUAUCAAGCUGGACUUAGAGACUAGUCAGAUCAAUCAUCCAUUUCAUCAACGGUUAAUGUCAUGAUGGUGGCUAUCAGAGGAAACAAAAGAUGUGUCAGAAUCUAUACGAACAUUGAGAAGCAUGAGAGGAGCUUUGAUUUUGAGUAGGGUCAAUGAACUCAUGUUGGUAAGUGGUGAUUAAAGAAAUUUGUAAGCUUAGUAGAGUUUCAGUAUUUUCUGUUUGGAGUAUAGUUGAUAAGUUGACUCUGUUUAAGAAGCCCGAUUAUAGUAGCUGACUGUAUUAACCUUUUUUUUUUUGGUCUGCUGUUGUUUUUGGUUUCGAUUAUUUUUUCAACAUUGGGUUGAUCUGUUGAAGAACAAGCUUGGGUUUGAUUAUGUUUUAACUAUAAGGAAGAGCCAGACUUGGUUGCAGGCGUUAAGCUUUUAAUGGGUAAGAACAAAUGAAUGCUUUAACCAUGUUUCUCACUUAUUAAAAUGCAUGGAUUGAAGGCAUCUGGGUUGAUCCUGACAAUGUGAUGGAAAUACUUCUCUGUUUUCAUGUAACAGGACAAAUAGAGAUCUCUGAUCAUGCCUGAAUUUUUGUUGCAUUGAAAUUUCUACCAUUACCAAACAUAGAAUGAACUGGGGAUACAUUAGCUUAAGACUCAAUUUUGAGAAGGAAGUUUGUACUUGCAGCCUAUAAAAUCAUGUCCGUGUCGUACGUUUCUUUGGGAAAUGAAAGAUUCUGUGUGUUCUUUUAUUUCAAGUUCACUGAAAUCACAUUUGUUUUCUCAGCUGCUUUCCAGAAGGUAACAACAUCAAUUUCAAAAAUGCUGGGGCAAGAUGUAUCAUGCAGUGCGACUCAACUUGAGAAUUCCUGGCCACAUUACCCGUAUGUCUAAUGAUCGCACAGUACAACCUUGAGAAGCUUGUAAUGAGUACACAACUGGGUGCAAGUAGUUUUGAAAUGAAUUUGCCUCAAAUGAUUUCUUGCCGGUGAUUAAUAUAACCUCUAUUCCAAAAUUCUUAGAACUGGUCAUACUAGCAAUGAAGGAUUGCAUACAUUGAAGACAUAGCUGAAGGCCUUGCGAGAGCUCUGUCAGCCCUUGUACCGGAAAACAGCUGGUCGUAGUCGCUUGUGAAUGAUAUGAUUAAUAGAUACUGCAAAAAUGAAUUGUGCCAUACGUUUUCAGCGCUCUGUGAAGAUGUCUUGGUCAUUUGUUUGAUGCUUGUUUGAUUUAUGUUGUAUUCAGCCAUAAAUCAGAGAUUCAGAACUUGGGUAUGUUUCUGGUUUCCAAAUCAAAAAAUUGCCUUGUGAUGUUAGUGUUCACUGUUUUCACAGGAGAUCAGGUUCCUUGUUAAUGAAUCAAGAAGAAGGCAAGCGCAUCCAUGUCCAAGUUCAAAUGUGUCUCCUCUAUUUUCUAUUACCCACUCAUUUAUUUUGAUUUCUUCAUUGUAAUUGAAUUAGUUUUUUAUUCCAAAUUAGUCAAAACCUCGUAGAGUCAUUAAGUUCUUUUAGCAUUUAAAGACAGAACUACGAACCAAAUGAUUUAAGUUCUUCGUUGUAAUUGAAUUUGCUUUCCCAUCUUUAGAGAUAUUAUGUUCUUUUUCACUUUUUCGAUUUGGUUAGUGGUGAUUUCUUAAAGACUCAAUCCAUUUGCGUUAAUACAUUUUUCUUUUGCCUUGAUUUCUGUUUCUUGGGGAGUUUAUACAUAUUAUUAUUUUAUGCUACACAUGCCAUAUACAGAUUCUUAUUUUAUGCUUCACAUGCCACAUAAAAGGUCAAAGCCUUGUGUGUGAUUAGAAUUUACUGGCAUCAUAGUAACUUUAAACCAUUGUGACGUUUUAGUAAUAACAGUUUGAGCUCUCCCUGAAGGAUUCAAAGCAUUUUAUUUUAUAUUAUACUCCUUUAUAUGGUUUGGCUGGUCUCUUUUAAGGCAAUUCCUGUUUAAAGUAAUCAAAAUUUUGAUUUCGAAGUGUCUUUCAACACUACCGCUAGUUCUUUAAGAAAAGUAAAUCGAUUUUGAGUCUUCUGUAUCAUCUGAUUGAAAUACAUGAAAGCACUCUUAGCUGCAAAAGUACACUUGGAGUUAUAAUAGCAUUCUGAAAUCUCCUUGAAGGAUUCAAAAGCUCUUUAUUUGCUAGUCUUUGCUUGCAAUAAACUCCUUUAAUAUAGAUUGGUUGAUCUUCUUUAAAGCAAUUACCAUAAGUUCUUUAAAUAAUAAAACGACUUUGAGUCUUAUGUAUCAUCUUGUUGAAAUACAUGAAAGCACUCUUGGCUGUAAAAAUGCACUUGGGGUUAUAUAUAAAGUCUUCAACAGAAUUUUAUUUCCCCCUUUAUCCUCAUGGUGGUCUUUUUAGUUGUUUUUUAAGAAAUCGCUUGAAGGUUCUCUUUAAAAAUAAUUUUAACAUAAGCAUUCUUUAGAAGCACUUUAGAUGUCUGGCAUUUAGAAAAUUUUGUUCCUGUGUUCACAUAAUAUAAUAUAUAUAUAGAAAGCUGACUGUAGAAUAGAGGAGAACGAGUUGGUGUUGGUCUGAACUCUGAUCUUUGAAUCUCAUGUGACUCCACUACUUUUUACUUGUUCUGUACAAGGUCUUUUAGCUUUUCAAAAAGUUUUAGCUUUAUGGAUAAAAUACUGUUAAUUGUAAUCUAUAAAUAAUGAAAGGAAUUAAUAAAAUAUUUGGUAAAUUUUAUUUUCUAAAGUGUUAUGAGUUCUAAAACGGCUGUAUGUAUAUAAAUUUAUUUACACAUAUAUUUAUAAAUAUGAUUAUAUAAUAAUAUUUUAUGUGUACAUAUCAUAAUUGAUAACUAAAAUAAAUAUUUUUAUUUUAUUAAUGGUUUUUCCGUCUCAAUGUAGUUGGUAAUAAUAAUCUCUUUAGAUGUAAUGAUUUUAUUUCCUAACUGAAUAAGGAAAAUUUUAGAUUUUUAUAAUAAAUGUUAAAUAUAUCUAGAAUUACAUUAAGUAUGAAAUAAUCCUCAAAAUUAGAUUUUGAAAAGUUAUUCUUUUAUUACUUUUAAAAAUAUGUCAUAUGAUGAGAUGAUUUUAUUAAAAGUGAUUUUUUUUUAAAAAAAUUACUAAACAUCAAAAUUAACUCUUAACUUUUUAAAAUCAUUUCUAAUCUUCUCAUCCUAAGUUCUUUAUUGUUUUGUACAAAAUCCAAGGUUUUUACUUUUAUAAAAUGCCCACUCAAAAAUAAAUUAUUUUCUAAUUAAGAUUUGUUGUUAAUGUAUACCUCGAAGUAAUAUUAGAUAUUUGUAAUUUUAUUUCAAAAAUUUUAUUCAAAUGAUAUGGCAAGCAAUGAACAAUAGUUGAUAGCAAUUUUUUUUUUUUAAACAAUGUUCAAAUCAAUCAGUUGCAUUAUCUCACCAUUUUUAUGAUGUCAUGUUAUUUUAAAUGAUUUUUUUAAUUUUUAUAUAAAACAUACGACGUGUUAACAUCAUUUGCAUAACUUGACCUUUUUUUUUUCCUACAAAUAGUAAGUCAAAUUUACUCACCCUAUUUCUACCUAAAACUCAUGCAUCACUGUAAAACAAAUCCAAAGAUUGCGAUACGUUUUUCUUGGCAAGAAAUCAAUAAUUAGGUCAAGUACUACUACUAAGCGUGCACAAUUAAUUCUAAAAUACGGUGAUCAAAAUCAUACUUGACGCAAGAGGAUAAGGGCUGAACUUCAAUUAGGCAUUAUUCAUCCAAAAUUCAUUGACUCGGCAUUCUUUGCAAGUUGUAGCAUGGGACAGCUAAGAUAAUUAGCAAAUGAUAUGGACCAUAUGCACCCAUACAUUUCCUUUAAUGCCAACUCUUCAUUGAAUGAUUAUCAGAUCCAAUACGCAUCCUUUGAUUGGAUUAUUUUAAGUCAAUUAUUGGUGGAUUGGGGCCCACUUGACUCUACCAAAUCGGGCUCCACCAUAUCACCUAUUAACGACCACCUGUCCUUAUCAUAAAUAGCAAAUGUCACUUGUUUUAUUUUGUAUUUUACCAAAAGCAAAGUCACUAUGAACCCAAAUGAAAGUGACCUCAAUUUUGGGGGUCAUGAACUUUGGAUUAUUAUGGACACAAGAGACAAGCGCAAUGUUUCUCAUUUAUCACUGGAUAAGAUUUAAGUUAUCAACCCAAUAUUAAUAAAUUCUGCUUGAAAAGUAAAGUUUGAAGCUUCAUUUUGCGAAUAUUCAAUGGUUAACAUUUAAGUAAUUAACCUGAUAUUAAUCUAAUUAAACUUUUUAUGUUAUCCAAGUCAAACAUAUAUUGAUAAACCUAAAUUAAUCUAAUUGGACAUAUUAUUUCAACUUGAAAAGGUGAAUCUAUCAUUUUUCAAUUAAUUUUGAAUCAAGCUAUGUAAAAUAUAAGCUUAUUAAAGACAUAUUUGAAAAAUUCAAAUUGAAUUAUUUGACAAUUACAUUUCAACUAAGUUGUACUGCUAAUUAACUUCCUCAACUUAAAAUGUAUUGUUCUCAAUUAAUUCGUAACAAAGAAUGUUAGAUGUUUUGUUCGAAUAAUAACAUUCAACAUCCUUAUUCUUUAUGAUUAUUGCAUAAAAAACAUAUUUUAUCCAUUUACGUCACUAUCGAAAACUUUGAACAGUCAAUACAAAUGCUUCCGUUUCAUCCCAUAAACAAAUAAAAUUCACAUCUGUACACAUCUACUUUGCUUUGCUAGAUAGAGUUCCUCUGCAUUUCCCAAUUGCCUAAAGAGAAGGGGAAAAGAAAAAGAGGGCCAAAAAAUGCCUGAAAUGGUAAGGAACAAGCAAGUGAUAUUGAAGAACUAUGUGUCUGGUUUCCCAAAAGAAACAGACAUGCACAUGACCGAAAGUUCCAUAGAAUUGAAGGUGCCAAAAGGUUCAAAUGGGGUUCUUUUAAAGAACUUGUACUUGUCCUGUGAUCCGUACAUGCGACCAAGAAUGACCUACAUCGAAGGAUCUUACGUUGAAUCCUUUAAACCUGGCUUGGUUAGUGCACUCGCUCAUGGCCACGCUUUUCAUUUCCAUGGCUUCUUGCUCUUUUGUUAUAGAAAAUUUAUUUUUGGUUGCAGUUUGGUUCGACUGCUAAAAUCUCGUGCGAUAAUUGUAUAAGAUAUCUAGAGUUUGAACUUCUUUCACAUUAGGGUUCAAGGAAGUUAACUUAAAUGAUUUUCAAAAUUUUAAAUGUGUACCAAUGAAUUUAAUUUCAUAGCUUAAACUUAUAUUUUGAUCAUACUCUAACUUUGGACAGGAAAAAUUAUAUUUUUCCUUUAGUUCUUUGACUUGGAGUAUGUUGUGUGAAGUACUUGUGCUUGAAAAUGAAUUGCUGACACAGAAAUUUCUAUGAAUGCAUGCAGCCCAUAAGUGGAUAUGGGGUGGGUAAAGUUUUGGAUUCAGAGAAUCCAGAGUUCAACAAAGGUGACUUGGUUUGGGGAAUGACUGGAUGGGAAGAGUAUAGUCUCAUUACGGCUCCACACUUGUUUAAAAUUCAACACACAGAUGUGCCUCUUUCUUACUAUACUGGAAUCCUCGGUAAACUUUUUGUUUGCGCAAUUUAUGUGAGCAAAUUGUGUCUUCUUUUUCAUAUGUAAAUGUUUUUGAUAUCUUGAUGUGAAGGUAGAAAAUUGCAUGUUUUGAGUUUUUGCAUAUUUGAUGGAAACACAGAACUGUACCUGAAUCUUUCAGAACCCCCUUUUCUUUGAAGUUUGAACACUUUUCUUGAAUGUAUCAACUUUAUUUAUGGGAUAUGUUGCCAAAUUGGCAAAUCUAUUCGUUAUAAAACUUUCCUUUGACAGUUUAAUCUAAGCAGAUGUUAAUUCUGCAAAUAGAGUGUGCCUUAGAUUAGUUUCAUAGAUUUGUCUCCUUCUGUACAGUAAAAACUUUGAGCAUUUUCGCCAUAUUCUGAUCAAUACACUCCAACUAGUUAGUUCUUGAGGCGUUUUAUGGUUUUGUGGAGUGAGGCAAGAUGUAUACGUUUGCAAAUUGGCAAUGUCUUUUGCUUGAUGGGUUGAGAGUUGUGAGUGUCAAUAGGAAAGUCUCAAAGUGCGCAGUGCUCACUUGAGCACCCAUAUUACUUGGUGACCUGUUGCCUCAGCAAACAGGACCUCUGUUUUAUGAACUCCAAAAAGUUAUUCUGUUAAAUAGAUCGAGACAGAGGCCAUACUAUAUUUAUUAUUGCUACAAAAGUGUGAAACAAUAUUCUUUAUUUAAUAUUCUAAACAAUUGAGCCAUUUAGUUAUGAUACUCUGCUGUAUUGGGGCUAAUAAUCUAAGUCGGUUCAAAGUGGUAAAUUUAUAAAUUGAUAGGUAUGCCUGGUAUGACCGCUUACGUUGGAUUUUAUGAGGUCUGCUCUCCUAAGCAAGGAGAGUGUGUCUUCAUAUCCGCCGCAUCUGGUGCAGUUGGACAGCUUGUGGGCAAAGUUAUUGGGUUGCUAUGUCGUCGGAAGUGCUGGAAGCAAAGGCAAGGUAUGUAAUCUGUGUGAAGUACUUGCUUGUUUCCAUGUUACUUUCAAACAUUUAAAUUAAAAAGGAAAUUUUCAUAAUCUUGCCUUUUCUAUGAUUUUCAAAACCAAGGUUGAUCUACUGAAGAACAAGUUUGGGUUCGACGAGGCAUUUAACUAUAAAGAAGAAGCUGAUUUGAAUGCUGAUUGUUGGGAAUUUGAUUAUUCUAGGUAUGCCUGGUGUAACUGCAUACGCUGGUUUAUACGAAGUUUGCUGUCCGAAGAAAGGAGAGUAUGUCUAUGUAUCUGCAGCAUCUGGAGCUGUUGGUCAGCUUGUUGGACAGUUUGCAAAAUUAGCUGGUUGCUGUGUUGUUGAAAGUACUGGAAGCAAAGAAAAGGUGCUGUUAUAACAUUCUUAAGUAGUAAAUAUAGCACCGUGCCUUCUACCAGAAUUUUACAUGCUUUAUGUUCCAACUAAGCAUCCAUAUAUGAUCGUGAUAAUUAGCAAGGUCAAUAAUUUUUUUUUGACUAUUUUUUCAAUGUAAGGUCGAUUUGUUGAAGAACAAGUUUGGACGAUGCUUUUAACUACAAGGAAGAGCCAGACUUGGAUGCAGCACUCAAAAGGUCAGCUCCAACAAACGUUUCAACUCUAAUAUUUCAUUUUAAUAUUACAGAGCUUUGGUUGAAGUGUGUGAUUUGAUCCCAGAAAUGUAACUUCAUCAGUGUCUCUGUUUUCAAAAAACAGGACAAAUAGAAAUCUGAUUUUGCUUUAAAAUUUCCCAGAUGCUUCCCUCAAGGAAUCGACAUAUAUUUCGAAAAUGUUGGGGGAAAGAUGCUGGACGCAGUGCUACUCAACAUGAGGCUCCGGGGCCGCAUUGCGGUAAGCAGUAUCAUCUCACAGUACAACCUGGAAAAACCCGAAGGCGUACACAACUUAGAGCAACUGAUCGGGAAACGGAUUCGCCUGGAAGGAUUUAUAGCUGGGGAUUACUAUCACCUCUACCUGAAAUUCUUGGAAUUGGUCAUUCCUGCAAUCAGAGAAGGAAAGAUGGUGUAUGUGGAAGACAUAGCCAAAGGACUCGAGAAAAUUUCUCGUAACUGCUACACAUUAAACGCAUUUCACAUUUCCACUCUCUCUCUAUAAAUAAAUACGCACAUAAAAUUUGUCACCAUCCAAAAACAAAAUCUACAUAAAAAAUGGCGGGUGAAGAAGCAGUGAGCAACAAGCAGGUGAUUCUGAGCAACUACGUGACAGGGUUUCCCAAAGAAUCAGACAUGAAGAUAAUAACAGGCUCAAUAAACCUCAGGUGCCAGAGGGUUCAAAAGACGCAGUGCUUUUGAAGAAUCUUUGUCUUUCCUGUGAUCCUCACAUGAGAGGACAUAUGAGCGAGCUUGAUAAGCCUUGGUUUGUUGCCUCGUUAAAGUCUCGAAAAUCCUGAAGGUAUCGACAUCUAUUUCGAAAAUGUUGGGGGUAAGAUGCUUGAUGCAGUGCUACUCAACAUGAGAAUUUGUGGCCACAUCGCUGUAUGCGGAAUGAUCUCACAGUACAACCUUGAGAAGCCUGAAGGUGUACACAACUUGAUGCAAGUAGUUGGAAAACGAAUUCGCAUGGAAGGAUUUCUUGCCGGUGAUUUCUACCACCAAUAUCCAAAAUUCUUGGAACUGGUUAUGCCGGCAAUCAAAGAAGGAAAGUUAGUAUAUGUCGAGGACAUAGCUGAAGGCCUUGAGAAAGCUCCAUCAGCUCUAGUUGGGGUAUUCACUGGGCAGAAUGUUGGAAAACAACUGGUUGUAGUUGCUCGGGAAUGAUAUGAUUACUAUAUGACCAUACACUUUAAAAGCUUAGUGAAGAUGCCUGUGUCUUAUUUGUGAUACAUGUUAUGUUUGUUUGAUCAAGUUGUACUCAGCUAUAAAUCAAAGAUUCAGAACAUGUGUAUGACACUGGUUUCUAAAUCAAUGAACGCUUUCAAAUGUUAGUAUUUUCACAGGAGAAUGCAAUUUAAUUUAUCAACGAUGUCCCAACAAGACCCUCAGAACUGUAGCUUGUAAAGUUAAUUACCAUAUUUUUUUCUUUCCAAUAUAUUUGCUUAUUUCAUAGAAAGUUUACAUUAAAGUCUCAUGUUUCUUUGAAAGGUAAGCAAGUGUGAACGUUUCAAUCUAGAGCUGGAAAAUGCAUUUCCGGGAACUUACUUGAUAAAUGAAGUUUUCAUCUCUGACCUUGAUGUUUCCCACAGGUGCAUUCAUUUCAGCUGAUCUAUAUAAUUUUGUUUUCGAAGGAGAGACACAAAAUCUCCGUUGUUAAGGGGAGAAUUUAGAGUGGCUUUGACUGUUAACAAAUAGCCUAAUGUAAGACUUAACCAACUUCCUGCCCUGUUGUAUGCUUAUGAAUUUUGAUAGAGCUAAGAGUUUGCAGAAGCUAUUGUAUUAUAUGUCGUUAGAGGCUGUAAACAUCAAACACAUUUAAAUUUCAAUGAAAAUUUACUGGAAGUAAAUUUCCUUUGAUCCCACAGGUGACUAAUUAAUGAGAACUUGACAAUGACAAAAGAAAGUGUAUGAACUUUGCAGGCUGGCAUGCCAAUAUUGACUGGGUGGCACCAUCCACCAUCUGCAAGUGAAUAUCAUUGUUGUUUAAUCAACAAGGUGGAGUCCACUGGGACCACACCACAUCGUCAGCCUUAUCUCUAUUCCUCAAUUUUCAGUAUUCCAUACAUCAAAACAAUUUCAGUUUUGUUAUCAAUUAUAAUUUCAUUGUUGGUGACGAUUCUGAUUCCUUUCUUUCUGACAAAACGGAACCAUGGUUGCUGUGGGAGAGAUCUUACUCAACGCCUUCUUUCAGGUGUUGUUUGACAGGUUGGCUUCCCGUGAUUUUCUCAGCUUUGUCCGUCAACUUGGAGGCGGGGUCGAUUCCGAGCUCAAGAAGUGGGAAAGAAAGCUGAAGCUGAUUCAGGCGGUGCUCAACGAUGCAGAGGAGAAGCAACUGACUGACGAGGCUGUGAAGAUGUGGCUGGACGAUCUCCAAGACUUGGCUUAUGACGCUGAGGACAUUCUUGAUGAGUUUGCUACUCAAGCUUUGGAAAGCAAGUUGAUGGCGCACAAUCACGAUAGUUCUGGCCAGGUUCUCAGUUUCAUCCCGGCUGGUUUGAAUCCGAAUGCUAUUAUGUUCAAUUAUAGCAUGGGGUCCAAGAUUAAAGAUAUUACUAGCCGGCUGGAGCAACUCUGCCAAGAAAGAAUUGAACUUGGACUGCAACGGAUUACUGGAGGGGCAUCAUCAACUGCUGCUGCUACACAGCAGAGGCCGUCCAGUUCGAGUGUCCCAACAGAACGUGAAGUAUUUGGAAGAGAAGAAGAUAAGGCCAAAAUUCUUGAUAUGGUACUGGCCGAUACUCCAAGUGUUCAUGCCGACUUUGUUGUAAUACCCAUUGUUGGCAUGGGCGGGAUAGGAAAAACAACUCUCGCUCGGGAGGUUUACAAUGACAAGGCCGUUGGAGAUUCCAAGUUUGAUGUAAAAGCAUGGGUUUGCGUAUCUGACGUCUUUGAUGUUUUGGGCAUCUCAAAGGCACUUCUCGAGUCAAUCACCCGCAGGCCUUGUCUUCUAAACAGUUUAAAUGAAGUGCAGGUUGAAUUGAAAGUAGCUGUGGAUAAGAAAAGAUUCUUGCUGGUCUUAGAUGAUGUUUGGAACGAGGACUACAGCUUGUGGGUAGACUUAAAAGCUCCGUUCCUGGGUGCUGCACCAAACAGUAAGAUGAUCGUCACCACACGGCAUAAAGAUGUGGCCUCAAUAAUGGGACCCAUUGAUCAUUACGGUCUCAAGCCUCUGUUAGAUGAUGAUUGCUGGUCCAUUUUCAUAAAGCAUGCAUUUGAAUCUAGAGAUCUUAACGCACAUCAAAUUUCAGAAUCAUUCCGCAAGAAAGUUGUUGCCAAGUGUGGAGGCUUGGCCCUGGCAGCAAAAACACUCGGAGGCCUUCUGCGUACGACGAGGCUUGAUGCGUGGGAUGAUAUAUUAGAGAGCAAAAUAUGGGAUUUACCUCAACAAAGUGAGGUUCUCCCAGUAUUUAGAUUGAGUUACCAUCAUCUUCCUUCUCAUUUGAAAAGAUGUUUCGCUUACUGUGCAAUCUUUCCAAAAGAUUAUGAAUUCAAUGAGAAGGAGGUGACUUUUUUAUGGAUGGCCGGAGGUAUUAUUCGACAGUCCAGAAGCAAAGAGCGGCUAGAAGAUUGGGGCAGCAAGUGCUUCUAUGAUCUGGUGUCAAGGUCAAUUUUUCAGCAAACAGCAAUCUCUGAUAGUUCUAAAUUUGUAAUGCAUGACCUUAUUCAUGAUCUUGCUGAAUCGGUCUUUGGAGAAACCAUAUUCAGGUUAGAGGAGGCCAAUACUCAGUCAAGAAGAUUUGAAAGGGUUCGUCAUUCUUCCUAUGUUUGUGGUGGACGUGAUGGUAAAAAUAUGUUCGAGGUUUUCAAUGAAAUUGAACGUCUCCGAACAUUCUUGCCAUUACGCUUACGCAUAAGAGGUGGCUCUAAUACUAGUUUCAUAACUCGUACGGUUCUAUCUGAUUUGCUGCCGAAGUUCAAAAUGUUGAGAAUGCUAUCUUUACAAGGAUACCGUAUCGGUGAGUUACCAAUUCCGUUUGAAGAUUUGAGACUUCUAAGGUUCCUCAACCUUGCUGACACUGACAUAAGAAGUUUACCUGAGUCAACAUGCAAAUUGCUGAACUUGGAAAUUUUGAUAUUAAGAAAUUGUUCCCGUUUGAUAAAGCUUCCGCAGAAAAUGAGGAAUUUGAUCAAUUUACGUCACCUCGAUAUAAGAGGUGCGAAGUUGCUGAAGGAGAUGCCAUUCGGAAUGAAAGAGUUGAAGAAGCUUCAAACAUUGUCCAAUUUCAUCGUGGGCAAGGGCGAAACUGCAUCUGGUUUGGAAGAUUUAAAAUGUUUAAACCUUCUUUGUGAUGAACUUUGCAUUGCUGGAUUAGAGAAUGUGAAUAAUCCACAGAAUGCAAGAGAAGCCGCAUUAUGCGAGAAGCACAAUCUUGAAGCACUGACUCUAGAUUGGGGGUCUCAAUUUGACAAUUCUCGAGAUGGAGUAGUAGAAGAGCAUGUACUGGAAAUUCUACAGCCUCAUAAACGUAUAAAAAAGGUGGCAAUCAGGAACUAUAGAGGUGCAAGAUUUUCACAUUGGAUAGGAGAUCCUUUGUUCUCCAAAAUAGAGUUCCUUGAAUUGGAGAACUGUGACAAUUGUGUAUCUUUGCCAUCGCUUGGCCGUUUGAAUUCACUUAAGCACCUUGCUGUUAAAGGGCUGAAGAAACUAAAAAGCAUAGAGUCUGAGGUUUAUGGGGAGGGUUUCUCAAUGCCUUUUUCGUCACUGGAGAUUCUAAGUUUUGAGAAUUUGCCAGAAUGCGAGCAUUGGGACACCAAUAUCAAAGGAAAUGUGCUUGUUGAAAUAUUUCCUCGUCUCCAUAAACUUUCCAUUGUGGAAUGUCCCAAACUCUCCGGAAAACUGCCUCAGCUCCUGCCCUCCUUGAAGACACUUGUUGUUAGUAAAUGUGAAAAGUUGGUAGUUCCAUUGUCAAGCUAUCCGAUGCUCUGCAGAUUAGAAGUUGAUGAGUGCAAAGAGCUAGUGUGCAGGACUCCAAUUAAUUUUGAGUUGAUAAAGUCUGUGACUAUUUCAAAUAAUUCAUUACGCAUGAAUGGACGCAAGGGGAUGCUAUGCCAUGGUCCAGCUGGCUCUUCACUGCAGAAACCCAAGACUAUUAUGAAUGUUUUGGAGUUUGGAAAAUUAUUGAAGCCUGGAUUACAGAUAUUAGAAACUUUGGUAAUUGGCAAUUCUGAACAGCUCAAGGAUUGGAGUACUUUUAUUGAACCAGGGCUACAUUUGCUCGCUCACAAUGAGGAGGUAUCAAUUGAAGAAA